Molecule: long non-coding RNA, 106358 nt
Filed under: Triticum aestivum (bread wheat)
Lineage: Eukaryota; Viridiplantae; Streptophyta; Magnoliopsida; Poales; Poaceae
Description: long non-coding RNA (TAES_LNC019808)
Source: RNAcentral
UUUUUUUUUCGUAAAUACGCUGAGCAGCGUAUCAUUUCAUUGAUAGGUGGAAAAAGAAUACAGAGUGCAGCUCACUCGGGCGUACACAACUUGGCGUCCGAGAGAGUGCAUAGCGAGCAGCGGAGGAUGCUCAGCCUCGGUACAAAGAUCAAGUUACAUGGAUGAUCCUAUCUAGACCUUUGUCGCCGGCCUUAGCCCAACGGCGAGCCUCGUCUUUGAUCCGCUGCACAAGCUCGUCAGUGGAAGGACGGGCACCAUCAAAGAUGGCUGCAUUCCUGUGUUUCCAGAUCUGGUAGCAUUUUGGGGUGGUUGGCGAUGAGGAACAUCAUAUAAUAUGACAUCUGCUCGAUCGCCUUUGCUUGUUCUUUGGACUCUUCUCCUGUGAUCCUGGGGCUGGAGCUGCAGCUGCACGAGAGGAAUACAUUUGUAGUGAUGUGCCGGAUGAGGAUAGCCUCUUGAAGCUCAGGAGGGAAGCCCAUAUCUUCAUCUGACUGGCCCUUAGGCUUAGUGUCUGGCGGGACCCAAGCAUAACUGGAACUGGUGUGGAGUGUGGACACGCCUCAAUGGAUUAACUUGCUCAUAUGAUUCAGGCGGGGCUCGAUCAUACCUCCAUCGAUCAGUUUCUUGCUCGUAGAGUUCGAGCGAGUACUCUGCAGCUUGCUCGUCAGGGUGAUGGUGUGGUCUUGCUUGCACAUUGUAUUCGUUUUCUUCAAAUGGUGCAUUUCUAAUACCAGCGCAGACCUGCCAGGGGUAAGGCAGCCUCGGGGGCUCAUUGUUGACACUGCUGCAAAUCCGCUCCCUGGGGUAUUGGUAUUGCAGCCAUGGAGCAGCCUGAUCCUCCACGCCGUUGCAGAUCCACUCUCUGGGGUAUUGCGGACACAGAGCAGGCUCAUCAUCUAUGCCAUUGCAGACCCGCUCCCUGGGGUAUGGCGUCCCUGGAGGCCCAUACAGGAUACCAAGGCAAUGAGCCAAUGACCACCAGGGUCACUCACACAUGUGCAAUAGUUGGGGAGAUUCCCGCAGCCCGGCGGCCUUACAGGCCCACAUGAGACAUCGAAGCAGCCCUUGUCGGGGUUCGGUGAUGUUGGAUGACAUGUGCAAUAGUCGGGGAGCUCCCCACAGCUCGGGCAGUGCUCAUCGUGGUUCGGUGACCCUGGACAUGUGCAAUAUCCGAGGAGCUUCCCGCAGCUCGGGCAGCGCUUGUCGUGGUUUGGUGGCCUUGGAGGUGAAUCAUCAGUGUUGCUUUGUCGCUCACGUUUCGCCAGUUCCACGGGAUCACGGAAUAACUUUUCCCAUAUGUUUUGGAACACCAGCUUCUUGACACUGUCUGGAAUCUCAAGGCCUCUUGAAUGGUCUUCCCAUUGAAAGUCCCUCAAACUCGAGUGGCCUUCCCAUUCAAUCGCCAGUCUAGGCAUGCUGUAUAGGUUGUGCCUGUUUCCAGCGGUGCACUGGCUCAACAAGUUACACUGCCCGAAGAUGCCCGGCCACCUUCUGUAGCUUUUGGGCUCUUUGGGACAUGCACAUGUCCACAACCACAAGGAGAGCUGGGAAAUGCACAGCGACUUGACAAACCUUCGGAGCUUCUUCCAUCCUCCCUUGCACCAAAAUUCAUGCUUCAACCAAUUGCAUGUCAUACGUUCGAAGUAUGAACGUGUCCAUGCUGACGCUAGUGCUCUGAACAGCCAUCUCACAUCGAGGAGGAGGGUCGUACACAGCAAUACAUAACUGAUAACUUCAUCUUCUGUCGGCAUGCUCUCUUUGCAGUGGAGACCAAACAGCAGGAGCGCGAUGGCGGCGAGGCCAGACGGAUAGCGUAGCCAUGCCAGGUGUGGACCACUGCUGCCUUUGUGUAGAGGAUGUCAUACAUAAGGGAGAGUUCCAUCUCCACGACCUUGCACAUACUCUCCCAUCUAUCUUCAGAGAACAUGUUCAUGAUGUCAUCAUGAUUUAUGUUUGACGGAUAAUCACAGAAGGCUCCCUUGCAGAUCUCGAACAGUUCAUGAGCAACCAGCAGGGCUUUCUCAUCUUCGAGUUCCGACAGCUUCUCUUGAUCUCUAUAAUCAUCAAGGUUGAACAUCUGCUUGUUGGAAAACCCUCUGUCUCGAAUGUGGCCCAAUUCGCUUCGCCGUAGCGCCAGAGUAUUCUCGAGAUGCUUCAAAAUGCCCAAAGGUAACAUGAUGCCAGACGCCCAGCGCAAAUACAAGCCGGCCGUGCAUUCGGCAAGUAUAUACCUGUAUACAACAAAGAAGGAUCCCACGGACAAGGGGAUGUCUAACACGAGCAGGCGCAGCCAGAGCUUAGCGUCCUCUAUGGCAUAGGCGCCGAUGUUGUCCGGGCGGCCGUGGUGGAGCAGGAGGAACGGGACCCAGAAGGCGACCAUCAUCUUCUCGCUCGGUGAGGUUUCAAGGUACAGGUUGCCGAUGACAUAUGCCGGGCCCCAGUCCGUCAGCUGGUACGCCACCCACACGAGUACUCUCUUCCAACCUCUGCCUUCACGCCGGCGGCUGUCAGAGAAGACGGCGAGGAUGAGAUGCAUGAGUAAGGUGAGAAGCGGCACUAUCCGGUACACAUAGACACUCAACCACAUCACGCAAGCUUCGACCAAUGCUGCAGCCAUUUUGCUACCACCUGCAGGCACAUCAAUCAAGAUUAGUUUGUUACUACACUCAUAUCACAUAUGCAAGCAUGCUCUAGUAUGUGUUGCAGCAUGCUAGAGAGAGGAUAUUAAGGACCAAAAACCAUGAUCGAGCAUGUACAUACCGGCACGCAGCAGAUAUGCAGAUCGAGGAGAAUGAGCACAGUCUACGCUUCCAGUCAAGACUCAAGACAAGAGUUGCUCUUUAGUCUUAACUCUAGAGAUAAGGAGUAUUAUAAGACUGGCACAUGGGCAUUUCUAAGUUGAUCCACUAAUAGUGCAUAACAUGUGAACCCUAGCUAGCUCUCAUUGACAGUACAAACAAAAAAAAGCCUCGGCUGCGAAAGAGACAGGGAAGCGUCCAAUUUGGUGAAUUCCUCACGUCCUCUGCCUUUCUUUUUGUGUGAAUGUGUAUGAUCUGAACACAGGACGCAGAUUACAUAAGGCUGCUGAUAUAUUUAUGGCUGUUCUGAAAUUUACGCCUGAGAGGGGUAUAUUUUACCGGGCCAGGUGACAGGUAUGGGAAGAAAUCUGGAGGUACGGGUAACGGGUGAAAUCAAAAGACAAAUGUAUGGUUUUGGGCACAUAUGCUGAAGCUAUAAGACAAACGUAUGGUUUUGGGCGCAUGAUGGCGCAUGCGCUGAAGCUAUAAGACCAUAAGUGUAUCUACUUGGCUAUCAAGUAGAGUGGUCAGUGGACUAGUUACGGCUCUUAUCAAGCUAAAAAAACGAGAACGUCGUUUGCGCCUCACAAAUGCUUGGUUUGCUUAUCUGCGUUGAGUAGAGUAGUAGGUACAGAAGAAAAUGUAGUGGUGGUCAUCGUCCUCGUGAAGGGGCAGAGAGAUUGAGAGAGGGAGAGCUCACCAAAAUCAGCGAACUGGCGCUUGGGCAUAUACUCUGCAUCGUCAUGGUAAACUCCCCGUCCUCCGUUGUGCAUCCUCGUCACGAUCCCUUCGAAUUAAGGCGAACAUUAACCAUGAAAACUAUGUCAUAGAAAAGUCAACAGAGAACUCGGAGGCAGACACGAAAUUGGCCGUAGAGACCGCGGGCGGGGCCCGCAUUGCCGGCACCGCUGUUGAUGGUGCGCCGCCACUCUGCUGUUGGAAGGGUUGAUCACCCGUUGUUAUUGCAAAUCAGACAUAUCACUUACUGAUGCUAGGGGCAAAGCCACGGAGUAGUGGUUGGCUCUUAGAUCAAGAUUCAGACAUAUCACUUACUGAUAUUGCAAAUCAAGGGUAGCAAGGAGAUGACAGAUCAAUUAUUUCAGAGGUAAAACUCCAGUCUGAGUUAGGAACAACUUCAGCUUGUGCAUAAGCCAGUUGUCCGAGUGAAAUAUGCUUAAGCUGGGUUCAAAAGAAAAAAAAACAGAGGAAUUCAUUCGAUUGGGUCUGUAAAGGUUUAUGGAUCUUAGCUUAUUUCUGGUGGUGAAUGGUGUAAAUUAUAAAAACACCUUUUAUGCUUGUUUCAUUUACAAGAUUGUUAUUUUAAACCGUUUAUUUGCACGAAAUAUCAAUGUUAUAUCCGGUCCACACAAGAAUUGGCAUCACAACUUGAAAAAUGUGAACAAGCAAGCAAGAUUGUACAAAUUCAUUUGGUGCAGUGAGCAACCGAUAUCAAGAACAGCAUAGACACAUCAGUGGUGGAAAAAUAUAUAUCAAAAGUCAUCAAAUUCGGGUAGUAGAAUGAAAGCUUAAUAUAGAGUACGGUCAGGAAACCAACAUCCCAUGCAUCCAUCACAUGUUCCAGCGAAAAAGGAAACAUGGCUCAUCACGAAAGAUUGAAAAUGAACCAAAUCUCUCAUCAGGAAUACAGUCUGAACCCAUUUCUGUUAAUAAUGAUAGUGGUAAGAUACACUACUACUGGUGUUGGCCACGUGGCACGCCAUUAGAAUUUCAAAUACUGCUGACGUGGUAUCCAGCGCCACCACUAUAUUUUAACAGUGGCGCCAUAUUAGUGGCAUCGGAUGUCCACGCGAGCAAGGCCAUUUUUUUCACGCCAUAGUUAGGCUUUUCUGCACUAGUGACAUGGGAGACGUUCUAGGAGAAGCCACAAGAGGAGCCGCAUCCAACAGCCACAACAUAGGAGGGACAACCGUGACCUUGGUGGUUACUUCCGUCGUGAUGGCCACGAUGGAUACCGUGGCGGUGAUGGAGGUUACCGUGGAGGCUAUGGUGGUGGUUACAAUGACGGCGCUGGUGGUAGUUACCGUGGUGGUGGCGGGAGGGGUGGAGGUGGUGGCAAGCAUGACAUGUACGAUGAUGGACUAAGGCGUACGUAUGGUGGCCGCCCACCACGACUGUUGGAAAUAUGCCCUAGAGGCAAUAAUAAACUGGUUAUUAUUAUAUUUCCUUGUUCAUGAUAAUUAUCUAUUGUUCAUGCUAUAAUUGUGUUAUCCGGAAAUCGUUAUACAUGUGUGAAUACAUAGACCACAACAAGUCCCUAGUGAGCCUCUAGUUGACUAGCUCGUUGAUCAAUAGAUGGUUACGGUUUCCUGACCAUGGACAUUGGAUGUCAUUGAUAACGGGAUCACAUCAUUAGGAGAAUGAUGUGAUGGACAAGACCCAAUCCUAAGCAUAGCACUAGAUCGUGUAGUUCGUUUGCUAAAACUUUUCUAAUGUCAAGUAUCAUUUCCUUAGACCAUGAGAUCGUGCAACUCCCGGAUGCCGUAGGAAUGCUUUGGGUGUACCAAACGUCACAACGUAACUGGGUGGCUAUAAAGGUGCACUACAGGUAUCUCCGAAAGUGUCUGUUGGGUUGGCACGGAUCGAGACUGGGAUUUGUCACUCCAUAUGACGAAGAGGUAUCUCUGGGCCCACUCGGUAAUGCAUCAUCAUAAUGAGCUCAAUGUGACCAAGUAGUUGGUCACGGGAUCAUGCAUUACGGAACGAGUAAAGUGACUUGCCGGCAACGAGAUUGAACGAGGUAUUGGGAUACCGACGUGUUGGGGAACGUAGUAAUUUCAAAAAAUUUCCUACGCACACGCAAGAUCAUGGUGAUGCAUAGCAACGAGAGGGGAGAGUGUUUUCCACGUACCCUCGUUGACCGACAGGGGAAGCGUUAUCACAACGCGGUUGAUGUAGUCGUACGUCUUCACGAUCCGACCGAUCAAGUACGGAACGUACGGCACCUCUGAGUUCUACACACGUUCAGCUCGAUGACGUCCCUCGAACUCCGAUCCAGCCGAGUGUUGAGGGAGAGUUUCGUCAGCACGACGGCGUGGUGACAAUGAUGAUGUUCCACCGACGCAGGGCUUCGCCUAAGCUCCGCAACGGUAUUAUCGAGGUGUAAUAUGGUGGAGGGGGGCACCGCACACGGCUAAGAGAUCUCAAGGAUCAAUUGUUGUGUCUCUGGGGUGCCCCCUGACCCCGUAUAUAAAGGAGCAAGGGGGAGGCAGCCGGCCAAGGGGAGAGGCGCGCCAUAUUGGGGAGUCCUACUCCCACCGGGAGUAGGACUCCUCCUUUCCUUGUGGGAGUAGGAGAAGGGAAGGGGGAAGGAGAAAGAAGGAAGGGUGCGCCCCCCUUCCCUAGUCCAAUUCAGACCAGACCAUGGGGAGGGGUGCGGCCACCUUUUGAGGCCUUUCUCUCCUUUCCCGUAUGGCCCAUUAAGGCCCAAUACGAAUUCCCGUAACUCUCCGGUACUCCGAAAAAUACCCGAAUCACUCGGAACCUUUCCGAAGUCCGAAUAUAGUCGUCCAAUAUAUCGAUCUUUACGUCUCGACCAUUUCGAGACUCCUCGUCAUAUCCCCGACCUCAUCCGGGACUCCGAACUCCUUCGGUACAUCAAAACUCAAUAAAACUGUCAUCGUAACGUUAAGCGUGUGGACUCUACGGGUUCGAGAACUAUGUAGACAUGACCGAGACACGUCUCCGGUCAAUAACCAAUAGCGGGACCUGGAUGCCCAUAUUGGCUCCCACAUAUUCUACGAAGAUCUUUAUCGGUCAGACCGCAUAACAACAUACGUUGUUCCCUUUGUCACCGGUAUGUUACUUGCCCGAGAUUUGAUCGUCGGUAUCUCGAUACCUAGUUCAAUCUCGUUACCGGCAAGUCUCUUUACUCGUUCCGUAACACAUCAUCCCGCAACUAACUCAUUAGUCACAAUGCUUGCAAGGCUUAUAGUGAUGUGCAUUACCGAGUGGGCCCAGAGAUACCUCUCCGACAAUUGGAGUGACAAAUCCUAAUCUCGAAAUACGCCAACCCAACAAGUACCUUUGGAGACACCUGUAGAGCACCUUUAUAAUCACCCAUUUAUGUUGUGACGUUUGGUAGCACACAAAGUGUUCCUCCGGUAAACGGGAGUUGCAUAAUCUCAUAGUCAUAGGAACAUGUAUAAGUCAUGAAGAAAGCAAUAGCAACAUACUAAACGAUCAAGUGCUAAGCUAACAGAAUGGGUCAAGUCAAUCACGUCAUUCUCCUAAUGAGGUGAUCUCGUUAAUCAAAUGACAACUUAUGUCUAUGGCUAGGAAACAUAACCAUCUUUGAUUAACGAGCUAGUCAAGUAGAGGCAUACUAGUGACACUCUCUUUGUCUAUAUAUUCACACAUGUAUUAUGUUUCCGGUUAAUACAAUUCUAGCAUGAAUAAUAAACAUUUAUCAUGAUACAAGGAAAUAAAUAAUACUUUAUUAUUGCCUCUAGGGCAUAUUUCCUUCGGUCUCCCACUUGCACUAGAGUCAAUAAUCUAGAUUACACAGUAAUGAUUCUUACACCCAUGGAGCCUUGGUGCUGAUCAUGUUUUGCUCGUGGAAGAGGCUUAGUCAACGGGUCUUUAACAUUCAGAUCUGUAUGUAUCUUGCAAAUUUCUAUGUCUCCCACCUGGACUAAAUCCCGGAUGGAAUUGAAGCGUCUUUUGAUGUGCUUGGUUCUCUUGUGAAAUCUGGAUUCCUUUGCCAAGGCAAUUGCACCAGUAUUGUCACAAAAGAUUUUCAUAGGACCCGAUGCACUAGGUAUGACACCUAGAUCGGAUAUGAACUCCUUCAUCCAGACUCCUUCAUUUGCUGCUUCCGAAGCAGCUAUGUACUCCGCUUCACAUGUAGAUCCCGCCACGACGCUUUGUUUAGAACUGCACCAACUGACAGCUCCACCGUUCAAUGUAAAUACGUAUCCGGUUUGCGAUUUAGAAUCGUCCGGAUCUGUAACAUCCCAAAAUUCUAAAUUUUGGAAUGUUAUAAUAAACAGAUAGAUUGGAUUGAUUGUUUGAUUGAUUGACUGAAAGUGAGUGGAAUUCGAAAUCUUUUGAAAGUUAAAGGAGAGGGAAUAAAAGGACUUUCCCAAACUUUCAUUUUUCUUUUAUGAUCUCCAUGAAUUCAAAUUCUUUUCACCACAAAACCCUGGAGAGAAGAUGACAUGACUUCUUCCAUUUAUAUAAAUGAAAAGGGGUGUUGAAAAUAUCUGAAUUUCAUUUGAGAAUAUUUCCAAUUCUAAAACUCUAUGCAACUCAAUGAUUUUCACGAGCAAAGAUAAAAUGACUUCUUCAAAACAUAUGAAAUAUGAGUUGGGAGUUUCAAAGGAUAUAUUCAAAGUCCCAUUGAAAUUAUUUUUCAAUAUUGGAGUUAUUUGAGUUUUAUUCAAAUUAUUUUUCUUCAAAAAUAAAAUAUACAGAAAUUAGGGUAAAAUGAUUCCCUACAUCGGAAAAUUGGAGAAAAAUAAAUUUGAAAUUAUUUUGGUAUUUUUAAAAUGAUUUUUAUUGGAUUUUAUUAAGGCAGCAGCACUGUUUGAUUUAUUAAAAUUUUUGUGGAUUUUAUUUGACUCUACAAAAAUGUUCUUGUUGUAGGAAAUCUUUUUCUGAAAAUUUUGAUAUAUUAUAUGCCUAUAUAAUAUUUUCAUUUUCUUUUGUUUUUAUUAUUUCUUUCUCUGUUUUUUUUUCAAAAAAAACCCUCCGCCGAACUGGGCCGGCCCAGCACCCAGCCAGGCCACGGUCCAGCCCGACGCCCGCGCGUCCCCGACCUCCCGGGCGGGACUCCGCCUCCCGCACGCCGCCGCGCCGCCAUGGACGCCGUGCCGCCUCCGGCCUCCUCCUACCCAUCCUCCACGCCACCUCCUCGCCCCCCUCUUAAAUAGCUCCGCCCCGACCCCCCCUCUCUCUCUGCUCCCGCCGCCGCCCGCUCCCGCAUAGCCGCCGCCGCCGNNNNNNNNNNNNNNNNNNNNNNNNNNNNNNNNNNNNNNNNNNNNNNNNNNNNNNNNNNNNNNNNNNNNNNNNNNNNNNNNNNNNNNNNNNNNNNNNNNNNNNNNNNNNNNNNNNNNNNNNNNNNNNNNNNNNNNNNNNNNNNNNNNNNNNNNNNNNNNNNNNNNNNNNNNNNNNNNNNNNNNNNNNNNNNNNNNNNNNNNNNNNNNNNNNNNNNNNNNNNNNNNNNNNNNNNNNNNNNNNNNNNNNNNNNNNNNNNNNNNNNNNNNNNNNNNNNNNNNNNNNNNNNNNNNNNNNNNNNNNNNNNNNNNNNNNNNNNNNNNNNNNNNNNNNNNNNNNNNNNNNNNNNNNNNNNNNNNNNNNNNNNNNNNNNNNNNNNNNNNNNNNNNNNNNNNNNNNNNNNNNNNNNNNNNNNNNNNNNNNNNNNNNNNNNNNNNNNNNNNNNNNNNNNNNNNNNNNNNNNNNNNNNNNNNNNNNNNNNNNNNNNNNNNNNNNNNNNNNNNNNNNNNNNNNNNNNNNNNNNNNNNNNNNNNNNNNNNNNNNNNNNNNNNAGCCCGAGCCGCCGCCGCCCUUCUCCGACGCCGGCGAACCCCGCCACCGCCGACCCGGUCCGCCGCUGAAAAACCGCCGGUUUUCGAUGAAAACCCCACCGGUAUAAACCGUGAACCGCCCCGGUUUUUUUUAUUAUUCGUUUUGGGUUUUAUUAAGAAAACCUAGAUCUGUUUUUUUAGGUUUUACUAAACUGCGAACGCCCACUGUUUAGAUCCUAUAAACGAACGUUCACUAUUUAGUUUUUUCUUUUUCUGUUAUUUUCGGCCAGGGACCCGUGUGUGAAUAUUUUAUUUAUAGAUUAGCCCCUGAUCUUCAAACAUCUAUAACUUUUUACUCGUUUGUCCAAAUCCAACGAAACCAACGCCCACUUCUUCGUUAUGAUAUCCUCUAUCCAGUAAAACAACUUAAACAUGUUUUUGAAAGUUUUAAAAUUUGAAUUCAAACAGAUUUGUAUUCAAACUUCUUUUGUUCAUAACUUAAGUUCCGUAACUCCGUUUGAGUUGAUUCUUUUUGCAAAUCGAAGCUCUUGACCUAAACUUUCUGAUAAGGACAAAUUCAUAUAAUUUUGGUACUGUUAGAAAUUGUUUUAUGUUGCAAGAGUUAAUUGCUUGGUUUUGAAGUUUUCCGAAUUGUUUUCCUCGUUCUUUCUGAUCUUUUGAGUGAUUGCUUAUGUGUGGUUACCAUUGCUUGCUUACGAUAGAUCGACCGGAGUGUGACGAGUAGAUCUAUCAAGAGUUUUGAGUGCGAAUCAUCUUCAUCAACAUUGCAGGCAAGUAACACUUUAUCAUACCCUUCCAUACCCAGUUUUUAUUGCAUUAGAUCAAUCCUCAAACAUUGCAUGGUUAGGAUCUAAUUAAAUUGUGGGUUUUGGGAAGUAGUUGAUGUAGUACCUAUUACCUGUUUUGUUUAUCAAACCCUUGGGAGUUACUUCUACGUUGCUAUUAUAUUGCCAUGCUAUGCUCGUAGACGUGGAUUGGGUUUGAGUGAAAUUCAUGACAGAUGUGAGAUUGUUAAUAAUGGUUUACUUAAGGUGGCAACUAAAAAUCACAUCUGGGUGGAUUGAGGCACCUGGAGAACCCAGUGUUGUCUGUUUGUAUAAGGACCGCCACCCAGGCUCAAAGGGAUCAUAAGAUUAUUCAUGCUAGAAACUUCCGUGUGCAGCCACAAGCUAUUAUGGGCUCUAGCAUAGUCGAGUAAGUUGUGGGAAACCUUUCCAUGAUGGGCUAGCAGAUGUAGGGGAUUGUAGGUGUACCGGCCUAUCUAUCGGUUAAGGGGACCUCUUCGGAAAGACUGUGUCUCGGUCAUCCGUUUCUCAAACACCAUGCAGUGCGAGAAUCAAGCGGAGGCGAUCGAGUCUUGUGGGGAAAAGUGCGCAAACCUCUGCAGAGUGUACAAACUAAUCAUGAUUAGCCGUGUCCCCGGUUAUGGACAUCUUGAGUAUCUAGUUCUUGGAUUAUCCCGUUGAUCUCAUCAUGUUACUUUAAUUAAUAUUGUUGGGUUAAUGAUGAUACUUAAUUGGGAUUGAGAUGCUGUCAACCAUCUCAAUGUUUCACAACCACCAUGAUAGUUAAAUAAAAUAUAUUCCUUUGUACUAGGGAAAAAUAGGCUUUUCGCAAAAACAUUAUAACCAUAGAGCUUUUCCACUAGCCAUAUAUGCAUGUAGUGAUAGCCUUUGUUCAUCAUUUCUCUAUGGUGUGAAUUUGCCAGUACAUUCAAUGUACUGACCCGUUCGGGCUGCAACGUUUCAUGUUGCAGGAUUCUUACGACGAAUAAGUGAUACGUUAGGGUUACGAUUUCUACACUCAACUUUGCCGUUGGUGUUGAUGGGAAUCCACAACCUUGUUACUUCCGCUAUUUGGAUUGAGGUAAUAGUAUUUAUGUUACUUUAUGCAUGUGAUUUACCUCUGUUAUAAAUCCUCGAGUACUGUGUGUGUCAGCAUACCGAUCCAGGGAUGACACUUAAGCACAGAGACUUGAUCCAUUCGGGUCGGGUCGCUACAGGAUCAGUGUCAAAGCUUGCAUCAACGUAACCAUUUACGAUGAGCUCUUUGUCACCUCCAUAUACGAGAAACAUAUCCUUAGUCCUUUUCAGGUAUUUCAGGAUGUUCUUGACCGCUGUCCAGUGAUCCACUCCUGGAUUACUUUGGUACCUUCCUGCUAGACUUAUAGCAAGGCAUACAUCAGGUCUGGUACACAACAUUGCAUACAUGAUAGAGCCUAUGGCUGAAGCAUAGGGGACAUCUUUCAUCUUCUCUCUAUCUUCUGAAGUGGUCGGGCAUUGAGUCUUACUCAACUUCACACCUUGCAACACAGGCAAGAAUCCUUUCUUUGCUUGAUCCAUUUUGAACUUCUUCAAAACUUUGUCAAGGUAUGUGCUUUGUGAAAGUCCAAUUAAGCGUCUUGAUCUAUCUCUAUAGAUCUUGAUGCCCAAUAUAUACGCAGCUUCACCGAGGUCUUUCAUUGAAAAACUCUUAUUCAAGUAUCCCUUUAUGCUAUCCAGAAAUUCUAUAUCAUUUCCAAUCAGUAAUAUGUCAUCCACAUAUAAUAUCAGAAAUGCUACAGAGCUCCCACUCACUUUCUUGUAAAUACAGGCUUCUCCAAAAGUCUGUAUAAAAUCAAAUGCUUUGAUCACACUAUCAAAGCGUUUAUUCCAACUCCGAGAGGCUUGCACCAGUCCAUAAAUGGAUCGCUGGAGCUUGCACACUUUGUUAGCUCCCUUUGGAUCGACAAAACCUUCUGGUUGCAUCAUAUACAACUCUUCUUCCAGAAAUCCAUUCAGGAAUGCAGUUUUGACAUCCAUUUGCCAAAUUUCAUAAUCAUAAAAUGCGGCAAUUGUUUGGAAUCGUAGCAUAAUUUUAAAAUUUUCCUACGCUCACCAAGAUGCAUCUAUGGAGUAUACUAGCAACGAGGGGAAAGGAGUGCAUCUACAUACCCUUGUAGAUCGCGAGCGGAAGCGUUCCAAUGAACGUGGAUGACGGACUCGUACUCGCCGUGAUCCAAAUCACCGAUGACCGAGUGCCGAACGGACGGCACCUCCGCGUUCAACACACGUACGGUGCAGCGACGUCUCCUCCUUCUUGAUCCAGCAAGGGGGAAGGAGAGGUUGAUGGAGAUCCAGCAGCACGACAGCGUGGUGGUGGAUGUAGCGGAAUGCCGGCAGGGCUUCGCCGAGCUUCUACGAGAGAGAGAGGUGUAGCAGGGGAGGAGGGAGGCGCCCAAGGCUGUGUUGUUGCUGCCCUCCCUCCCCCCUUUAUAUAGGCCCCCUGGGAGGGGGGGCGCCGGCCAAACCCCAUCUAGGGUGGGGGGCGGCGGCCAAGGGGGUGCCUUGCCCCCCAAGGCAAGUGGGAAGCCCCCCACCCUAGGGUUUCCAACCCUAGGCGCAGGGGGGAGGCCCAUGGGGGGGCGCCCAGCCCACUAGGGGCUGGUUCCCUUCCCACUUCAGCCCACGGGGCCCUCCGGGAUAGGUGGCCCCACCCGAUGGACCCCCGGGACCCUUCCGGUGGUCCCGGUACAAUACCGGUAACCCCCGAAACUUUCCCGGUGGCCGAAACAUGACUUCCUAUAUAUAAUUCUUUACCUCCGGACCAUUCCGGAACUCCUCGUGACGUCCGGGAUCUCAUCCGGGACUCCGAACAACUUUCAGGUUUCCGCAUACACAUAUCUCUACAACCCUAGCGUCACCGAACCUUAAGUGUGUAGACCCUACGGGUUCGGGAGACAUGCAGACAUGACCGAGACGCCUCUCCGGUCAAUAACCAACAGCGGGAUCUGGAUACCCAUGUUGGCUCCCACAUGUUCCACGAUGAUCUCAUCGGAUGAACCACGAUGUCGAGGAUUCAAUUAAUCCCGUAUAUAAUUCCCUUUGUCAAUCGGUAUGUUACUUGCCCGAGAUUCGAUCGUCGGUAUCCCAAUACCUUGUUCAAUCUCGUUACCGGCAAGUCUCUUUACUCGUACCGCAAUGCAUGAUCCCGUGACUAAUGCCUUAGUCACAUUGAGCUCAUUAUGAUGAUGCAUUACCGAGUGGGCCCAGAGAUACCUCUCCGUCACACGGAGUGACAAAUCCCAGUCUCGAUCCGUGCCAACCCAACAGACACUUUUGGAGAUGCCCGUAGUGCACCUUUAUAGUCACCCAGUUACGUUGUGACGUUUGGCACACCCAAAGCACUCCUACGGUACCCGGGAGUUGCACGAUCUCAUGGUCUAAGGAAUAGAUACCUGACAUUGGAAAAGCUCUAGCAAACGAAACUACACGAUCUUUUAUGCCAUGCUUAGGAUUGGGUCUUGUCCAUCACAUCAUUCUCCUAAUGAUGUGAUCCCGUUAUCAAUGACAUCCAAUGUCCAUAGUCAGGAAACCAUGACUAUCUGUUGAUCAACGAGCUAGUCAACUAGAGGCUUACUAGGGACACGUUGUGGUCUAUGUAUUCACACAUGUAUUACGAUUUCCGGACAAUACAAUUAUAGCAUGAACAAUAGACAAUUACCAUGAACAAAGAAAUAUAAUAAUAACCAUUUAUUAUUGCCUCUAGGGCAUAUUUCCAACAGUCUCCCACUUGCACUAGAGUCAAUAAUCUAGUUACAUUGUGAUGAAUCGAACACCCAUUGCGUCCUGGUGUUGAUCAUGUUUUGCUCUAGGGAGAGGUUUAGUCAACGGAUCUGCUACAUUCAGGUCCGUAUGUACUUUACAAAUAUCUAUGUCUCCAUUUUGAACACUUUCACGAAUGUAGUUGAAGCGACGCUUGAUAUGCCUGGUCUUCCUGUGAAACCUGGGCUCCUUCGCAAGAGCAAUAGCUCCAGUGUUGUCACAGAAGAGAGUCAUCGGGCCCGACGCAUUGGGAAUCACCCCUAGGUCGGUAAUGAACUCCUUCAUCCAGACUGCUUCCUGCGCUGCCUCCGAGGCUGCCAUGUACUCUGCUUCACAUGUAGAUCCCGCCACGACGCUUUGCUUGCAACUGCACCAGCUUACUGCUCCUCCAUUCAAAAUAUACACGUAUCCGGUUUGUGACUUCGAGUCAUCUAGAUCUGUGUCGAAGCUAGCGUCGACGUAACCCUUUACGACGAGCUCUUCGUCACCUCCAUAAACGAGAAACAUAUCCUUAGUCCUCUUCAGGUACUUCAGGAUAUUCUUGACCGCUGUCCAGUGUUCCAUGCCGGGAUUACUUUGGUACCUUCCUACCAAACUUACGGCAAGGUUUACAUCAGGUCUGGUACACAGCAUGGCAUACAUAAUAGACCCUAUGGCCGAGGCAUAGGGGAUGACACUCAUCUUUUCUAUAUCUUCUGCCGUGGUCGGGCAUUGAGCCGUGCUCAAUUGCACACCUUGCAAUACAGGCAAGAACCCCUUCUUGGACUGAUCUAUAUUGAACUUCUUCAAUAUCUUGUCAAGGUAUGUACUCUGUGAAAGACCAAUGAGGCGUCUCGAUCUAUCUCUAUAGAUCUUGAUGCCUAAUAUAUAAGCAGCUUCUCCAAGGUCCUUCAUUGAAAAACACUUAUUCAAAUAGGCCUUUAUACUUUCCAAGAAUUCUAUAUCAUUUCCCAUCAAUAGUAUGUCAUCCACAUAUAAUAUGAGAAAUGCUACAGAGCUCCCACUCACUUUCUUGUAAACACAGGCUUCUCCAUAAGUCUGUGUAAACCCAAACGCUUUGAUCAUCUCAUCAAAGCGAAUGUUCCAACUCCGAGAUGCUUGCACCAGCCCAUAGUUUGAGCGCUGGAGCUUGCAUACUUUGUUAGCAUUCUUAGGAUUGACAAAACCAUCCGGCUGCAUCAUAUACAACUCUUCCUUAAGGAAGCCGUUAAGGAAUGCCGUUUUGACGUCCAUCUGCCAUAUCUCAUAAUCAUAGUAUGCGGCAAUUGCUAACACGAUUUGGACAGACUUCAGCUUCGCUACGGGUGAGAAAGUCUCAUCGUAGUCAACCCCUUGAACUUGUCGAUAACCCUUAGCGACAAGUCAAGCCUUAUAGAUGGUCACAUUACCAUCUGCGUCUGUCUUCUUCUUAAAGACCCAUUUGUUUUCUAUGGCUCGCCGCUCAUCGGGCAAGUCAGUCAAAGUCCAUACUUCGUUUUCAUACAUGGAUCCUAUCUCGGAUUUCAUGGCUUCUAGCCAUUUGUCGGAAUCCGGGCCUGCCAUCGCUUCUUCAUAGUUCGAAGGUUCACCGUUGUCUAACAACAUGAUUUCCAGGACAGGGUUGCCGUACCACUCUGGUGCGGAAUGUGUCCUUGUGGACCUACGAAGUUCAGUAACUUGAUCCGAAGCUUCAUGAUCAUCAUCAUUAACUUCCUCCCCAGUCGGUGUAGGCACCACAGGAACAUUUUCCCGCGCUGCGCUACUUUCCGGUUCGGAAGGGGUGACUAUCACCUCAUCAAGUUCCACUUUCCUCCCACUCAAUUCUUUCGAGAGAAACUCCUUCUCCAGAAAGGACCCGUUCUUGGCAACGAAGAUCUUGCCUUCGGAUCUGAGGUAGAAGGUAUACCCAAUAGUUUCCUUAGGGUAUCCUAUGAAGACGCAUUUUUCUGACUUGGGUUCGAGCUUUUCAGGUUGAAGUUUCUUGACAUAAGCAUCGCAUCCCCAAACUUUUAGAAACGACAGCUUAGGUUUCUUCCCAAACCAUAAUUCAUACGGUGUCGUCUCAAUGGAUUUCGACGGAGCCCUAUUUAAAGUGAAUGCGGCAGUCUCUAAAGCAUAGCCCCAAAAUGAGAGUGGUAAAUCGGUAAGAGACAUCAUAGAUCGCACCAUAUCCAAUAGAGUGCGAUUAUGACAUUCGGACACACCGUUUCUCUGAGGUGUUCCAGGCGGCGUGAGUUGUGAAACUAUUUUUAAGUGUGCACCAAACUCGUGACUUAAAUAUUCUCCACCACGAUCUGAUCGUAAGAAUUUUAUUUUUCUGUCACGUUGAUUCUCAAAUUCACUCUGAAAUUCCUUGAACUUUUCAAAGGUUUCAGACUUGUGUUUCAUUAGGUAGACAUACCCAUAUCUACUUAAAUCAUCAGUGAGAGUGAGAACAUAACGAUAUCCUCCGCGAGCCUCAACACUCAUUGGACCACACACAUCGGUAUGUAUGAUUUCCAAUAAGUUGGUUGCUCGCUCCAUUGUUCCGGAGAAUGGAGUCUUGGUCACCUUACCCAUGAGGCAUGGUUCGCACGUGUCAAAAGUCCAUCUGCAUGGAGCUUCUUCAUGCGCUUGACACCAAUGUGACCAAGGCGGCAGUGCCACAAGUAUGUGGGACUAUCGUUAUCAACUUUACAUCUUUUGGUAUUCACACUAUGAACAUGUGUAACAUCACGUUCGAGAUUCAUCAAAAAUAAACAAUUGACCAGCGGGGCAUGACCAUAAAACAUAUCUCUCAAAUAAAUAGAACAACCAUUAUUCUCGGAUUUAAAUGAGUAGCCAUCUCGAAUUAAACGAGAUCCAGAUACAAUGUUCAUGCUCAAAGCUGGCACUAAAUAACAAUUAUUGAGGUUUAAAACUAAUCCCGUAGGGAGAUGCAGAGGUAGCGUGCCGACGGCGAUCACAUCGACCUUGGAACCAUUCCCGACGCGCAUCGUCACCUCGUCCUUCGCCAGUCUCCGUUUAUUCCGUAGUUCUUGUUUUGAGUUACAAAUAUGAGCAACCGCACCGGUAUCAAAUACCCAGGAGCUACUACGAGUACUGGUAAGGUAACAUCAAUUACAUGUAUAUCACAUAUACCUUUGGUGUUGCCGGCCUUCUUCUUGUCCGCUAAGUAUUUGGGGCAGUUCCGCUUCCAGUGACCACCUCCCUUGCAAUAAAAGCACUCAGUCUCGGGCUUGGGUCCAUUCUUUGACUUCUUCCCAGUAACUGGUUUACCGGGCGCGGCAACUCCCUUGCCGUCCUUCUUGAAGUUCUUCUUACCCUUGCCCUUCUUGAACUUAGUGGUUUUAUUCACCAUCAACACUUGAUGUUCUUUUCUGAUCUCCCCUUCGGCUGAUUUCAGCAUUGAAUAUACCUCAGGAAUGGUCUUUUCCAUCCCCUGCAUAUUGUAGUUCAUCACAAAGCUCUUGUAGCUUGGUGGAAGCGACUGAAGGAUUCUGUCAAUGACCGCGUCAUCCGGGAGAUUAACUCCCAGCUGAGACAAGCGGUUGUGCAACCCAGACAUUCUGAGUAUGUGCUCACUAACAGAACUAUUCUCCUCCAUUUUACAGCUGAAGAACUUGUCGGAGACAUCAUAUCUCUCGACCCGGGCAUGAGCUUGAAAAACCAGUUUCAGCUCCUCGAACAUCUCAUAUGCUCCAUGUUUCUCAAAACGCUUUUGGAGACCCGGUUCUAGGCUGUCAAGCAUGCCGCACUGAACGAGGGAGUAAUCAUCAGCACGCUGCUGCCAAGCGUUCAUAACGUCUUGGUUUUGUGGGAUUGGUGCAUCACCUAGCGGUGCUUCUAAGACAUAAUCUUUCUUGGCUACUAUGAGGAUGAUCCUCAGGUUCCGGACCCAGUCCGUAUAGUUGCUGCCAUCAUCUUUCAGCUUGGUUUUCUCUAGGAACGCGUUGAAAUUGAGGACACCGUUGGCCAUUUGAUCUACAAGACAUAGUGUAAAGAUUUUAGACUAAGUUCAUGAUAAUUAAGUUCAUAUAAUCAAAUUAUUUAAUGAACUACCACUCAGAUAGACAUCCCUCUCGUCAUCUAAGUGAAACAUGAUCCGAGUUUAACUAGGCCGUGUCCGAUCAUCACGUGAGACGGACUAGUCAAGAUCGGUGAACAUCUCCAUGUUGAUCGUAUCUUCUAUACGACUCAUGCUCGACCUUUCGGUCCUCCGUGUUCCGAGGCCAUGUCUGUACAUGCUAGGCUCGUCAAGUCAACCUAAGUGUAUUGCGUGUGUUCCGAGGCCAUGUCUGUACAUGCUAGGCUCGUCAACACCCGUUGUAUUCGAACGUUAGAAUCUAUCACACCCGAUCAUCACGUGGUGCUUCGAAACAACGAACCUUCGCAACGGUGCACAGUUAGGGUGACACUUUCUUGAAAUUAUUAUACGGGAUCAUCUUACUUACUACCGCCGUUCUAAGCAAAUAAGAUGCAAAAACAUGAUAAACAUCACAUGCAAUCAAAUAGUGACAUGAUAUGGCCAAUAUCAUUAUGCUCCUUUGAUCUCCAUCUUCGGGGCACCAUGAUCAUCUUCGUCACCGGCAUGACACCAUGAUCUCCAUCAUUGUGUCUUCAUGAAGUCGUCACGCCAACGAUUACUUCUACUUCUAUGGCUAACGCGUUUAGCAACAAAGUAAAGUAAUUUACAUGGCGUUAUUCAAUGACACGCAGGUCAUGCAAAAUAAUAAAGACAACUCCUAUGGCUCCUGCCGGUUGUCAUACUCAUCGACAUGCAAGUCGUGAUUCCUAUUACAAGAAUAUGAUCAAUCUCAUACAUCACAUAUAUCAUUCAUCACAUCUUCUGGCCAUAUCACAUCACAUAGCACUUGCUGCAAAAACAAGUUAGACGUCCUCUAGUUGUUGUUGCAAGUUUUUACGUGGUUUGUAGGUUUCUAUCAAGAACGUUUCUUACCUACAUAUGACCACAACGUGAUUUGCCAAUUUCUAUUUACCCUUCAUAAGGACCCUUUUCAUCGAGUCCGUUCCGACUAAAUUAGGAGAGACAGACACCCGCUAGCCACCUUAUGCAACUAGUGCAUGUCAGUCGGUGGAACCUGUCUCACGUAAGCGUACGUGUAAGGUCGGUCCGGGCCGCUUCAUCCUACAAUGCCGCCGAAACAAGAAAAGACUAGUAGCGGCAAGAAGAAUUGGCAAACUCAACGCCCACAACUGCUUUGUGUUCUACUCGUGCAUAGUAACUACGCAUAGGCCAAAGCACUCCUACGGUAUCCGGGAGUUGCACGAUCUCAUGGUCUAAGGAAAAGAUACUUGACAUUGGAAAAGCUCUAGCAAACGAAACUACACGAUCUUUUAUGCUAUGCUUAGGAUUGGGUCUUUGUCCAUCACAUCAUUCUCCUAAUGAUGUGAUCCCGUUAUCAACGACAUCCAAUGUCCAUAGUCAGGAAACCAUGACUAUUUGUUGAUCAACGAGCUAGUCAACUAGAGGCUUACUAGGGACACGUUGUGGUCUAUGUAUUCACACAUAUAUUACGAUUUCCGGACAAUACAAUUAUAGCAUGAAUAAUAGACAAUUACCAUGAACAAAUAAAUAUAAUAAUAACCAUUUAUUAUUGCCUCUAGGGCAUAUUUCCAACAAUAACCAUAUCAGGCUCAAAUGCAUAAGCCUUGCAUAGUGCUUGCCAAGUUUUGCAUUCAAAAUAGGUGUACGUGUCUGCAUUGUAUAAUUUGACGUUGAAAGUAUAACCAGCAUGCUCGGUCUUCAGGUAAACUCUCUUUACCUCCAUAGUUUCCAUAACACUGAAACCUAUCUUAUCCAAGACAAAAAUUCUUGCAUGGAAGGGGAUGCGCUAGUAGAAUAGUGAAAAUUUAAAAUUAUAAGUUGAAGCAAAUGAAGCAUAUAUAAGUCAUGCUUAAUUACGAAAAAAGACUUGUCAUUGUGACUUACUGUAUCCACUUCGAAGUUCUCAUCCAGCUUGAUGCUGAAGCGCCUAUCAUCAACAAGGAAAUUUAUGUCGCACAGGCCGCGCUGGUCUUCACAGAAUUCGCACUUAAUGAAAUCUUUUUCGUCGUCAGACGACAUUUCCUAUGUUCAUAUAGGUGAAACAUUAAACACUUACUAGUUCUAUUAAUUCAACUAAUUCAACUACUUCUAUUAGUUCAACUAGUUCUAUUAAUUCAACUAAUUCAACUAAGCAUUUAAUAAAAAUAAACGUGUUCUAUUAAUUUUCUUACUAAAAUAAAGUAGCUAGUUCCAUAUAGUAAUAUUUUAAUUAGAUCAUCAAAUCUCAGAUAUCUANNNNNNNNNNNNNNNNNNNNNNNNNNNNNNNNNNNNNNNNNNNNNNNNNNNNNNNNNNNNNNNNNNNNNNNNNNNNNNNNNNNNNNNNNNNNNNNNNNNNNNNNNNNNNNNNNNNNNNNNNNNNNNNNNNNNNNNNNNNNNNNNNNNNNNNNNNNNNNNNNNNNNNNNNNNNNNNNNNNNNNNNNNNNNNNNNNNNNNNNNNNNNNNNNNNNNNNNNNNNNNNNNNNNNNNNNNNNNNNNNNNNNNNNNNNNNNNNNNNNNNNNNNNNNNNNNNNNNNNNNNNNNNNNNNNNNNNNNNNNNNNNNNNNNNNNNNNNNNNNNNNNNNNNNNNNNNNNNNNNNNNNNNNNNNNNNNNNNNNNNNNNNNNNNNNNNNNNNNNNNNNNNNNNNNNNNNNNNNNNNNNNNNNNNNNNNNNNNNNNNNNNNNNNNNNNNNNNNNNNNNNNNNNNNNNNNNNNNNNNNNNNNNNNNNNNNNNNNNNNNNNNNNNNNNNNNNNNNNNNNNNNNNNNNNNNNNNNNNNNNNNNNNNNNNNNNNNNNNNNNNNNNNNNNNNNNNNNNNNNNNNNNNNNNNNNNNNNNNNNNNNNNNNNNNNNNNNNNNNNNNNNNNNNNNNNNNNNNNNNNNNNNNNNNNNNNNNNNNNNNNNNNNNNNNNNNNNNNNNNNNNNNNNNNNNNNNNNNNNNNNNNNNNNNNNNNNNNNNNNNNNNNNNNNNNNNNNNNNNNNNNNNNNNNNNNNNNNNNNNNNNNNNNNNNNNNNNNNNNNNNNNNNNNNNNNNNNNNNNNNNNNNNNNNNNNNNNNNNNNNNNNNNNNNNNNNNNNNNNNNNNNNNNNNNNNNNNNNNNNNNNNNNNNNNNNNNNNNNNNNNNNNNNNNACGGCGACGACGGGCGGUGAGGGCGACGGCGGUGACGGCGACGACAUGCGGCGGGGGCGGCGGCGAUGUCGCGCGAAGUAGUUGGAGAAGAAGUGGUGGUCGAUGAAACUGAAUUUUUCGUAAGUGCCAUAUAUAUAGGAGGGGCCUUUAGUACCGGUUGGAGCCACCAACCGGUACUAAAGGCCAAUUUUCGCCAGGCCAAGGGGCGGGAAACUGCCCCUUUAGUACCGGUUCGUGGCUCCAACCGGUACUAAAGGCCCCCCCUUUAGUACCGGUUGGAGCCACGACCCGGUACUAAAGGUGUGCGCUGGCGCAGGAGCGGUGCGGGCAAGUUUAGUCCCACCUCGCUAGCCGAGGGGCGCCCGCACCAGUUUAAAAGCCCCGGCGCGGCUGCUGUCUAGAACUUCUCUCCAUAGCAGGCUUCUGGGCCUAACUUUGGCGCGCUGCCCGUUGAGCCUGCUGGCCCUUCUGGGCCUGUAUUUGCAAACCCUAGGGUUGGCAGGCCCAGCGGGCAGCGCCCCAAAAUUUUUUUAUACAAUUUUCUUCUAUUUAUAUCCAAGUAAUUUUUUUGCUGUAUUUAGUUUCUUUGUGAAUAUAAAAAAAAUUAUAUAGUUUUUUCUUUUCUGCAUUAUUUAUUUUCUGCUAUUCAUUUUGUAGUGAUUUUCAAUUUCACCGUCAUUUAGCUCUCUAAACAAAUCGGUAAAUGACUGAAAAACAGCAAAUGAUGUCAAAACGUGUUGGAAAUUGAUGACGUCACUUUGAAUGAUGCAUACUGAACGCAAAAAUAGGCUGGAGUUCAAAUAAGUUUAAAAACAUUGAAGUGCCCGUGUAACAGAUGAGUUCUCGUCCGAAACCCUGAUACUCCGAAAGAGAUUGUCCAGUUUGUACACGAGGUGCAUCCAGUUUUCGCCGUGACCCUCUCUACUCUUUUGCACAUGCUAUGCGGGCGAAAUGAUGAUACAAUGCCAAGUUCCAACAUUUUCAGAGUUCAUUUUGUAGUGAUUUUCAAUUUCACCAUCAUUUAGCUCCCUAUACAAAUCGGUAAAUGACUGAAAAACAGCAAAUGAUGUCAGAACGUGUUGGAAAUUNNNNNNNNNNNNNNNNNNNNNNNNNNNNNNNNNNNNNNNNNNNNNNNNNNNNNNNNCUUUGAAUGAUGCAUACUGUACGCAAAAAUAGGCUGGAGUUCAAAUAAGUUUAAAAAACAUUGAAGUGCCCGUGUAACAGAUGAGUUCUCGUCCGAAACCCUGAUACUCCGAAAGAGAUUGUCCAGUUUGUACACGAGGUGAGUCCAGUUUUCGCCGUGACCCUCUCUACUCUUUUGCACAUGCUAUGCGGGCGAAAUGAUGAUACCAUGCCAAGUUCCAACAUUUUCAGAGUUCAUUUUAUAGUGAUUUUCAAUUUCACCGUCAUUUAGCUCUCUAAACAAAUCGGUAAAUGACUGAAAAACAGCAAAUGAUGUCAGAACGUGUUAGAAAUUGAUGACGUCGCUUUGAAUGAUGCAUACUGAAUGCAAAAAUAGGCUGGAGUUCAAAUGACUGAAAAACAGCAAAUGAUGUCAGAACGUGUUGGAAAUUGAUGACGUCGCUUUGAAUGGUGUGUACGGAACGCAAAAAAGUCUGGAGUUGUAAUAAGUUUAAAAAAAUGAAGUGCCCAUGUAACAGAUGAGUUCUCGUCAGAAACCCUGAUAUUUCGAAAGAGAUUGUCUAGUUUGUACACGAAGUGCGUCCAGUUUUUGCCGUAACACAAGAAGUCCGGAGUUGUAAUAAGUUAUUAAAGAUAAAAAAGAGGCAUAAUGCUCGUUAAUUAGCUUCAAGCCUUUCGGAAUAGUGCAAACUGCACUGCACAUAGCUCCGUGCAGUCUAUACUAUUCCUCAAGGCUUAAAGCUAAGCAACGUGCAGAUGAGCAUUGCGCCUCUCCUUCAUCGUCUCUGCACUCAGGGCUUAUAAACCGCUCCUAGUGCCUCUCUCUUCGCGAGGUGGGACUAAAAAACAGCUUACUAAGAAACUAUAGUACCGGUUCAUGGCACGAACCGGUACUAAAGGUGCCCGUGGGGCCCCAGCCUGACCAUAGCCUGACGCAGCAUCAUUAGUACCGGUUUGUGACACGAACCGGUACAAAAGGUUGCUCACGAACCGGUACUAAUGAUCUCCGCCCGUCUAGCCAUUGGAACCGGCACUAAUGGACACAUUAGUGCCGGCUCAAAAUCAAACAGGCACUAAUGUGCUUCACAUUUGACCCUUUUUCUACUAGUGUAGGGUUAUAAGGAAGGUUUGUAUGUGAUUACCGAAUGUUGUUCGGAGUCCCGGAUGAGAUCCCGGACGUCACGAGGAGUUCCGGAAUGGUCCGGAGACGAAGAUUUAUAUAUGGGAAGUCCUUAUUCAGUCGCCGGAAGUGUUCGGGGGUAUAUCGGUAUUGUAUCGGGACCACCGAAAGGGUUCCGGGGGUCCACCGGGAGGGUCCACCUGCCCCGGAGGGCCCUAUGGGCUGAAUAUAGAGGGGAACCAGCCCCUAGGUGGGCUGGGCGCCAAACCCCCCUAGGGCCCAUGCGCCUAGGGUUGGGGGGGAACCCUGGAGGGGGUGCCCCCUUGGCUUGGGGGGCAAGCCUCCCCCCCUUGGCCGCCGCCCCCCUCUAGAUCCAUCUGGAGGGGGCCGGCCCCCCUCUCCCUUGCCCCUAUAAAUAGAAGGGGGGUGGGAGGGCAGCCGCACCACAUCCAAGGCGCAGCCCCUCCCCUCCCCAACACCUCCCCUCCUCCGCGUGAGCUUGGCGAAGCCCUGCCGGAGAACUGCCACUCCACCACCACCACGCCGUCGUGCUGCUAUUGGAGCCUUCUUCCUCAACCUCUCCCUCCUCCUUGCUGGAUCAAGGCGCGGGAGACGUCACCGGGCUGCACGUGUGUUGAACGCGGAGGCACCGUUGUUCGGUGCUUGGAUCGGAUUCUGCCGCGAUUUGAAUCGCUACGUGUACGACUCCUCUAACCGCGUUCUUGCAACGCUUCCGCAUCGCGAUCUUCAAAGGUAUGAAGAUGCACUCCCCUCUCGUUGCUAGUAAACUCCAUAGAUUGAUCUUGGUGAUGCGUAGAAAUUUUUUAAUUUCUGCAACGAUCCCCAACAACGACGUGGAAGGAGCCCUCUAGCCAGGGAGAACUGCAAGGAACACAUGACCAAUAUCAAGUAGUGGAAUCGUGAGCGGGAGGAGAAGGAAUGAUGAUCUCUAUCUAUGUCAGUGCGGUCAUAGGCAAUGCACCAUUUCCUUAUUAAUUAUCGCUUCGUUAGCUUGCAUCUAUGUUGGUUUGAUGUUGGACAUUGGUGUGUCUGUCGAUAUAGUAUUGCUUGGUUUACUGAGCUCUAAGGUGCAAGAUUCAUUUGGAGUUGUGUAAGUUUAUGAAUAUUUGUCAGUGGGAUCUGCUAUCUUAUUGUUUGAGAAGUUAGUGUCAUGCCUUUAUUUAUUUGGUUGAUUGGUCUUCUCUUGUUAGGUGUUACCCUUCAUGAAGGCACUGCCUUAGUUGCUCGUUUUGUGUUUUUUGUUGAAAUUGAAGAUAUUGGACGCAAUGUUGGUUCGGUUUGUUCCUCGGGGCACGGGCAUCCGGGGCGCAAUGUAUGACCUUGACCAUGCUUCCUCCAUGGCUUCUCCCUUUAUCCCGGCCAGGUCUUGCAACCCACUUGUCCAUCUAGUCUGUCCUGGAGUAGUGGUAGUGCGACGAUGGUGCCGAGCAUUGGCAGUGACGUGGUCUAGACACCCCAUGUAUCUUGUCUCUUUGUACCAUGUAUCUGGUCUCUUUGCCUUGCCGGCUGACUUCGAGUUAGAAGAGUUUUGUGAUGUGUUGUAUCCCUCUUUGCUAUUACCACAUGUAGUAUGGUGCUGCUCGCUUCUCUCAUAUAUGUAACUGUUAUUUCUCUCUUUCCUAUCAAUAAAAUGAUACACAAAAUUUGCGUAUUUGUGAAAAAAAUAAAACAUGUAAUUAUGUGUCGUACUUUUUUCUCCGUUCCAUCUGCUGUUGCAUGCAUGACUUCGGUGCUCUUUUGGUCCCUCUGUACGAAAGAUACAGAUAUGGUUUGGGCCCAGCCAUCAGCUGACGAUAUAGAGAUAGUCGGAUGAACAAAUACAAAUGGAAGCAUUACGACGUGCAGGUGAAAAUGGUAAAGCCAAACCGGAAAAGGAGAAGCAUUGUGAUGUGAUAUUUGGAUUUUGAAUUGAAUGUUUAGAACUUUAGCUGUUUUUUUCUUUGUGAAAAAUAACUAAACUUCAAAGGCACUUCCGAUCGAAGAAGAAUCAAUGCAAGCCAUGCGACGUACCUAGUGCCUUUUUGCCUCACCUAUGAGGACCGCUGGCAGGGUGAAAUAAUUUUCCAACUAAGCAACACAAUGAGAGACUGCGUGUGGUCUUUUACCCAAACGAGUAGCGAAUAGUUCUUAUAGAUGAACAUUCAGACAUACUGUAUAUCACUUACUAAAUGAUACAGAGCAAGGGUAGCAGGGAAAUGAGAAUGACGACCAAUUAAUCCAGAGAUAUAUGAUUACAGAACACCAAUCCAGAGAUACAUGAAUACAAGGUAGAGAUACAUGAGUGCAACCACCAAAUCAAAGAAACCAGAAAUGCACUGAAGGAGAGAGUACAUAUUGUAGUGAGAUGAAAGCCUCACGACAGAGUUCAUUGCAGAGGAAGAUACACAGCAUCAUUCAACGGAAAAGUGACUCUAGAUGCCUUUUAACGACGCUGUUCUUCGCGUGUUCUGUGAUGAUCCAUACGAGGGUCGUGAGCUCGCCGCCCCAGCUGAGCUGCUUGGCAUGAGCAUCCCUGCCGCACCGGAUGGACGCGUACAUGAGCAGACGCACCCAUGCAUCCAGGACGAGCUCCAGCAUGUCGUCCAUAUCCCCCACAGGAAGUUCCAGCAAACGUGGAAUCCAAUAUGCAAGUCUUCCCACCGUACUUGGGGCUUCUCCGGCAGUUUCACUUCCUCCAUCCUUGGACACUUGGCUUAGCAGCAUCCAGGCAAGUCGAGUUCCUUCCAAGACGAUAGCAGGACGUAGGCCCUCAUAAAGACCCAUGUUUACCAGCAUCCAAUUGAGAAGCUCCUUCUUCUCGUCUGUUGAAUAACUAGUGUGUUUACGUCCCUCGAUCUUCGCCUUGAUGCCCCGUAUCUUCCGUAGAGUAUCCCGGGUUUCUUCAUACAGGCUGCGGAGCUUAAGUCCUGGUAGCAUUUCCGGGCGUUUGGCGAUGAGGAACAUCAUGUAGUCUGACAUCUGCUUGAUCACCUCUGCAUGUUCCUCGGACUCUUCUCCUGUGAUCCUGGGGCUGCACGAGAGGAAGACGUCUGUGGCGAUGUGCCAGAUGAGGAUAACCUCUUGAAGCUCAAGAGGGAAGCCCAUGUCUUUGUCUGACUGAUCUGUAGGCUUGAUGCUUGCAGCUUUCACAUCAUAACCGGAACUGGCGUUGACAUUCCUCCAUAGAUUAACUUGCUCAUAGGGUUCAGGAGUUCGAUCAUACCUCCAGCGGUAAGUUUGCUGCUUGAAAUUGCUUUCUUCAGAUGGUGCAUUUCUCAUACCAGCAGAAACCUGCCAGGGGUAAGGCAGCCUCGGGGGUUCACUGUUGGUACUGUUGCAGAACCGCUCUGCGGGGUAUUGCCGCCAGGGAGCAGCCUGAUCGUCCAAAUCAUUGCAGAUCCACUCUCUAGGGCAUAGCGGCCACAGAGUAGGCUCAUCAUUUACACCAUUGCACAUCUGCUCCCUGGGGUAUGGCAGCCGCAGAGUAGGCUCAUCAUUUACACCAUUGCACAUCUGCUCCCUGGGGUAUGGAGGCCCUUGAGGUCCACACAGGAUACCAAGGCAGUGCUCAUGGGGAUCCAGUGACCUUGGAUGCACACAUGUGCAAUAGUUUGGUAGCUUAGAUCCGCAGCCCGGCCACCCCCCAGGACAUGGAAUGAUAGUGCCUCCGGGUUGCUCAAAGCCCAUCAACCCUGUGGGAGCCUUCUCGUGGCCCGGCCACUCUGGAAACUUUGGAGUGACAUCGCCUCCAGGGUGCUCAGGGCCCGUCAACCCUGUAGAAGGCUUCCCCUUGCCCGGCGGCUGUGGAGACCUGUCAGUGUCAGUAUCACUAGACUGGGGGUCCGUCGGCCCUUUGCCCGGCGGCCGUGGAGAUCUUGGACUAUCAGUGUAGCUGGGCUGCUGGGGGUUCGUCGAGCCCGCAGGAUCAGGGAAUAAGUUUGUGCAUAUGUUACUGAAUACCAGCUUCUUGACAGAGUCUGGAAUCUCAAGGCCCCUCGAGUAGCCUUCCGAUUGAAAGCCCCUUGACCUUGAGUGGUCUCUUGAUUCAGUCGCCAGUCUAGGUAUGCUGUAUAGGUUGUGCCUGUUCCCUGCCGUGCACUGGUCCAACAAGUUGAGCUGACCGAAGGUGCCCACCCAUCUUCUGUAGCUUUUAGGCACCUUGGGACAUGAGCAUGUCCCCAACCACACGGAGAGCCGGGAAAGACACAGCGACACAACAAACCGACGGAGUUUCUCCCAUACCUCUUGGCACCAAAAUUCAUGCUUUAGCCAAUUGUGUGGCAUAAGUUUGAAGUAUGAAUGUGUCCAGGCUGAUGCUAGUGCUCUGAGCAGCCAUCUCACAUCGAAGAGGAAGGUCGUCACCAACAAUACAUAACUGAUAACUUCAUCUUCUUUCUUCAUGGCCUUUUUGCAAUGGAGGCCAAAAAACAGGAGCGCGGUGGCAGUGAGGGGCGGCGAGGCCAGACGGAUGACGUAGCCAUGCCAUGUGUGGACCACGGCUGCCUUGGUGUACAGUAUGUCAUACAUAAGGGAGAGUUCCAUCUCUACCACCGUGCACAUAUUCUCCCAUCUACCAAAGAACAACAUUCUUGUGAUGUCAUCACGAUCAAUUUUUGCCUUAUAAUCACAGAAGGCACCCUUGCUGACCUCGAACAGAUUGUGAGCAACCAGUAGGGCUUCAUCAUCUUUUAGGACCAACGGCUUCCCUUGAUCUCCUCUAUAAUCAUCAAUGGUGUAUGUCUGCUUGUUGGAUAACCCGUGGUCCCGGAUGCGGCCCAAGUCGCUUCGCCGAAGCGCCAGCAUACUCUCCAGAUACUUCAAAAUGCCCAGGGGUAACAUGAUGCCGGAUGCCCAGCGCAGAAACCAGUCGGCAGUGCAUUCAGUAAGUAUAUACCUGUACACAAUAAUGAAGGAUCCCAAAGACUUAACGAGGGCUAACAAGAACAGGCGCAGCCAGAGCUCAUUAUCCUCCAUGGUGUAGGCGCUGAUGUUGUCGGGGCGAGCAUGAUGCAGCAGGAGGAAUGGCACCCAGAAGGCAAUGAUUAUCUUAUCGCGCGGCGAGGUUUCGAGGUAAAGGUUGCUGAUGACAUAUGCCGGGCCCCAGUCGGUCAGCAGGUACGCCAACCACAGUGACCCUCUCUUCCAACCUUUGCCUUCACGCCGGCGGCUCUCGGAGAGACAGAGAGGAUGAGAUGCAUGAGUAAGCUGAGAAGCGGCACUGCCCGGUACACAUAGACACUCAACCACUUCACCGGAACUUCUAUCCAUACUACAGCCAUUUUGCUACCUCCUGCAUACACUGCAAUCAAGAUAAGUUUGUUACACUGACAGCAAUGCAAACAUGCAUCUCGUAUGUGUUGCAUCUGCAUGCUAGAGAGAGGUUAAUAAGGACCAAAGACCAGGAUCAAAUAUACAUACCGGUAUGCAGCAGCUAACUAGGCAGAUUGAUGCUUCCACUUUCCAGAGGAGAGUUAAGACGAGUUGCUCUUGAAUCUUGUGUCUAGAGACAGGACUAGCAUAUGGGCAGUUCUAAGUUGCUCCACUAAGCUUGCCAGCAGAGAGUACCUAACUAGGUUCAGUGCGUUUUAGUAUUUGAUCCAUUAAACAAUAGCUACUAUGCAUCAAGAUUCGUCUGAAGUCCUAAGAAAAUACAAGGUUGUCAGGGACUGUUUUCUUUGGCUGGGGUUGUUGUCGAUCUGAAUUAAGGAUGUAGUGUUUGGCAGAUCCAGUCUGCAAAAUUUGUCCUACUUACUAGGACAACUGACCAAUAUUGUUCUUAACUGCACUUCCUAGUGUACACACUAGCAGCCACAAACAAAAACUAAUGACUGUGGUAACCAACAGUCACCGAGGAAACGUGCACAUCACAUGCUAACACAUGCACUGAAGCUAUAAUUCUUAUUAAGUUAAAAAUAAAAGAGAAAUUUGCUUAUUCUCUCACAAACGCAUUCCCUUUGCGGAUUCUGCAUCAAGUAGGUAAAUGCACCCUUUUUCAUCCGAGCCAAAUAAGCAAGAGAUUGUCCUGGACAGCUAAUCAACAUUGUUCUCAAUUCCACUUUCCCAGUGUACAUACCAGCAGCCACAAACAAAAACUAAUGACCGUGGUAACCAACAAUCACCGAGGAAACCGGCAGAGUCACAUGCACCGAACUGAAGCUAAGAUGAUAAGUACUCCUUCCGUUCCAUAAUGUAAGACGUUUUUUGCUGGCUGUCUAGUACUACUAGAAUGGAUUAGAUACGUUUCUUCUUAUCAGGCUAAAACAAAAGAGAAAAUUGCUUAUUUGUGCCUCACAAACGCUUGGCAAUCCUACUCUGGCAUUUUUCUUUUCUAUCAGUGUCAAAUAACAAGAGAGAUUGAGAGAGCGCUCACCGAAAUCAGUGGAGCGGAGCUUGGGCAUCUGCAGGAACUCGGCAUACUCCUGCUCCCGGCCAUGCCGGAGACCGCGGCACACGAAAUCUUGAAACAAUGGAGAAGGGCGCAAAAUUCAAGCCCCCGCUGCCUUGCGGUCCUCCUCGCGGGCACCGGCCAGCCGCUUCAGGUCAGGGACCGAGCGCGGAAGGGCGCCGCCGCCUCGAUUCCCUCCUCGGUGGUCGGCUCGGCGCACGCGGGAGAGGGCGAUGUCCUCCCUGGCCUCCCCUACAGGAUCCGGAACCGGGAGGUUCGGCCAGGAGUGGCGGCGGACGAGCCGACGGGAGGGGCGCUGCCAUCGCUGGUCGCCUGGUCCGGUGCCGCCGUACGGGGGAGGCGGGCGCGACUAUGAGUUUUUUUUUAGACAACUAUGAGUUGCAUUUUUUUAGUGUAACUAUGAGGUUUUUUUAAACAACUGUAACUUCAUUGAUGCUCGUAACAAUUACAGCACACUGAUUUGGACCUAAGAUCCAAAAAAUAUAAAUUAACUCCUAUGACUAAAAAUUAUAAUAAAAUAUCUGCUUUAAGAAAUACUCCAAAGACUUAGGUAAAGAGGUUGCAAUUAGACUAGAGCAAUGAUGUUGUCACUCUUUCACCUACAAGAAUUUUAACAAUAAUGGUUUUUUAAAGCGCCUUGAGUCGCCCAUUUAAAAAGGUGGAAAGCCUUGAUCGAUGAACGUAUUUGGGCCUGGAUGAUCCCGUAGAAGUGCAAGCCAUCGAAUCACUAUAUCUUCACCAUGGUGUUGAUGAAAGUUUUCACCUCCACAAAAAGAAUCAAACCAACAAAAAAAAUCUUAACACAGCAACAUAAUGAUAGAGGCAAAGGUGUCCGUCUUUCGAUGAGAUGGUGAUUAUCAUUUUCGAAGGAGUAGACUUUGACGAUCCGGCUACGAACGUGCAAGGACACCGCACCUUAGCAAUCGCUAAACCAACUUUGAGAGCUUAUUGACCACGCCGGAGCACGAUCAACCUGACCACGAGGGUCUAUUUUCUACAAGCAAACAAGAACAAAGAAGAAAUUGAGAUUGCAAUCUGGAUAUUGCGAAUAUAAGAAGAAAGAUCUAUUGAUCAAGGUGGGGUUCUGUGACGUAUUGGUCUGGUCGUUGAACACAAACGAAGUACGCGAAGUUACAGCUGAUGAGCUUUAAUCUAAACAAAACCCAAAGUCUAAACGAUGCCCUAAGGGCUGUAUAUAUGGAGUAGGGGGAAUUUUGUGACCCCUUGGAGGAGGGGUCUGAAACCAACCCUUAACUCUGUUUCCCCACACAUACGGACUCUAAAAACAGUCUAUACUGAAUUUUUUCGAAAUUACAUGGGCCUGCCCCAAUAAUAAGGUGUCGCAACACCUAUAAUAGCCUCUGAACGAAAUUUAUGAAGUAGCAUCUUGUAUAUUUCGUCUGAGCCUUCAUGUACUCAUUAUGAUGGCUUCAAAGUUGUGAAAUCAUUACUUGAAACUCCGUUCUUAUUUCCCUUGCGCAUGCCAUCAACUCCAUGUUUGAUCUUGCUCCAAUGUUCAUCUUUCUUGUCCAAGCUAGGCCAUUUAUUUGCAAGCAAAAAAAUGUAUCCAAUUUAGGCAGCGUCAUAUUCUCAUGAACAUUAGAAUUGUUACCAAGAAACGAAAGUACCCGGUAAUUCAAUUGACGUGUGCGAGCUCUAGUAAUUGGUUCGGUAUGUAUAGCAGUAGGGACCGUGGGUGUAACAAUGGUAUUAACGUCCACAUCACAUAAACUCAUCAUAUCCGAAUAAUCAAAUCUGCAAGGACAGGAAACUCUCUAACCUCAUGGCACUACCAAAAGAACGAGAGAAAAUUUAUUCUCACAAAAUUAUAACGAUCACUAGGCGUUGACGAAGAACAUAAAGAUCCUGAAGAUCCCAGGUCCCCCCCCCCCCUCUCAGUGCCAAGAUGGCACUUGGAUGCGAGGGGACCAAAAUUUCUCAGAUAAUUAUGAGUUGCUUAACAGUGAGACCGAAGGAGGCGAUAUGGGCUGGCCCAGCUUGCGAGAGAUCCACGGGCCUUAAGCGUUUGUUUUUCAUUUUUUUUCGUAUUUUUGCUUUCCUUUUUUUACUUUUUAAAAAAGUUUUAUUUAUACAUAGAAAUAUUAUAAAAAUAAUUAUAAAAAAUUUAAAUAAAUUAUAGGUGUUCAUUUGAAAAAUGUUAAACACAUAUACAAAAAAUUUCUAAUGUAUACGAAAAAUAUACAACGUGUAUAAAAAAGUAGACAUCAAAACAUAUUUUUGAAAAAAAUGUUAAAUGGGUAUAUUUUUUAUGAUGAAUAAAAAUAUGUAGAUGGUCUAUGGAAAAUGCAGACAUCAAAAUUUUUUUUUUAAAGUGUGUGCAGUGUUAAAAAAGUGUUUGUGCAACUUAGAAAAAUCGUGAUAGCAUUUGGAAAAAAUAUCUCAACACGUAAUUGAAUUUUUAAAUAAUAUUCGGACAACAAUGUUCAAAAACAUGUGUUUGAGAAAAUGUUAAUCAUGGUUUGAGAAAUGCUAAACAUAUAUAACAUAAAUGUUUCUCAUGUAUACCAAAAAUGUACAAUGUGUCUGGCACAAAGUACACACAAAAACAUGUAUUUGAAAGAAAAUUAAUCAGUGUAUUUACAAAUGUUAAUCAUGUAUUUAAUUUUUUUAACAUGUAUAAUAUUUUUCCUAGAUGUAUAAAAAAAUGUAGACAUCAGAAUUUAUAUUAUAAAAAAUGUUAAUCAUGUAUUUAAAAAUGUUAAAGAUGCAUAAAACAUAUUUUUAUCUAUAUAACAAAAAAAUUGUAUGUGAGAAAAGUAGACAUGUGUUGAAGAAAGAAAAAAGAAACAAAAACUGAAAAAAAACAUUAAACACAAUGAAAACCAAAGAAAAAUAGAAAUAAAAACUGAGAAAUAAACAAAGAAAAACGAGAAAGAAACAAAUAAAAAGGAAGAAAACCGGAAAAACAAAAGAAAAUGAAGCGAACAAGAGAAGCACAACGACAACUAGCGAAUGAGUGGGCAGGGAAAAGCUUCAAGCGCGGGGAGUAUACAUCUCGCUGUAAGCGAGAUAUAGCUUCCGCAAGAGGCAGCAAGCGGACAAAUGAUGCGAGUGAAUUCGCAGCACCCCAAUUUCAGCAUGUUAUUUUUAUUUUUUAAAAGUUUUCAGUCGUAAAAACACUAUUUUUGUGCUAAUGAUUAUUACAAAUCUCAAAUCUCCAUGAAAUGUUAAAAUUGACCGGCAAGGCUCACUUGUCAGGCCUAGUGACAAGAACAUUGUUUACUUUGAUAUAGCUUUGAAUUUUCAAUCAAGAUCCAAUUAAAACUGGAAAUAAAAACUUUAAACUAAUUAUAUAUUUUUAAAGUUUUUUCAUGAAAAUUGUUUUUCGUUGAAAUUUAGGUAGCUAACUUACCAAUGAUGAUUCUCUCAAGAGUUAGACUGCUCAUUUAAAUGAGCUGAAACUCUUCCAGAAUAGUCAUUCCAAUGAGCGUGAUUCUUCUAGAAACCACAACAAGCAACCUUGCGGUAAAUGACAAUUUUAUGGUAGGCACCCAUCCCAGGAAUUUUGGUUGGAACCAUUGAUGAUGGUGGUGGUGAUGGUUUUUGAUUAUUUCCGGGUCGUCUCUAUAACAAUGUAUAAUACUUCCUGGUAAUCGUUAAUAGAUUUAUAGCAUUGAUUUCUCUAUUGUCAGUGGCAUCAUUUGUUUUCUACUCUUUUAUUGCAACUAUGUAUAUUAUGUGUGAAUGCAUACAACCUUAACAGAGUUGCAUGUUCAUAUUUGUACGUUGUCCAUAAAUCAGAAGUAACUGUUCAAGACACAUGUACUCGCAAAUUCUUUUUUUGCUCAAGACACAUGAAGAAUAUGUAUGAUGUUGUGACACAUUUGAUUGUUGGAAAAAGAUAAUGCUGUAACAAAAAAUUAGUGAUGUAACUCCUUUUGACAUUUUUUGACAAAACUUCUUUUGACUCAAUGAAAACUUCUGCACAUGUCAUGUUUAAUAACAACUCAUAGAACAUCUUUUUUCCCAACAAUUCUAAUUUAUACAAGCUUUUAGAUAAAUAUACAUAUCACAAGUGCUCGACCAUUUUAAGCGCUAGCAUUGACGGCUAGUUAUCGGCUAAUGGUAGAUGGAGACAUGGUGGAAAUACGGCGGAUGCUAGCUAGACACAUGCAUCUGACUAGGGCAGUUACUUCUAUAUGCGUUCAAAAAUGAACAUGCAUAUUUCGCAAAAAAAGAUGAACAUGUCCUUGUAUAUUUCGCAAAAAAAAUGGACAUGUCCUUGAAUAUUGCAGAAAAUGGCUGGUUUCAUCUGAAAUAAUAGCCCAGACUUGUUUGACCGUUACCAUAAAUAUCAACUGAAUAUUUUUCUCUUUGAAAAGGAGGUCAAACCCCCCGGCAUAUCAACAGAAUACUACAGCGAAGUGUUCACUGAAAAUGAGGAAAAAAAGAUCCAUUUCAUGGUUUAGGGUUGAUUCGUAGGAUUUCCAAAACGCGGGAAUAGGAAAAACAUGGGAUUAGAGUGGAAUGCCGUCUUGAAUCCUACAGGAUUGUACGAGUGUUUGAUUGUGCAUAGAGAAAACAUAGGAUUCUUCUAAAGAGGUUUGAGUGGAUGGAAUGUUUCCUAUGAAAUCUAGUGCAAAUGAAUCCUAUGGAAAAAUUCCUAUGGUUUACAAUCCUAUGAAUCAAACAACCAAGAUAGAAAAAAUUCAUAUGGAUUAGAAUCCUCCAAAAUUCCUUUGAGAAUCCUUUGAAUCAAACAAGCCCUUACAUCACAUACAUCAAACAACUUGAGGUCAAGCCUAAAAUAAAUAAAUUGAAGACCAAAGAAUAUUACACGAGGCAUAUGAUCAUAAAGUUUAUAUCCAUACACUACAAAAAAAUACACUUUCGUGAUGAUACGUGUUUGUCACAGUAGGUCGCGUUUUCUGUCAUGCAUGUACAUCCAUGACAAAUUUAUGACAGAAUCAAGAUAGUCAUACCUGUGCUGUCGUAGAAGUGUUCCAUGGCAUUGCCAAAAUUAUCAUCACGGAAGUGUCCACUUCCAUGACGAUAAAUCGCACGUCAUAGAAGUGCUUUCGUCAAGGGUGACCGACACGUGGCAUCCACCGUAACGGAACGCCGUUAAGCUAUCGGGUCGGGUUUUGGAUCCGAUAACCCGUUAACAGCCCCGACCAAUGGGGAUUUUCCACGUGUAAAAUCAUCAUUGGCUGGAGGAAACACGUGUCGGCUCAUCGUUGGGACAGAUGUCAUCCACUCAUUGGACGGAAGGCGCCUAUGAUACGUCGACACGUGGCACGGCCCAACAGAGGCCUAUUCCUGUGAAAAGGCCGGCCCGUUUGACUUGGUCAAAAGGUGGCGGGCCGGCUCAUGGAAAGCCAGUUAACGGCCUGUUCGCAUAUAGCCCAUUUACAACCCGCUAACCCAAGGCCCGUUACGCCCUAUCCGAAUUAGGCCCAGUAGCGUCAUCUGGGCCAUCCAAUAUGAUUCCAGCCCGUUUUCACUUCUGGCCCAUGUAUGGCCCAUGACGUCUUUCGGCCCAUAUGAGGCCCUAUGUAACUCUUGGCCUAUUAACGGCCCGUGGUGAAACUGACCCGUAAUGAACAGUGUAUCACUUUACACCCAAACGGCCCGUGGUGAAACUGGCCCGUAAUGAACAGUGUAUCACUUUAUACCCAUUAACGGCCCGUGGUGAAACUGGCCCAUAAUGAACAGUGUAUCACUUUAUACCCAUUAACGGCUCGUUAUUCCGUUGGGCCGUUUCCAGCCCAUGUUAUCUUUCGGCCUUCUCAGAGCCCAUUUAUUCUUGGGCUCAUUUCCAGCAUUCAUUUACUUAUGGCCCGUUACUGUCAUUUUCUGCUUACGGCCAUAAUGCGGCCUGUUAUUGUCCCAUGUUUGGCCAAUCGAUCAUACGGCCCGUAUAAGGCCCAUUGAUGAUACGGCCCGUAGAAGGCCCAUUGUUUCUACAGCCCGUAGAAGGCCCAUUGUUUCUACGGCCCGUAGAAGGCCUACUGUUUCUAUGGCCCGUAGAAGGCCCACUGUUUCUACGGCCCGUAGGAGGCCCAGUGUCACUACAGUAAAUAUUAGCCCAUGGUUAUUGUGGCCUAGUUUUAAAAAAUAGGUUAUUGCAGCCACUAGCAAACCGCGGAAAAAGAACUGCACUGACUACAAGCAAACAAAUAAACAAGACAACAAGGAAAUAAAUAAGCAAGCAACUUAUGCUAGGCUAUCACGGCUAUUACACAUAUUACAUCCACUGGGCAUCAAAGUUCGCCACCAGUGCAAAUAUAGGGAACAAAGCAGCAUAUAAAUGCCGCAGCAAAACAAGUCCAGAACUGAAACCAUUUCAGAAGAGUUCAAGAAACAAUAUCCUGGGUACCCAUAAUGCUGGCAAGAUGCUUAGCAAGCUUAUUAACUUUCUCUUGUUUGGCGCUUAAAUCCUCCAGUGCUUGCUGUUGCACAAGAAAGUACACAUCUGAAUUCUGCAGGGACUUCCUCAGUCCUUCGGCUUCUUGCCGCAGCACAGCUGACUGAUGCCUUUCAGCUUGUAGCUGAGACUGAAGAAGCCGAAGUGAUUCAGGCAGCGAGUUCGAAGAGCUUGUGCCAGCGGUACUGGCCAGUAACUCGAACACUACAUCAACGCAGGACUGUGGGGUUUUCUCACUGUCUACAAGAUCGUUUUUAUCACCUUUCUUGGAGACCAACAGGGUUGUCUCACUAUCUUGAACCUUAUCUGCAUUACUUUCUCUACCAUUGCAUAGUGGGGUGCUCUUCUCCAAUAUUCUGUUUGCAUACUACAAGAGAAACAAGCAGACACAUCACAGGUUUAGCUUGUAGUAUACGAAACUCAUUUUGGUAAACCGGUUCAGUAGUAAGGUGGACAGGAUAACAGCAUGAAACAAACAUAUAUCUAUGUACUAUGGUCACUGUAUUGUCCAUAUCAUUCUAGUUUAUGUUCCCUAAUCAAGAUAGAGACACAGUUCAACUCAUAUAUUUUUAACACACAACAGCAUAGACAGAAUAUAAGUGUGAGAAACUACACAGCAUUGGCAGCACUUGUAAUGUGCAUCACAUGAGAACAUAACUGUUUAUACAACUUAAACUGAAAUCAACAUAGAGCAAGAAGUUAGAACAGCAAUCCAGUUAAAGAAAUAGGUUUAAAACAUACCUGUUGCGCCAUUGGAGUUUCAAUUGGAUCCUUCAAAUUCGAAAGUAGUUGCUAUGAGUAAAUACAGUGAUGCAACAGCAAAGGAGUAUGGACCAUAGCUACGGAAUCUGACCUGAGAACAGUUGCUCUUCUGCUUUAAACAUGGAGUUUGGGUUAGCUAUGGUGGUCUUCGUGCUUUGGGCACUGCAGUAGCUUUACAAACUGCUCGUGUGGGGGUACUCUGUGGUGGACAUGGUGCUUUGUCAACUAUAAGUGGGUUACUAUCUGCUGGGGUUGCGGUUAGAUGGGUUGUAGCUGGUUCUCUGCCCAACGGUGUAAGUGUGCAAUCUGGAAGAGUCUCGAUUAUGUGUGGUGGGGCUAGUUUGUGGGCCAGUACAACCAUGGUUCUAUCUGCAUCAACGGGUAGCACUGUCUUUUGUGAAGAACGGGUUUUUGCUCCCUUAGAUACUGCCAUCACCCCUCCAAUUCAAAUGGUUGAUAAACAAGAAAAGAAAUUGAACGUACAAACAUUGUAUGAUAGACAGAUGUGGUAAUUCACAUAUAUGUUGUCUAACCAAACAGGACAUCAUGACACAAUUUCACAUAUAUGAUGCCUAACUAAACAGGAUAGCAUGACACAGUUUCAGAUAUAUGAUGGAUAACUUAACAGGAUAUAAUGGCAUAAUUCAACAUAUGAUGAGUACCUAAACAUGAUGACAUGACAAAACUAUAUGAUGUCUUUCUAAAAUAGGUUGGGAUGAAAUAAUUCACAUACAUGUUGUCUAAGUAUACAGGAUGGCAUGAUAUAAUUGACAUAAUUGAUUCAUAUACUAAGCAGCUGGCACUCGCAUGUAUGAUCUCUAAACUAAGCAGAUAGAAUUCAAUAUUGUGCAUAUGAUGUCUAAACUAAGCAAUGCAAGACACCAUAUGCAUCAUAUGAGAAAUAUAAACAUUGCAACUUAGAGCAUACACCUCAGGUGGGAUAUAGGACUGGUCACCUGUCUCUGAAUCCUCCUCUGAGGAUCUCCCUGUAACCAUCGAGAUAUAUGCUUCAACAGGUACCAUUGCCUGCUCUGAAGACCUUGUUUUCACUCCAGAUUUUUCCAUAACCGGCUCAAAUGGCUGAUACACAUGAAGAGUAGUUCAAUAUACACAGAUUGUCGACAAAUGGAAUACGUAAAUGAAAAAAAAGAUGGCAUGAGAUAAUUCACAUAUAUGAUGCCUGGCUCCAUGCCGGUGCAUAAUUUUCACAUAUAUGAUAACUGGCUGAAAAACAUGGCAUUGCAUAUUCACAUAUCUGAUAUAGAAAGCAAACAGGAGGCAUUCACACAAAGCAUGUCUAAUCUAAGCAGAUGGCAUGGCAAUGCAAGACACCAUAUGCAUGAUAUGAGCAAUAUAACCCAGCCAAGUUAGAGCAUGCACCUCGGGGGGGGGGGAUACGACUGGUCAUCUCUCUCUGAAUCCUCCUCUGAGGAGCUAUCUGUAACCAGCAAGAAAUCUGCAUCGACAGGUAGCACUGACUGCUCAGAAGACCUUGUUUUCACUCCAAAUUUUCCCAUGACCGACUCAAAUGGCUGAUGCACAGGAAGAGUAGAUGAAUGUAUAAACAUUGUUGACAAAUGGAAUACAUUAUGGAAAAAAUAUGGCACAAUACAAUUCACAUAUGAAAGGAUCGAUAUAGUUGACUAGAGGGGGGGUGAAUAGGCAACUAAAUUUUUUUAGCUUUUCUUUACCAAUUUAAACUUUGCAUCAAAGUAGGUUGUCUAGAUAUGCAACUAGGUGAGCAACCUAUAUGAUGCAACAACAACAAGCGCACAAGCAAGAAAGGGAUACAACACAAUAUAAGCGUGCACAAGUAAAGGUAAGAGAUAACCAAGAGUGGAGCCGGUGGAGACAAGGAUGUGUUACCGAAGUUCCUUCCUUUGAGGGGAAGUACGUCUCCGUUAGAGUGGUGUGGGGGCACAAUGCUCCCCAAUAAGCCACUAGGGCCACCGUAUUCUCCUCACGCCCUCACACAAUGCGAGAUGCCAUGAUUCCACUAUUGGUGCCCUUGAAGGCGGCGACCGAACCUUUACAAACAAGGUUGGGGCAAUCUCCACAACUUAAUUGGAGGCUCCCAACAACACCACAAAGCUUCACCACAAUGGACUAUGGCUCCGCGGUGACCUCAACCGUCUAGGGUGCUCAAACACCCAAGAGUAACAAGAUCCGCUAGGGAUAAGUGGGGGAAAUCAAAUAUAUCUUGGUGGAAGUGUAGAUCGGGGCCUUCUCAACCAAUCCCGAGCAAAUCAACAAGUUUGAUUGGCUAGGGAGAGAGAUCGGGCGAAAAUGGAGCUUGGAGCAACAAUGGAGCUUUUGGGAAGGGGGUAGUUCAACUUUGGGGAAGAAGACCCCCUUUUAUAGUGGGGGAAGCAAUCCAACCGUUACCCCCCACUUCAGCCCCGCAGAGAGCGGUACUACCACUUGGCCAGCGGUACUACCGCUCCCCCUCGCGGUACUGCCGCUGGGCCCAGAGCGGUACUACCGCGGUGGUCAGGGCGGUACUACCGCACACGAGCGGUACUACCGCCCCCACUGUCGCGGCUAGUACCGUAAAACCCGACACGGAAAAAGACCCCUCGAAUCAAGGCGGUACUAGCACGAAGCCGCAGCGGUACUACGGUUAGGGGCUACAGCGGUACUACCGCUGUGGAGCGGUACUGCCGCUUGUAGCACCCAAGCGGUACUACCGCUCCAGCCCGCGGUACUACCGCUGGGACCAAAGAGGGCACACUGAGAGAGGGGAACGAGCUCAUCAACGAAGCGGAAAGGCUCGGAGGGUGUGCAAAGGAAGUGUACGUGAUGAUUCCACCCUAGCCUUUCCAAAGCGGACCUCCUCUUGAUAGUACGGUGAUCCCUACGAGACUAGUCCACCAAACUAAUUCGAAAGUACUACACCGUCUUCGCUUCAAACUCCGAGGGGAGGGAAUCGUCUCGUGCCAAAGGAUGAAUCUCUGAAAAACUCAAUGCACACGAUUAGUCCGCAAAAGCAUUGUCAUCAAUCACCAAAACAUCUAAGGGAUACAAAUGCCCUUACAACAUAUACGGUGACUGGCUAAACAGGAUGGCAUUGCAUGAUUCACGUAUAUGAUGCCUGGCUAAAGAAGAUGGCAUUGCAUAAUUCCCAUAUACUCCCUCCGUUCCUAAAUAUUUAUCUUUUUAGAGAUUUCAAAUGGACUACCACAUAUGGAAGUAUAUAGACAUAUUUUAUUAGAUUCACUCAUUUUGUUCCGUAUGUAGUCACUUGUUGAAAUCUCUAAAAAGACAAAUAUUUAGGAAUGGUGGGAGUAUGAUAUAGAAACCAAACAGGUGGCAUUCACACAAAGCAAAUCUAAACUAAGCUGAUGACAUAUAAGAUGUAUAAUGUAAGCAAUGCAAGGCGCCAUAUGACCAACAUCAGCAUGCCAGGUUAGAGCAAACACCUCAGGUGGAAAACAGGCGUGGUCGGCUCCUUCUGAAUCUCCAUCUGAACAAUUAUCUUCCUCUGGAAUACAAUCUGGAAAUGCAGGAGGGGGGCACUUCGCCCACCAUGGAGCGGCGUCUGCAUGACAUUAUAUUCGCACGCAACGGUCUUCUCUUUUUCUCUACAUGUUUAGUACGAUUGUGUACAAUAUCUGACAUGCAUAAUAAAAAGAAAUAGUUAGAUUUUGUAAGGCCUAAGGGGUGCAUGCAAAAAUCAAGACUGAUGGUAGCAAACGAGUGGAUGGAUCCAAAACUAAUGAUAGCAGGUAGAUUAUAGCUUCAGUUUAAAAUGAUAGACAAUGGAUCAUCUAUUGUUUGUUGCCCACCCAACAUGAACCACAUAGAAGACCCCAGAUGAACCAGAUAGUAGACAGAUACUAUUCGUUGCUGGCUCGAUAUGAGACCCAUGGGCAAUUCAAAACUCAAGAUUGAACGAUAAAGUAGCAGGUAACAAUAACCGAUGUAUAACGUAAGAAAACACGAAAGACUGCGACCUCUCUUCCGGAACUGUGUAGUCCUCAGGUUCAUCUGCUCAGUCGAUGAUGGUAAUGCAGUUGGCGUGGCUGCCGGCAACAAGGAAGAUGAUCUGAGGCGGCGAAAGGAAGUCUGCAGGGGGGAUCUCUGCUGCAGUGAACGCUUCUGUCGAUGGUGCACCUCAGGUGGGGUGGAUGACGGCACGGCAGGAGCAGGACAUAACACACAGAGUUUUCUUUGACGCCUAUCUGAAAAUGAAGUAAAUCUGUAAGGGAUCCUUAGAAUUGGAGGAUUCUAUAAACGCAGGGACAGGAAAAACACAGGAAUAGGAUAGGAAUGCACGUGCAAAACAGAGCAUUUGGAAACAUAGGAUUUCAGUCAACCUGGGUGUUUGGCUCACAUGAAUUGGAAGAACAGAGGAAUGGAGAAACAAACUGAUGCGACGAGUGUACAACCUCUUUGGCAUAGCCUUGUGGACCUCAACAUCAUUUGGUUGGACGUGGAGGAUGGUGAUGAUGCUGGUGUGACUGUCGGAGGCGGGGAAGAAGAUCUGAGGCCUCUAGAAACGGCGCCGAGGGUACUGCUCUGCUGUGAUGGACGGUUCCAUCGUUGGAGCAGCUCCGCUAAGGUGUACGGCGACGAGGCUGAAGCAUGACAAGACAGACAACGUUAAUCUGAAGUGGGACCCUAAUAUCAUCUGCAAUAGAUGAUGUAAAAUACAUCACCAAAAGUGCUAGAUGUAAAACGCAUCAGUCGCGCCACGGCCGCUCCGACAGAUGCUGUAAGUACUGUUCACUCUGAACUUAACUGAAGAAAAUGAACUUCAUAGUCGAAACUGAAUUUUACUGUCGAAACUGAUUGAACUAGUAACAGAGCAUUGCAAUAGAUGUUUAGGGCGUUCGAGCACUAGUAGCAGAGAUGCAGUGAUCUAAAUCAGCAGACGCUCGAGCAGGGAACGACUAGCAGAGAGCAAGUCGUGCAGUAGCACCGCAAGCGAGUGCUAAAGCAGCAACUCCUGUAGCUGUCGGAGGUCGUGCAGCAGCAGCAGCGCAAGCGAGAGCAAGAGCAGAGCAGCAGCACGAACGAAAGCAGGAGCAGUGCAGCAGCGCGACCGACAGCAAGAACAGAGCCGCAGCGCGAGCGAGAGCCGGAGCAGCUGCAGCUAGUGCCGUUGUGGAAGUCGCCGCCGAGGAAGCAACAACAUGGGGGAGAGACGCCGUGGAUGAUGUGGCCGGCGACGGCGCCGUCGAUGGAGACACGCCAUGUCUGCUCGGUAUCGAGCACCGGUAGCCCCGUGAGAUCGAAUAAAAGACAAAAUGCAGCGGUGAGUGCAGAACCUCCUUGGUGGCGCCGAGUUGGCCUCGGCUUCAUCGGAGGAAUUGGUGAGGGUGUUGCGGUUCCGGUGGGGCAGGUCAAGACGGCGCUGUGGGGAUUGAGGUGGCGCGAUAGAUGAGGCAAACGUCGGGGAAGCUCCUUGGAGGUGGAGGACGGGGCGGCUGAUCCGGCGGGACGACGAGAUCGACAACGGAUCCUCAUCCGGUGCGGUGGAUGAGGGACAGCGAGCUGUUGCGGUGGACGACGUAGUCGGGGAAGAGUCUCCGGCUGGGCGGCGGUCGGGAGGCCGACGGAGGAGCGUGGGGUUUCGCUGGUUUUGGCGGCCUCGGUGUACGAAUGGGGGGGCGAAGGGGGAGGGGGAGCCAAGCUUAGGGACGCGCUUGUCUGAAAUGUAGGGUAAGUUACCAGCGUACCCCCACCGGUUUUGACACCGCGACGUGGAGCUUCAUUUACGGCUGAGGGGUAGAAGGGGGAUUUCGCGUGUCUGGGCUGCGGGAGCAAUUUCGGAUGAGGAGGGAGUUCUCGCGCGCGUCCAAAUUUCGGGAUAACAAGGCGCGGCGCGGGUUGAAGAAGCGGGAGUUUUAAAGCAGGUGAGACAAAAGAUACUCGAGAUUGAAAAUUUCGGGAUAACAAGGUGCGGAUUCCUUGUUCGGCAGAACAAACUUAACGUGUAAAAAAACAAUUCAUACAAGACACAAGAGAGUCAUGUCCCCUUUUACUAUAUUGCUAUAGAUGCCAUUGAAAAAACUACAAGAAAAAUGUAAAAAAAACGGGAGAACAAGAUUACCUUGCACAGUACCAAAUCGAUUCGCACUUCCCUCAACAACAACAAAAACAAAUCAAUUCCCACCAAAGAAAGAGUAAUGUCCCUUUUUAUAUGAUUACAGAUGCCAUGAUCUUGAAUUUCAAUUUUUGAAUCCACGUUAUGUUGAAUUCGAAUAUAUCGUUAGGUGACCUUGCGGUUUAUAAUUGAUGUAGUCGUACAUUUUGAUCUUCCAUCAUAUAUGAACAUUUUACUCCACCAUGUGAACAUAUAUAUUGUCGUCUACCAUAUGGACUAAAUUUGAAUCAAUUUUCCUUAUUUGAAUACGAUUGUUGUCAAGUUAUACAAUAAUUUAAAUAUUAUCUUGAGAACAAAAAACAUACAUAUAGCAGUAAUCAUAUUUCACUAUGAACUACAUGUACCAUACGCUCUCCAAUUCAAAUAUUUGUAUCCAUUUUAUGUUGAAUUCAAAUCAUAGUACAUUAUUGGUCUAGGUAGCAAGAUGUUUGGGAUAAUCAAAACCCUGUUUUCAUACGUAUAAUUUUUAGCUAAAUUGGGACAAGUUUUGGUACAAGCCUCUUGCAAAACCGGAGAUUCUCUCAACAAGCCUCGUGGUUCCGAGAGGGAACGUGUCACCUUUGUGUGCGAAAUGAUAUACGCUGCCUCCCCCUGAUUUUAUUUACAGAGGCAACAUAGAACUAUAUGAGUGCCCUGUUAAAUUUUGGAAUUAUUUCGGGUUCAUUUGGCCUUUUUAUACAUUAAUUGAGUUUCUGGACUUUUAAUGUGCAUAAUAUAAAUAUGAAUUGCAUGCACAUGCUCCGGUGCACCAAAGUGGGUUGAAAAAUCACAUGUGUGUCCUUGGUUGAAUUUCUAGGUCCCAUGGAAGAAAUGAGAAUGAAAUUCAAACAUCUGGGCGUCAUGACUCGGCCGAGAACAUCGAGAAACUUUGAUUUUAAAUUCAUGUAAAUCCAAAACUCGCCUGGAAAUCAUGAAACUUGGCAUGGUGUCAUGUCAUGGCACUAACAUGUUGUGGUAAAAAAUUGGGCCGAUUUGGAAGCUCGUGGUUCUAAGAGGGAACGUGCCACCUUUGAGUGUGAAACGAUAUACGCUGCCCCCCCCCUUGAGUUUCUUAACAAAGGCAACAUAGAACUACAUUAGUGCCCUGUUAAAUUUUGGAAUUAUUCCGGGUUCGUUUGUCAUUUUUUAUACAUUAAUUGAGUUUCUGGUCAUUUAAUGUGCAUAACUCAAAUUUGAACUACAAGCACAUGCUCUCGUGCACCAAAGUUGGUUGAAAAAUCACAUUUGUGUCCUCGGGUGAAUUUCUAGGUCCCAUGCAAGAAAUGAGAAUAAAAUGAAAACAUCUGGGCAUCGUGGCUCGGCCGAGAACAUUGAGAAACUUGGUUUUAAAAUUCUUGUAAAUCCAAAACACGUCUGAAAAUCAUGAAACUUGGCAUGGAUGUCAUGUCAUGGUACUACCAUGUUGUGGUAAAAAAAUUGGCCGAAUAGGAACAGAUUUUGGUAUAAGCUUCUUGCAAACCGAAGCUUCUUUCAAGAAGGCUCGUGGUUCUGAGAGGGAACGUGCCACCUUUGAGUGCGAAACGAUAUACGUUGUCCCCCUUGAGUUUAUUUACAAAGGCAACAUAGAACUACAUGAGUGCCCUGUUAAAUUUUGGAAUUAUUCCGGCUUCGUUUGGCCUUAUUUACACAUUAAUUGAGUUUUUGGUCAUUUAAUGUGCAUAAUUCAAAUUUGAACUACAAGCACAUGCUCCCGUGCACCAAAGUUGGUUGAAAAAUCACAUUUGUGUCCUCGGGUGAAUUUCUACUCCCUCCUUCCAUCUAUAUAGGUCCUAAUGCGUUUUUCGAGGCUAACUUUGACCAAACAUUAGAGCAAUAAUAUAUGACAUGCAACUUACACAAAGCAUACCUUCAAAUUUGUAUGUCGAAGGAGCUUCCAAUAAUAUAUUUUUCAUAGUAUACAUCUCAUGUGCUAUUAAUCUUGUCAAUAGUCAAAGACUGUCUUGAAAAACACAUUAGGCCCUAUAUAGAUGGAAAGAGGGACUUGGUCCCAUGCAAAAAAUGAGAAUAAAAUUCAAACAUCUGGGCAUCGUGGCUCGGUCGAGAACAUUGAGAAACUUGGUUUUAAAAUCAUGAAACUUGGCAUGGUGUCAUGUCAUGGUAGUACCAUGCCGUGGUAAAAAAAUUGGCCGAAUAGGAACAAAUUUUGGUAUAAGCUUCUUGCAAAUCGGAGCUUCUCUCAAGAAGGCUCGUGGUUCUGGGAGGGAACGUGUCACCUUUGUGUGCAUAAUUCAAAUUUGAAAUACAAGCACAUGUUCCAGUGCACCAAAGUUGGUUGAAAAAUCACAUGUGUGUCCUCGGGUAAAUUUCUAGGUUCCAUGCAAGAAAUGGGAAUGAAAUUCAAAAUUCUGGGCGUCGUGGCUGGGUUGGAAACAUUGAGAAACUUAGUUUUUUAAUUCCUGUAAAUCCAAAACACGCAUGAAAAUAAUGAAACUUGGCUUGGUGCCAUGACAUGGCACCAACAUGCAGUGGUAAAUUUGCAGUCCGAUUUGCGAAGGCGCACACAUUAACAAUCAACAAGUCAUUUUGGAACAAGUGCUGUCACGUUACAAUCGGAAACACAAGUAUUAUUGAAACCGUGGGCGUUCUACUUACUAGUACCAUUUACGUGCCGCCACGCGUCCCCAUUUUUUAUUAUCUAGGAGGCGCCGUGCAGGGUAGCUAUUUGAGUACGAGAGGCGUGCGAUCAGACCCCUGCGCGUGCUUAUCGGGAGGAGAGCCCUUUGACCUCCAUCUGCCGUCCACCUCUCUCCCAAGGUCUCAAUUAAUGGCGCCCGAGCCUCUGUUUAAUGGCGUGGCUAUGUCUCACUCGACUGAGAUUUAAGAGAGAAAAAAGAAAAUCUGAAAGCACGGAUCUUGAUGUAAGAUCCGACGGACCUAUAUAGCAUCUACUGCGACUUAUAGCAAGACUGAUGAAUAUAUAAGGACGAUUAUUUUUUUUGAUCAAAGAAGGGCUUGCCCCUUCCGAUUUUCAUUACUGAAAACCACCACAAUUCACAAGAAGUUCAGCACAACUCCAGCCUAACACGAAGGACUAAAAGCUACCAGAUUGAAAUCGCAACAUCCCAAGAGGCCAACAAAGGCCAAACAUCCGCGCUAGAACCCAACAUUUCACAACCGACGACACAAUCCACAUCCUAAACCGAUUAUUACAUCAAAAGAAACCAGGAAACUGAAGGAAGCCCAGCAGCAACUAGAAGAACAGCAACGCCAGGGUCGCCACAGCAAGAGUUUUCUUCAUUCCAGCCUCACAACAUUGAUCUUCCACAGAAAGAUAAGGACGAUUAAUUGUCUUACAUAAUUAGAAAGAUAAUUAAAAAAGCCACAUGCGGCUACGCUCGAAAUACACAAGGGCGAAAGAAGAAGGAAGACAAGGAUCUGGCUCGCUGAUCUCUACUUUCUUGGUGCGUUGCUGCAGGCCGCGGGAACUAGUCUCCACGGCGAGCGGCGAUGAGCUCUUUCGUGUCCUCAAGACGCUGCUUGAGAACAUCCAUGGAUUCCUCCACCAGCCUUUGGCGCUCGUUGCGGAGCAUGUCAUUCUCGUCCAUAAGUUUCUUGACGAUGACGCCGGUCCUCUUCAACAAGGCACUGGUCUCCUCCUGCUGGUCUGCACUUCGAACGAUCUUCUCCCUCAGCAGGUCAUGCUCGGCCCGGAGCCUCUCAUUGCCCUCCCUUAGUUGCCGGAUGACGCCGGUAGCCUGUUGAAACGAGGCUUCCAUGUCGUCUUGCAACCUCGCCCAGCUGGAGAUCUGAUGCAUCUGGCUAUGGACGAUCGCAUGCAUGCGCCUGUAACAGUCGUCGCCUGCCCGCGAGAAAUUUUUCCAGGCCGCCGCGGCGCGGCGAGACAUCUCUGCUGCUUCCGCGGCGCGGCCGGACCAGUCUGCUGCAUCGACGGCGCGGCGGGACCUCCGUGCUGCUUCAGCGGCGCGGCAGGACCUCUGUGCUGCUACUUCCGCGCGGCGGGACAUGUCGGCUGCUCUCGCAGUGAGGCGGGACAUCUCUCGUUCUUCCGCUUCCAUGCUCGCCUCUCCCUGGUGGCAAUCUCUCGACCCAGAACUCACGCUGGCCAUUACAGACACAAGGGAAGGAUGUUGAAUGACUUGUUUGUUUUUGUGGAUGAGGAGUUGAGGAGGAAUGUGCAGUCAUCUCGGCAUACUAGUAUUUAUAACCGAGUACUAAUACGCUCCUAAGUGGGAAACCGUUUAGGUUGUGAUCGGUGUGAACAGGUUUGAAAUUCAAUAUAGCAUGGUACUAAUACGCUCCUAAGUGGGAAACCGUUUAGGUUGUGAUCGGUGUGAACAGGUUUGCAAUUCAAUAUAGCGUGGAGUAAUUUGGAAUGUGACGAGACGCAAGCUCAAAAUUUAUUGACGGUUCUAGUUUCGAAGUGCGACACUAUUCCCGGAUGGAGUACUUCUUUUUCUACUCCCUCCUUUCCGGUUUUAUAGGGCUUAUCUCAAAAUUUUAGUUUUUCCAUUUUAUAAGGCUCAAUUUGGUUGUUCCCCAACACAUGUUCAGAUUCCAAGGUGCAUUAAAUCAUUGCAUGCAAGUAUUAAGAGAAAAUUGACCAAUGCAUGUACUUUAUGCAUGCACGCAUUGCAAUUAAUGCAUUGAUAAACAUAAUUUUUUGAGAAAAACAAGAGCAUUAAUUAGGUGCUUUUGCAAACUACAAAAAACAUUCCACCACUCACCAUCUUGGUUGGUGAGAUUUUUGAAUUAAGCCCUAUAAACCGGAAAGGAGGGAGUACUGCUGUGUAUGUGCAAUAACUGGCACCGUCGUAUACAUAUCUUACGGUUAAUGGGGCGUUCGACAGGAAUAGCCGCGUGGCGAGCUCUCACACACGCGUCUGUUUUUUCUCGAAAAGGAGGAUGAUGACCCCCGGCCUCUGCAUCUGGGAGUCACACACGCAUCUGUAGCUACGAAUUGUACUGUUCUCAACCAUCCGAUUGGCUCUAUUAUGGAUGUACCUAUAUACUAAAACAUGUCUAGAUACAUCUAUAUUUUGACAAAUGGAAGGCAUGUACUGUGGAACGGAGGGAGUGCUUGUCAUCAAAAUGGAUAAAAAGGGAUGUAUCUAGAACUAAAAUACGUCUACAUACAUCUCCUUUUAUCCAUUUUGAUGACAAGUAGUACUUCUUACCCAAAGGAACUUUAUAUCCAACAGACACAAAAUAUCCGUUCGACUGUUGGAAAUUACUGAUCUGAUGUCGAAGUAAUUUCUGCAUCGCCACCAAAACCCACCAUUUCUUAAGCUAAAGUAGACCAAGGUAAUCCCUAUAUUAGCAUAUUACUAAGAUAAACAGAAGGCACUGUAGAAACAUUUAGGACGUGAGCUUGUCAAUCUGAAUGUGGAGGGACACAAGCUUAGCCCCGGCCAGCAGCUUGGGCGGAACUGUCAAGAAGGUCAGCUCCUGCAAGUCGACGUCGCCGGGAUCCUUGCUGCUUGUCACCUCCAUUUCCACCUUGACGGCGUCGGUCGUGCCUUUGGGCUCCCCCGGCGGGCCGUUCGCCCACAGCUUGGCCACGUAGUGCGGCAGUGGGGACGCCCCCGCUCUGAUGCAGACGACCGACAUGGCGAUAGGCACGCCGAUGUCGAGCACGCCGCCGACCAAGAAAAACGCGCGGCGGUCCUCCUCCGCGAACAGCAAGAGUCGUGGCUCCGACAGUGGCACUUGCAGCUGGAGCACCUUGCCGUACUGGAUCCUGUGCACGGGCAUGGGAUGCGCGGUGCUGAUGUGGUGGUAGAGCGCCGGCGGCGGGCCUUCGUAGCCGCAGACGGGCACGGGGCAUUUGCAGGGCGCGAGCGGACACACGCUCUGGUGAUCGCCGAGCUUGUGGUAAGUGACGUAGAGCCCACAGCCUUCGUGCGGGCACUCCACCCUCACCGACGAAAGGACGGAGUCCACCGUCGUGUUCCGCACGUCGAAGCCACCGCCGCGCUCGCACUUCUGGCACUGCUCGACGCGGCAGUCCGCGCAGGCCAGGUGCCCUCCCUUGCACUGCAGAAAUCAAUCGAACAACACAUCAAUCAAGAAACCUGGACCUUGCUCAAUCAGCCAAAUGGACGAGGUGUAUUCGAACCUCAUACACUAGAGGCGUCAAGGUGCGGAGGCACAAGGGGCAGUGGAGCACGGUGAGGUCCAUCGAGACCUUAGAGAGCUCCAUCGUCGGGUCCUGUUCGGUCUGCAUGAUCUCGCCCUCCUCGUGCACAACCAUCUCUCGACUUGGGCCGGGGUAUUACAAAGCUUUACCGUCACAUAUUUUAUACUACUUCAAGGUGCAUUAAAUCAACACAUGCAAGUAUCAAAAGGAGAGUCACGGCAUGCAUGCAUGUGUUGUAAUUAAUGCAUCGGUAAACGCAAAUUAUUGAAAUAUAUCGAGUGCAGUGCUUUGAUGUGUCGCGUCAACUCGUACAUCAACGAGAAGUUUGAUUAUCCUCUCCCUCGCGGACUUAACUGCACCUGCCUUUGGCUGUAUGACAGGUUGGCCACACACCUGUUGGGCCCACCUGUCAUACACGCAAAGGCAGGAGCGUCCUUCCCUCGCCCAUGAGCGUGGUGGCUGGCAAGACUAGGAGAAGCUUUCGCUACACGCUCUCCCUCCCGCACGCGGUGGACAUGCAGCAGUUCAAUCGGUGUCAGAUGGCGAGAAGCGUACUGUAGUACUCCUCCAGUGUAGUAGUACUCCAUCAUUGUUCGACUUCCCGAAGAGGCGAAGAGCCAAGCGCAGCCCGGACGCUCGUGUGGCAGUUUCAUGUGUAGAGUAGUCUAGGAUAGCGUGUACCGUGCCUGUAAGCUUAAAAUCGUUGAGGUCGGCUCCAUGCUAUGUGGCUGUCUUGAAGUUGUUUUUUUUUAAAUAGUCUUCUGGCCCUACCUGACACCCUGGUGAUUGUAGUUUGCACGCUCAUCUGGUCAAGACAGGAAUAUAUAUUUUAAUUUGUUUUUUCGAAAAGGGGGGACUCCCGGCCUCUGCAUCAGAACGAUGCAUGCGGCCACAUAUAUUUUAAUUUGUGGUGGGUAAAUGUUAGAGGUUGCAGCAAAUAUAUUGUACACUGCGGGUCUUUCAGCCAAGUUUAGAGGCAAGCAUGUGGGGCCAGUGCUAUGUUGUGUCGCGUCAACUCGUACAACGAGGAGAAGCUUGAUUUUACUACACGCCUUCUCCCUCACCCAUGCACGCAGUUGUUCGCAAACAAGGACAUGUUUUUGCUUAGUAGUACUUCUACAACAAGCUAUCUGUCCCGCUCGCGGUGGACGGACAUGCAGCAGUGGAUUCGACACUGUAGAAGCAGUAGUAGUAACAUCAUUGUUCGUCUUCUCGAAGAGGCGAAGAUCCAAGCGCAAAACAAACGUUGUAGUUGCGAACAUUGGAGCACGCAUAUAGCCAGGCUCUUGCAUGAGACAAAAUUGCUAUGUGAGCCCACUAUUGUACUAGUACGUACAACUACUUGCUAGUAUAGCCCUGUAAACCAGAAAGGAGUAUUUGCUCUUCUAGAGAUUUCAACAAGUGACUAGACUACACCGAGACGGAGUACAUAUGGAGCAAAAUGAGUGAAUCUGCACCGUAAAUAAAUACGUACUAGUUCUAUAGUUUUCCUCUCCGAGGUGCACAAUAUUGAGUAUACUGACUAGUCUCUUUUUGACACGCAUUUACGUUUUUUUUACACGGUACAAACGCAAGCGCUCAUAUACACGCGCAUACACUCACCCCUAUGAACGCACACACGCACGACACUAUCAUCUUAAAAUUUACGAAGUCACCAUAGGCACCUCGUCGUCGACGGGUCCAUAGGUGCUUGAAUGCCAAUGAGGGAGAGGGUAGCGGUUCCCGAGACGUUGAAUGGUCAAUGAUGCAUCCUCAAUUACAUGCAGAGGGAAUUAAUUGGAGAAGCAGAAUAGAGCCAGCACGAUGUGAAUGCAACACAGUUCGGACUCUCAUAUAAAGGCGCCCCACCACUCCAAUCCAUCUACUCCCAAGUCUCUGCGCAACACUGCUCACUCCAAUCCAAGACCAAGUGACCAGAAGCCACAAGCACCUAUGGAGGCGAUGGACGCGAGCGGCAGUCGGUUGUGCCAAAUCAUCCAAGGCGCCGGCCUGCGGCCCCGCACCGCGCAGCGUUUCCAGAUGGUGCUGGCGACCGCAGGCAUCGUAGCCCUCGCCGACGCCGGCUUCGCCUCUCGCAUGGACGACAUGAUGGUCAACUCCAUCCGCAAGUUCACCGCCGUCAAGAAGCGCGUGGACGACCUUGCCGUACUGCUCCAGCCCGCGCGCCCAGGCUCCUCAUUGCCUGCCACCCUCAUCGGCCUCCAUGGUGACGAACUCUUUCAAGCCCUGGUGGCCCUGCAGGUGCCGAAGGUUGCGACGAAGAAUGUGCACCUCGAGGCCGCGCUCGCCACGCAGCGCCUCGCCAUGCAAGAAACCGUCGACCUGCACAUCCACGUCUACGAGGAAAUCGUCUACAUAGGCCACUACAAGGCAAGCGAGGACAGAAAGACGUUGGCCUUCUUCCAGCGGCUGGAAUCUUUAGACGCCAUUGUUCAGAAGCACGUCGACCUGGCCACGAAAGCCGCUGCUACUUAGGCACCGUUCGGUGGGUCGGCGCCCUGAGUCGAGGAGGUGGAUGUCAUCGAUGGAUGCAUCUCUUCUUGCCUCCUGUAACCAGAACUGCAUCGCCUCGUGGCCUUAAUGUUUUAUUAGUAUAGUACUCCCUCCGUUCCCAAAUAUAAGUCUUCCUAAAGAUUCCAGCAAGUGACUACUACAUACGGAGCAAAAUGAGUGAAUCUACACUCUAAACUAUGUCUACAUACAUCUGUAUGAUGUACUCCAUUUGAAAUAGUAUCUAAAAAGGCUUAUAUUUAUGAACGGAGGGAGUAUAUGGCAUUUUUAUUCCAGUCGUAACGUUUUCACUGUGAGGUGGGGCCGCAGUUGAGCAAACCCACCCCACCCACCGGGCGUCGGCCGAGUUUAGAAUUAGAAGAGAGAAACGAGGGAGGAGAGCUAGCUAUAGCACGGACGCUGUUGUCAGAUGGGACUCGUGUUUAUAGAAUAGGAGUACUGAGCACUCGUGCCUCUUUUUUUUUGAGGGAAAAAUUAGUCGUAUGUCUAGUACCACUAGUUGGGUGCGUGCGACCUAUAGCUGUCAUCACUUUAGGUCUCCUUUUCAAACCGCGGCUACGCUUAACAGUACAUAUUAUUUCACGCAUUUAUCCUCCUAUAUGUACUCCUAGGCUAUUUCCACGUGCUCCCAUUCGCCGACAUGUGGGACAUAGAGCAUCUGGGUCGUAGUGCAUGCACGACUCGGAGCAUAUGCCGGGGUACUUUACAUUUCAGACCUCACGAAUUACAUGCAAACCCCCCGCAGAAGAAUAAAUAAAUGAAUGAAUUACUACAUGAAACUGGAUUAUUUUCGUGGAAACCGGAGCACGUUCAUUAAAUUUUGGACAUAACACGUUUAUAAAAAAUGACCGGACCGAAACCAGUCUAAGGGCCUCUUUGAUUUUUCCCGCAAAAAAAGGGCCUCUUUGAUUCGCAGGAUACUGAAAACACAGGAAUGGGGAAAGUAUGAUGGCGAUGAACAGAGACGAGGAGACCUCUAACUCAGUUAGAGGUUAGAGUUAGAUUCUAACCCUCAACUAACUGUAAACCAAAGAGGUGUAUGGAUGGCAGGGUUAGAUUGACAAUAAAUGCUCUAUCUCAAUCAUUUGACUACUUUGGGCCCUAUUUCCUGCUGGAUUUGGAGGGUGCUUGGAUACGUUUUAGUUCCAUGACUAAAAGUAGUGGGACUAAAACUUGCUAGCCUCACCCAUGCUUGGAUCCAAAUACUAAAGAGACUAAAAUCAAGUUAAUGAGCAUUUAUUAUCCUCCAAACCCUCCAAUCCAGAACUCGCCUGUGUUAAAGGAGAGGAGUUAAAUGAGGAGAGAGAGGACUAAUCCACAUUUUAGUAGGGGUACCCCUGACUAAAAAAAUUUAGUCUCAAGACUAGUUUUAGCCCCUCUUUAGUCAGGGGUGCUUGGAACUUUAGCCUCUUAAAGAGACUAUUUUUAGUCAGACUAAAAUAAGUCCCUUGGAUCCAAGCACCCUCUUGGUGUGGCCGGCUCUUCUGUGGCCUCCUCCCGCUCACAAUUGACAUAAACGAACCAUCUAUACAAAUCAAGCAUGCAAAACAUGAUAAUUUUUACUUUGUCCAUACAAAUGAGAUAUCCCACUUAAACAUACAAGUCGUCAAUCAAGCUUCACAAAAUAAAAAAACACUUCAUGAAACAAAGAAUGAGCUAACUCAUCACGGAAGUCAUUCACGAUAGGGAGGGAGCCCGGAGCCCCUCACGCACCGAGGGAGGAGCUCGGCAUCGUCGCUCUGGAGGAAGGCUCUAUAGAGCCCAAGCCCCGGGAUCCCCUCCGACGCCGGCCCUUGCGAGUUGAGGUCGACACCGGCAUGGGUAGCAGGGCCGCUUGCCGUCGACUGGGAACUUAAUCUUUGGGCCUCUAGAAAUAAUGCAAGCCUGUAACUAAAAUACCUAGAAAGGUGAACUGAAUCUUUGGGACUCUAGAAAUAAUGCAAGCCUGAAACUGAAAUACCUAGAAAGGUGAACUGAAUCUUUGGGCCUCUAGAAUUAAUGCAAGCAUGAAAGUGAAAUACCUAGAAAGGUGAACUGAAUCUUUGGGCCUCUAGAAAUAAUGCAAGCCUGAAACUGAAAUACCUAGAAAGGUGAACUGAAUCUUUGGGCCUCUAGAAAUAAUGCAAGCCUGAAAUUGAAAUACCUAGAAAGGUGAACUGAAUCUUUGGGCCUCUAGAAAUAAUGCAAGCCUGAAAUUGAAAUACCUAGAAAGGUGACCUGAAUCUUUGGGCCUCUAGAAAGAUUUAUUACCUCCUCAAGCAGCAUCAAACAAUUCUAUGCGUGCACCACAAAUCUAUACCAAGUUUGAUCAGGAUCUACUUUUCCAAAUCAGAAUUAGCGCUAGAGCAAGCAAGAUCAAUGAUAUGGCCGUGAGACAGAGAAGGAACUAACAAACUCACCCCUCUCGCGACCUCCCUGGUAGAUGCGCCGCCGCCGCGCACGACAGAGGGAGAAAAACGACUGGUGAAGGGGGAGCGGGGCGACCUUCGAAGGCCGGAGGGAGAGGGCGGCGGAGGCCGGAAGGAGAGGGCGGCUGGAGGAGAGAGAGGGCGAGCGGCCCUAUGGGGAACAGAGAGGAGUCGUGUGAGAGGGGGGGAGCGAUCUGGUGCGGGCAGGGGAAUUUUUUAGUUCUCUUUUAGUGGGCCCGAGGAUAACUAACCCAAUUAGAACCUCUCCACCGGGCUAUUUUUUUAGCUGGGUUAGAGCAAACUAGCUCAAACUAACCCCUCUUGUUUCGAUAAUUUGAGGCUACUUCAACCCAAACUAGCUCUAACUCAGGGAUCCAAACAAAGAGGAGUGUUACUGUACAUGCUACAGUGUGGACCGUAGCACAUUGUUUUUAUGGCCAUAUCACCACAUUGUUUUCUACUGCUGGUUCACUGGGCUACCGUGGUUCGCACUGCUAGUUCACUGGGCUGCCGUGGUUCGCACUCCUCCGACCUGAGUAGUACUCUAGUAUAGUACUAGUAUAUACCGCUUCAUUCUUUGCUCCUUCUUACUACUCCGACAUGUGGGAGAGCCAGCAUCCGGGUCGACGUGUCAUGCACCAGAUUAGAGCGCGGAACGGAAGGGGGGCAUCACCCCAGUCGGAGCGCCAGUAAUUCAUGACUAUAGUGAGUGGUCAUAUCACAAGUCUUUCCAGCAGUAACGCGCCGUCAAAUCGCACAGCCCCACUCGCUCACCCUCCUCGCCUCUCUGUCAAACCGCCUAUCUGAAAACUGCCGCCCGUACUGCCCGGGAAAAGCCCCGCCCUCAACUUUUAACUACGCGAAAAUAGUUCGAGCUUGUUCGUUCUAUAUAAAUACAAUACUUACUGUAUGUUUAUUCACCCGUGGGGUUGUUCAAUGAAUGGAGGGGCGGGGAGCACAAGUGAACAAUACUGUAGUACUACUAGUAGUAAGUAGGAGUCGUACAGUAGUCACCUUAAAUAGAGAGUUUAUUUUCUUUAAUGCCACGUACACAAAUUGAAACGCUUGUUGUGGAGAGAAAAAAGAUAAUCACUCCACUAUAUAUGGACGCAGGGGCCUGAGCGCUUGCUUUACUAGGGUUGCUCUCUUCAUUCUCUCAUCCUCUCCAGAUAUAAACAAGACAGCGGUAGCGACAUUUUCUCUCUGCUCACCGCUGGUCACAGAUCCGGCUGGAUCCCUUCGGCCAGUGUGUGUAGAGGACUAAAAGGUGCAUCGUUCACGUGGUCAUCACCGCCGAGGGAGGAAACCCACAGCUGCCGGAGGGGCCCGAUCCUCUGCCCGUGCCGUUCUCUCCGACACAGCGCCGGCUCGCGAGGUCCUCCGACCCUUCUUCCUCCCUGCCGUAUUGUCCGCAGAUCCGACCUGCCGCCGCCGACAUCCCAGCGACCCUCAGGUAUAAGUUCUUCGAAAGCGGCCUUGCUCUACUUCCCCAGCUCCCCACGUGUCUGCAUGUGCAUCUUUUUCUACUCCCAUCAGCUCUUCCAAAGCCACCUAAUUUUUUAGUAUUAUUAGAGGUAAAGCUACUUCAUGCAUUCGAAUCUAGGGCUUUGUUCAAACAACGAAGAAAGGGGGGAAAGUUGUAGCAUGAAUCUAGGACUUGAUUCAAAGAGGAAAUAAUAUGGUGAAAGUAGUAGAGACCGGAUACCCAACCGGUCUCUUGGUUGAAAAGGGAAAUAAUGGGAAAAUGCAGUACAAACUGGAUAAGGAACAGAUCUAUUAUUGGUUGAAAAAAGGAUAGAAAGUGGCGGCUGGUGGACAAGUCAACAGAGUAUGUCCAGGAUUAGAUUUGCUGCCAUCACAUAGUAAAAGGUCUCCAGGAUUAGAUUUGCUGCCCUCACAUAGUAAAAGGUCUCAGGAUUAGAUUUGCUGCCCUCACAUAGUAAAAGGUCUCCAGGAUUAGAUUUGCUGCCCUCACAUAGUAAAAGGUCUCCAGGAUUAGAUUUGCUGCCCUCACAUAGUAAAAGGUCUCCAGGAUUAGAUUUGCUGCCCUCACAUAGUACAAGGUCUCCAGGAUUAGGUUUGCUGCCCUCACAUAGCAUGAACAAACUCGGCAUCACCACUUUAUGCCUCCUUGUAGGUACAUUGUGCUGAUGCGUCCACUGUCGCAUGUCCUUAUACCAACCUUUUGCUGUUGUUAAUGUAAGGGCGCAUGUAAAAUGAAGCGAUCACACUGUUACCUUAGGGACAUGUCUAACCAGUGUUAUUGUUAAUCUAAUGCCUCCAGUGAUAAGAUGCAAUUAACUGUGUUACAAAUGGCACUCCUGUUGUUUUCCCCAGUAUGAUAAGUAAGUUGCUCCUUUACGCUACUGAGUGUCCUGGUGUCCCCAUGGUCCCAUGCCCUUAAACCAACUCUUUAGCUGCUGUUGAUUUACUGUGUCUGGUAAACAAGCAAUGCCACCAUUAAAGUAAUCCCAUAUUUGAGGAAUCUCAUUGUUGAUCGUAAUGCUUCUGGUAACAUGAAGCAUUGCCGACGUUUUAAAUUUUCUACUGUCCUUGCGUGAUUGCCAGGAACAUAAUUAAGAUGCUUCUUUUCAUUUUGUAUAUGUUUCGUAUAUUCUUAUUGACCAGCAACUGUUUACUUUCUAUCUUUUUGUGCAGAUAGGGAUAUCCAUUUCACCUUGUUGCUAUUGUGACCUUUUGGUGAACUGCACAAAACACUUUUUUGGAAUGAGUGUCUUGUGCAGUUCAACUAAAAUGUUACAUGGGCAACAUCUCUCAAUUUUGGUGGCACUGCACAAAAUGGUGAUUGGAGUUUUCAAAAUCUCCAUCAAAUUCUGCUGGUAAUCUCGUGCAACAUUUUAUUAGCCUUUGCAAGAUGAGCCGUAGCUGAAUGAUGCAAUCUUUGCUUCAUUUCAGGCGAACUGCAGAAAAAGUGGCAUGAAUUGAAUCAUCGGGUGGAGCUACAGGUUGACUUCCACUAGUGCCACUAUUAUAGUAAUCAUGCUCUUUAUUAUCUGCGCUGUGCAAACAGGAAUACUCAACUACAGAUGUUGUGACGGUCAAGAGCAUUCGCCAAGUUCUUCGAUUGUAUGACAUGGCUAGCCAAGAUGGAUUUAAUCCCGAUAUUCACUUUAUCAAAAGGCUCUAAUGGGUUGGUUCUGAAUCUUGCAAGAUGGGAAUCAGUGAGAUGUGUAGGCAUCUUUGUUGUACUUAUUAUUUGAAUCUUAUUUGUUGGUUCUGAAUCUUGCAAGCUAGGAAUCAAUGAUAUGUGUAGGCAUCUUUGUUGUACUUAUUUUUUGGAUCUUAUUUGUUGGUUCUGAAUCUUGCAAGCUGGGAAUCAAUGAGAUGUGUAGGCAUCUUUGUUGUACUUAUUAUUUGGAUCUUAUUUGUUGGUUCUGAAUCUUGCAAGCUGGGAAACACGGCAUGAUGAUGCAGAGGACAACAACCAUAACAAACAGUUCAAACUUGGUAGUAUUAUCUUUGUGAAAGUGCGACAAAUGCGCUGAUCGUGAGCGUCCUGAGAAUAAUAAUUCUAAUUGUUGUGCAUGUUGAUCCUGUGGCACUGAUAGAACGAGCGAAUGCAUUGCUUGUUUUAAGUAUAAAUUUCUGUUAAAGCUAAUUAAAUUUAAGUAAAGUGACCACUGACUCCUGUUAUUACAGUACCAAUACAGACCCGCUCGUGAACCGACGUGUCGCCGAGGGUGCAUCUUCUGCCGGGCGUGCAGCGGACAAGGGAGGGGUAGUAACUGUUGUCGCCUAUACACACUCAGCUUACUGUUGAAUCCAGUUCCCCAAGAGCUGAAAAAUGAACUGCUGCCGCCGCCUACACACUCGUUCACUCGAAGAGACUCCAAUGGCGAUCCGAGGGGUGAGCCUGCUAGAUAUGGACUUAAGCAAGGAGUUCCCCUUUGAGUUCGCCGUUCAGUCCUAUGGCCGCACCAAGUUGAAUGUGAUGUACACCAACGAUACAGACUCGGUGAAGCUCUGCCUCGCCUCAGUCCUAUGGCUGCACCAGGUUCUGGAGCAUUCGCCCGUUUCAUCGGCAGCGCCGACUGCACCUUCGCUAUGGUGGAGAGAAGGAAGAACGCGACAAUUCGGCCAUCUGGUGCAACAAGCUUGUCGACAUCCAGAAGCAAUACAAGAUCAUCAGCAACGGGCAGGAGAAGGACUCCGUGGUUGACCUCGCUGAGACCAUCAUCGACCCCUGAUACGCCAACAUGAAAGAAGACGACCUAAACACGUGGGAGGUACCUCUGAAUCUAGCCUACAUAACCUACGCGGCCAAGGACGCAUACGCAUGCUACGACAUGUACAGGCAGAUCUUUGACAUGAGGGCGUGUCUGCUUCCCGUAACCGACAAGUACACGGACAGCCGCAGCGUCAUGAUCAAGCGUGCCAGGAAGGUCUAGAUGUUGUACUUUAUCUGUUUAUAAGCACCUUUAUCAUCUGAGUGUUUCAUGCAUUAGCCUAUGUGUCGUAAUUAUCUGUUUUGUCCGAAAUAUUUCUUUUAAGAACCCCUUAACCUGAUUACUUUUUUUAGUGGCUAUUUGCUUAUGUAUGUAAACUAGUUCACUUGUUCGUAAAAAAAACUAGUUCACUCGGCUGCCGUGCUUUGAAUCUCCUUCCUCCCAACAUAUUCCCCUCCUCAGGUGGACCUAGUAGGUCUCUGAAUUUUCUCCCACUUUCUUUUUCGAUGUAAACUGAGUUUUCUCCCAGUACUUUCCCCUAGAACCAACUCAACUGUCCCACAUCUAGCCUAAAAAAUAAUAAUACCCCACGUACUAUUAACUCAUCAAAUUAAAAUGAUAUUUUAUUUCGUAAGUUGAAAGUUCUUACAAAAUAAUAAUAAUAAUUGUUUAUAUAUAACUUGGCAAGUUAACUCCUAGUGAUUGCGUACAUAAGCUUGCAAAGAUUUUACUGACGUGCAAUGAUGUGUUUAUGUUUUUAUAACAUUUCUCAGUCUAGCCCAACAUGAUAUUUUCACCCAGCCCAGCAAGUCCGCGGAUUUCGAGAAAAAUGCAAAUGGGAUUUAAACGGGCUGCAUAGAUGCUACAUCAUUGUUUCACCCAGCCCACCAAAUGGACUAAAAAAACAAAUGGGAUGGCUGACAUGUGGGCCAGUAGGUCGAAGCCUAAGAAGGCGUUGGAUUUACAUCCAACGGCCGGCAUCUUCAAUCUCUCGUCUUCUUCCCCCAGCGCUGCUGGAACCGCCUGCUCCAGCCUUCGGCGUCCAGCGGCGUUGUUUUGCGCUCCUCAGCGAAACGCUACCCCGCCGACGGCCAGGCCAUCCCUCCACUCCGCACCUCCUGUUAUUCUCUGCCGAGUGUAGGCCCACCCCGCACCCGAACCAGUCAAGUUUCCCACUCCUCUCCGUCUGCGACUCCACUGCCGCGUCUUCCCCAUCUCCGGGUCGUUCCAGUUUGGGGCCUCGCCGUCGUCCACCGCCUCGGUGCGCUCGGCACGGCGUGGUCAACAUACGAGAGUCAUCGGAAGAGGACUGUACGUGGAGUGCCUGACGGCUGGGACCCACGAGGUCCAUGGUCGCACGCAAGGAAAGUUCCUCCUUAUUACGCACUGUACGUGCACUGUACGUGGGAAGGGCUUCUGUAUUUCGCGAAAAAAACGUUCCCCCCGCUGAUAGGUCGGACCCACCAGCUAUAUCUUCGCACGCAAGGAACUGCCUCCUUAUUACGCACCAAAAAAUGAAUACCCCUGCUAGCUGGGACCCACCAUAGUGGGUGGCUGACUUGUGGGCCUACUAAGUUGACGAGGACGGAGGGCUUUGCCAACUUAGUCAAUAUGAACGAUUCUAGCUCCAGUGACCGUACGAUGUCCAUCCAACGGCCAUAGUGCUUCUUCAACCUCUGGUCUUCUUGCUCCAGCCGCCCAAAGCAGCGCCGGUCGUGCCGCGUGCUCCUGCCUCUCGUGGCCGGCUGUGAUGUCGCGGAGGCCUCACCGCCCCCUACUACUCCCACAGCUGGCCCAGGGUAUCCCUCUACUCACCCACACCCCCUGUUAUUCCGCGGCGACGGCAGCCUCACGCCGCAGCCGAACCAGUGAACCCUCGUACUCCUCUCCGCGUGGGGCAUCCACUGCCGCGUCUUCCCCGGCUCCGCGUCGUCCCCUUCCUAGGCCUCGCCAUCGUCCACCGCCUUGGUGCUCUCGGCGCGGCGUGGUCAAUGUGGUCAAAGACCGACUUCCAUCGGAAGAGUACUGUACGUGGAGAGGAUAACAGCUGGGUCCACGGCCACAGCCCAGUUUUCUUGUGAUUUGCCAAGUAAGUCGCUUUGUCAGGCCUGUUGGGCUGCAAAUCUUUCAAGACGGGGAGAGCUUCAUUCGGCUGGCCGAGAAAAUGGCCUAUCAGUAAUGAGAAAUGGGUUGUACAUUUUUAAAACACAUCAAACCGGCAAUUAGUUUCAAAUAUCUUUUUUUUCAUUUCGAGAUUUAAAAUUACAUUAAUUUUUAUGCGUGGAGAAUUUGUUGGAUUUUAUAUUGAUAUACAUUUAUUUUUAAAAUCGGUUUGAAUGUGAGUCGAAAUUUCGGGAUUAAAAACAGUUCGAACCGCACCAAAAUAUGCAAAAUUUCGUAUAAUUUUUUAACCGUGGCCACAAUAUGGGCUGUAAUGCUAACAAAAGAAUAUGGGCUCCAAAAAAACCUUAAUAAUUAGCAAAUGGGCUGUAAAUUAUUAGAAAUAAUGGCAGAUGGGUUGUAUGCUGUUUUCCACAGAUUUGAGGCUUUCCUAAAAAAAGGUUGACGCACAAGCAGUGACUGUUGGAUGUCCAUCGAACGGCCGCCGUGCUUCUUCACUCUCUGCUCUUCCUGCUCCAGCCGCUCAAACAAGCGCCGGCGGGACUGCCUGCUCCCUCCUCCCCGCGGCCGGCUCUGCUGCCGCGCAGGCCUCACCGCCCCACCGUACUCCCAUCGCUGGCCUAGCCAUCCCUCUACUCACCCACACCUGCUGUUAUUCUCCGGCGACGGCAGACGAACCAGUAAACCCUCGUACAGUCGUACUCCCCUCCGCGUGGGAAACAACUGCCGAGUCUUCCCUGCCUCCGUGUCGUUCCCUUCCUAGGCCUCGCCGUCGUCCACCGCCCUGGUGCUCUCGGUGCGGCCUGGUCAACGUGGUCAACGACCGACAUGCAUCUGAAGUGGACUGUUCGUGGAGAGGCCGACAGCUGGGUCCACGGCCGCACGCAAGGAAAUGCCUCCUUAUUACGCGCAAAAUAAUGAUUCCUCCACCUGACAUCAGGGACCCACCGAAAGGGCCUCUGUAUUUCGCGAAAAAAACGUUACCGUCGCUGACAGCUCGGACCCACCAGCUAUAUCUUCGCACGCAAGGAAGUGCCUCCUUAUUACGCACAAAAAAUGAAUACUCCCCCUGCUAGCUGGGACCCACCAUGGUGGGAGGCUGACUUGUGGGCCUACUAAGUUGACUGGGACGGGGGCCUUUGUCAACUUUAGUCAAUAUGAACGAUUCUAGCUCCAGUGACCGUACGAUGUCUAUCCAACGACCGUAGUGCUUCUUCAACCUCUGGUCUUCUUGCUCCAGCUGCCCAAAGCAGCGCCGGUCGUGCCGCAUGCUCCUGCCUCCCGUGGUCGGCUCUGCUGACGCUGAGACCUCACCGCCCCUACUAUUCCCACCGCUGGCCAGGCCCUGCGGCGACGGCAGCCUCACACCGCAACCGAACCAGUGAACCCUCGUACUCCUCUCCGCGCGGGCUUCCACUGCCGCGUCUUCUCCAUCUCCGUGUCGUCCCCUUCCUAGGCCUCGCCGUCGUCCACCGCCGUGGUGCUCUCCGCGUGGCGUGGUCAACGUGGUCAAGGAACGACUUCCAUCGGAAGAGUACUGUACGUGGAGAGGCUGACAGCUGGGUCCGAGGCCACAGCCCAGUUUUUUUGUGAUUUGCCAAGUAAGUCGCUUUGUCAGGCCUGUUGGGCUGCAAAUCUUUCAAGACGAGGAGAGCUUUCAUUCGGCUGGCCGAGAAAAUGGCCCAUCAGUAAUGAGAAAUGGGAUGUACAUUUUUAAAACACAUAUUAGUUUCAAAUAUCUUUUUUUCAUUUCAAGAUUUUAAAUUACAUUAAUUUUUAUGCGUGGAGAAUUUGUUUGAUUUUAUAUUGAUAUACAUUUAUUUUUAAAAUCAGUUUGAAUGUGAGUCGAAAUUUCGGGAUUAAAAACAGUUCGGACCGCACCGAAAUAUGCAAAAUUUAUAUAAUUUUUUAACCGUGGCCACAAUAUGGGCUGUAAUGCUAACAAAAGAAUAUGGGCUCCAAAAAAAUCCUUAAUAAUUAGCAAAUGGGCUGUAAAUUAUUAGAAAUAAUGGCAGAUGGGCUGUAUGCUAUUUUCCACAGAUUUGAGACUUUCCUAAAAAAAGGUUGACACACAAGCAGUGACUGUUGGAUGGCCAUCCAACGGCCGUCGUGCUUCUUCAAUCUCUGCUCUUCCUGCUCCAGCCGCUCAAACAAGCACCGGCGGGACUGCCUGCUCCCUCCUCCCCGCGGCCGGCUCUGCUGCCGCGCAGGCCUCACCGCCCCACCGUACUCCCAUCGCUGGCCUAGCCAUCCCUCUACUCACCCACACCUGAUGUUAUUCUCCGGUGACGGCAGACGAACCAGUAAACCCUCGUACAGUCGUACUCCCCUCCGCGUGAGAAACAACUGCCGAGUCUUCCCUGCCUCCGUGUCGUUCCCUUCCUAGGCCUCGCCGUCGUGCACCGCCCUGUGUUGGUAAUCGUAGCAUAAUUUUAAAAUUUUCCUACGCUCACCAAGAUGCAUCUAUGGAGUAUACUAGCAACGAGGGGAAAGGAGUGCAUCUACAUACCCUUGUAGAUCGCGAGCGGAAGCGUUCCAAUGAACGUGGAUGACGGAGUCGUACUCGCCGUGAUUCAAAUCACCGAUGACCGAGUGCCGAACGGACGGCACCUCCGCGUUCAACACACGUACGGUGCAGCGACGUCUCCUCCUUCUUGAUCCAGCAAGGGGGAAGGAGAGUUUGAUGGAGAUCCAGCAGCACGACGGCGUGGUGGUGGAUGUAGCGGGAUGCCGGCAGGGCUUCGCCGAGCUUCUAUGAGAGAGAGAGGUGUAGCAGGGGAGGAGGGAGGCGCCCAAGGCUGUGAUGUUGCUGCCCUCCUUCCCCCCCCCUUUAUAUAGGCCCCUUGGGAGGGGGGCGCCGGCCAAACCCCAUCUAGAUGGGGGGCGGCGGCCAAGGGGGGUGCCUUGCCCCCCAAGGCAAGUGGGAAGCCCCCCCCCCCACCCUAGGGUUUCCAACCCUAGGCGCAGGGGGGAGGCCCAUGGGGGGGCCGCCCAGCCCACUAGGGGCUGGUUCCCUUCCCACUUCAGCCCACGGGGCCCUCCGGGAUAGGUGGCCCCACCCGGUGGACCCCCGGGACCCUUCCGGUGGUCCCGGUACAAUACCGGUAACCCCCGAAACUUUCCCGGUGGCCGAAACUUGACUUCCUAUAUAUAAUUCUUCACCUCCGGACCAUUCCGGAACUCCUCGUGACAUCCGGAUCUCAUCCGGGACUCCGAACAACUUUCGGGUAUCCGCAUACACAUAUCUCUACAACCCUAGCGUCACUGAACCUUAAGUGUGUAGACCCUACGGGUUCGGGAGACAUGCAGACAUGACCGAGACGCCUCUCCGGUCAAUAACCAAUAGCGGGAUCUGGAUACCCAUGUUGGUUCCCACAUGUUCCACGAUGAUCUCAUCGGAUGAACCACGAUGUCGAGGAUUCAAUCAAUCCCGUAUACAAUUCCCUUUGUCAAUCGGUAUGUUACUUGCCCGAGAUUCGAUCGUCGGUAUCCCAAUACCUUGUUCAAUCUCGUUACCGGCAAGUCUCUUUACUCGUACCGCAAUGCAUGAUCCCGUGACUAACGCCUUAGUCACAUUGAGCUCAUUAUGAUGAUGCAUUACCGAGUGGGCCCAGAGAUACCUCUCCGUCACACGGAGUGACAAAUCCCAGUCUCGAUCCGUGCCAACCCAAUAGACACUUUCGGAGAUACCCGUAGUGCACCUUUAUAGUCACCCAGUUACGUUGGUGCACCCAAAGCACUCCUACGGUAUCCGGGAGUUGCACGAUCUCAUGGUCUAAGGAAAAGAUACUUGACAUUGGAAAAGCUCUAGCAAACGAAACUACACGAUCUUUUAUGCUAUGCUUAGGAUUGGGUCUUUGUCCAUCACAUCAUUCUCCUAAUGAUGUGAUCCCGUUAUCAACGACAUCCAAUGUCCAUAGUCAGGAAACCAUGACUAUCUGUUGAUCAACGAGCUAGUCAACUAGAGGCUUACUAGGGACACGUUGUGGUCUAUGUAUUCACACAUGUAUUACGAUUUCCGGACAAUACAAUUAUAGCAUGAACAAUAGACAAUUACCAUGAACAAAGAAAUAUGAUAAUAACCAUUUAUUAUUGCCUCUAGGGCAUAUUUCCAACAGUCUCCCACUUGCACUAGAGUCAAUAAUCUAGUUACAUUGUGAUGAAUCGAACACCCAUUGCGUCCUGGUGUUGAUCAUGUUUUGCUCUAGGGAGAGGUUUAGUCAACGGAUCUGCUACAUUCAGGUCCGUAUGUACUUUACAAAUAUCUAUGUCUCCAUUUUGAACACUUUCACGAAUGGAGUUGAAGGGACGCUUGAUAUGCCUGGUCUUCCUGUGAAAUCUGGGCUCCUUCGCAAGGGCAAUAGCUCCAGUGUUGUCACAGAAGAGAGUCAUCGGGCCCGACGCAUUGGGAAUCACCCCUAGGUCGGUAAUGAACUCCUUCAUCCAGACUGCUUCCUGUGCUGCCUCCGAGGCUGCCAUGUACUCCGCUUCACAUGUAGAUCCCGCCACGACGCUUUGCUUGCAACUGCACCAGCUUACUGCUCCUCCAUUCAAAAUAUACACGUAUCCGGUUUGUGACUUCGAGUCAUCCAGAUCUGUGUCGAAGCUAGCGUCGACGUAACCCUUUACGACGAGCUCUUCGUCACCUCCAUAAAUGAGAAACAUAUCCUUAGUCCUUUUCAGGUACUUCAGGAUAUUCUUGACCGUUGUCCAGUGUUCCAUGCCAGGAUUACUUUGGUACCUUCCUACCAAACUUACGGCAAGGUUUACAUCAGGUGUGGUACAUAGCAUGGCAUACAUAAUAGACCCUAUGGCCGAGGCAUAGGGGAUGACACUCAUCUUUUCUCUAUCUUCUGCCGUGGUCGGGCAUUGAGCCGUGCUCAAUUGCACACCUUGCAAUACAGGCAAGAACCCCUUCUUGGACUGAUCCAUUUUGAACUUCUUCAAUAUCUUGUCAAGGUAUGUACUCUGUGAAAGACCAAUGAGGCGUCUUGACUAUCUCUAUAGAUCUUGAUGCCUAAUAUAUAAGCAGCUUCUCCAAGGUCCUUCAUUGAAAAACACUUAUUCAAAUAGGCCUUUAUACUUUCCAAGAAUUCUAUAUCAUUUCCCAUCAAUAGUAUGUCAUCCACAUAUAAUAUGAGAAAUGCUACAGAGCUCCCACUCACUUUCUUGUAAACACAGGCUUCUCCAUAAGUCUGUGUAAACCCAAACGCUUUGAUCAUCUCAUCAAAGCGAAUGUUCCAACUCCGAGAUGCUUGCACCAGCCCAUAAAUUGAGCGCUGGAGCUUGCAUACUUUGUUAGCAUUCUUAGGAUCGACAAAACCUUCCGGCUGCAUCAUAUACAACUCUUCCUUAAGGAAGCCAUUAAGGAAUGCCAUUUUGACGUCCAUCUGCCAUAUCUCAUAAUCAUAGUAUGCGGCAAUUGCUAACAUGAUUCGGACGGACUUCAGCUUCGCUACGGGUGAGAAAGUCUCAUCGUAGUCAACCCCUUGAACUUGUCGAUAACCCUUAGCGACAAGUCGAGCCUUAUAAAUGGUCACAUUACCAUCCGCGUCUGUCUUCUUCUUAAAGAUCCAUUUGUUUUCUAUGGCUCGCCGAUCAUCGGGCAAGUCAGUCAAAGUCCAUACUUCAUUUUCAUACAUGGAUCCUAUCUCGGAUUUCAUGGCUUCUAGCCAUUUGUCAGAAUCCGGGCCCGCCAUCGCUUCUUCAUAGUUCGAAGGUUCACCGUUGUCUAACAACAUGAUUUCCAGGACAGGGUUGCCGUACCACUCUGGUGCGGAACGUGUCCUUGUGGACCUACGAAGUUUAGUAGUAACCUUAUCCGAAGCUUCAUGAUCAUCAUCAUUAACUUCCUCCCCAGUCGGUGUAGGCACCACAGGAACAUUUUCCCGCGCUGCGCUACUUUCCGGUUCGGAAGGGGUGACUAUCACCUCAUCAAGUUCCACUUUCCUCCCACUCAAUUCUUUCGAGAGAAACUCCUUCUCCAGAAAGGACCCGUUCUUGGCAACGAAGAUCUUGCCCUCGGAUCUGAGGUAGAAGGUAUACCCAAUAGUUUCCUUAGGGUAUCCUAUGAAGACGCAUUUUUCCGACUUGGGUUCGAGCUUUUCAGGUUGAAGUUUCUUGACAUAAGCAUCGCAUCCCCAAACUUUUAGAAACGACAGCUUAGGUUUCUUCCCAAACCAUAAUUCAUACAGUGUCGUCUCAAUGGAUUUCGACGGAGCCCUAUUUAAAGUGAAUGCGGCAGUCUCUAAAGCAUAGCCCCAAAAUGAGAGCGGUAAAUCGGUAAGAGACAUCAUAGAUCGCACCAUAUCCAAUAGAGUGCGAUUACGACGUUCGGACACACCGUUUCGCUGAGGUGUUCCAGGCGGCGUGAGUUGUGAAACUAUUCCACAUUUCCUUAAGUGUGCACCAAAUUCGUGACUUAAAUAUUCUCCACCACGAUCUGAUCAUAAGAAUUUUAUUCUCCUGUCACGUUGAUUCUCAACCUCACUCUGAAAUUCCUUGAACUUUUCAAAGGUUUCAGACUUGUGUUUCAUUAGGUAGAUAUACCCAUAUCUACUUAAGUCAUCAGUGAGAGUGAGAACAUAACGAUAUCCUCCGCGAGCCUCAACACUCAUUGGACAGCACACAUCGGUAUGUAUGAUUUCCAAUAAGUUGGUUGCUCGCUCCAUUGUUCCGGAGAAUGGAGUCUUGGUCAUCUUACCCAUGAGGCAUGGUUCGCACGUGUCAAAUUAUUCGUAAUCAAGAGACUCCAAAAGUCCAUCUGCAUGGAGCUUCUUCAUGCGCUUGACACCAAUGUGACCAAGGCGGCAGUGCCACAAGUAUGUGGGACUGUCGUUAUCAACUUUACAUCUUUUGGUAUUCACACUAUGAACAUGUGUAACAUCACGUUCGAGAUUCAUCAAAAAUAAACCAUUGACCAGCGGGGCAUGACCAUAAAACAUAUCUCUCAAAUAAAAAGAACAACCAUUAUUCUCGGAUUUAAAUGAGUAGCCAUCUCGAAUUAAACGAGAUCCAAAUACAAUGUUCCUGCUCAAAGCUGGCACUAAAUAACAAUUAUUGAGGUUUAAAACUAAUCCCGUGGGUAGAUGCAGAGGUAGCGUGCCGACGGCGAUCACAUCGACCUUGGAACCAUUCCCGACGCGCAUCGUCACCUCGUGCUUCGCCAGUCUCCGUUUAUUCCGUAGUUCCUGUUUUGAGUUACAAAUAUGAGCAACCGCACCGGUAUCAAAUACCCAGGAGCUACUACGAGUACUGGUAAGGUACACAUCAAUUACAUGUAUAUCACAUAUACCUUUGGUGUUGCCGGCCUUCUUGUCCGCUAAGUAUUUGGGGCAGUUCCGCUUCCAGUGACCACUUCCCUUGCAAUAAAAGCACUUAGUUUCAGGCUUGGGUCCAUUCUUUGACUUCUUCCCAGUAACUGGUUUACCGGGCGCGGCAACUCCCUUGCUGUCCUUCUUGAAGUUCUUCUUACCCUUGCCCUUCUUGAACUUAGUGGUUUAUUCACCAUCAACACUUGAUGUUCUUUUCUGAUUUCCACCUCCGCUGAUUUCGGCAUCGAAUAUACCUCAGGAAUGGUCUUUUCCAUCCCCUGCAUAUUGUAGUUCAUCACAAAGCUCUUGAAGCUUGGUGGAAGCGACUGAAGGAUUCUGUCAAUGACCGCGUCAUCCGGGAGAUUAACUCCCAGCUGAGUCAAGCGGUUGUGCAACCCAGACAUUCUGAGUAUGUGCUCACUUACAGAACUAUUUUCCUCCAUUUUAGAGCUGAAGAACUUGUCGAAGACUUCAUAUCUCUCGACUCGGGCAUGAGCUUGGAAAACCAAUUUCAGCUCCUCGAACAUCUCAUAUGCUCCAUGUUUCUCAAAACGCUUUUGGAGACCCGGUUCUAAGCUGUAAAGCAUGCCGCACUGAACGAGGGAGUAAUCAUCAGCACGUGAUUGCCAAGCGUUCAUAACGUCUCGGUUCUCAGGGAUUGGUGCUUCACCUAGCGGUGCUUCUAAGACAUAAUCUUUCUUGGCUACUAUGAGGAUGAUCCUCAGGUUCCGGAACCAGUCCGUAUAGUUGCUGCCAUCAUCUUUCAGCUUGGUUUUCUCUAGGAACGCAUUGAAAUUGAGGACAACAUUGGCCAUUUGAUCUACAAGACAUAGUGUAAAGAUUUUAGACUAAGUUCAUGAUAAUUAAGUUCAUCUAAUCAAAUUAUUUAAUGAACUCCCACUCAGAUAGACAUCCCUCUAGUCAUCUAAGUGAAACAUGAUCCGAGUUAACUAGGCCGUGUCCGAUCAUCACGUGAGACGGACUAGUCAAGAUCGGUGAACAUCUCCAUGUUGAUCGUAUCUUCUAUACGACUCAUGCUUGACCUUUCGGUCCUCCGUGUUCCGAGGCCAUGUCUGUACAUGCUAGGCUCGUCAAGUCAACCUAAGUGUAUUGCAUGUGUUCCGAGGCCAUGUCUGUACAUGCUAGGCUCGUCAACACCCGUUGUAUUCGAACGUUAGAAUCUAUCACACCCGAUCAUCACGUGGUGCUUCGAAACAACGAACCUUCGCAACGGUGCACAGUUAGGGGGAACACUUUUCUUGAAAUUAUCAUAAGGGAUCAUCUUACUUACUACCGUCGUUCUAAGCAAAUAAGAUGCAAAAACAUGAUAAACAUCACAUGCAAUCAAAUAGUGACAUGAUAUGGCCAAUAUCAUUAUGCUCCUUUGAUCUCCAUCUUCGGGGCACCAUGAUCAUCUUCGUCACCGGCAUGACACCAUGAUCUCCAUCAUUGUGUCUUCAUGAAGUCGUCACGCCAACGAUUACUUCUACUUCUAUGGCUAAUGCGUUUAGCAACAAAGUAAAGUAAUUUACAUGGCGUUAUUCAAUGACACGCAGGUCAUACAAAAUAAUAAAGACAACUCCUAUGGCUCCUGCCGGUUGUCAUACUCAUCGACAUGCAAGUCGUGAUUCCUAUUACAAGAAUAUGAUCAAUCUCAUACAUCACAUAUAUCAUUCAUCACAUCUUCUGGCCAUAUCACAUCACAUAGCACUUGCUGCAAAAACAAGUUAGACGUCCUCUAAUUGUUGUUGCAAGUUUUUACGUGGUUUGUAGGUUUCUAGCAAGAACGAUUUCUUACCUACGUAUGACCACAACGUGAUUUGCCAAUUUCUAUUUACCCUUCAUAAGGACCCUUUUCAUCGAAUCCGUUCCGACUAAAGUAGGAGAGACAGACACCCGCUAGCCACCUUAUGCAACUAGUGCAUGUCAGUCGGUGGAACCUGUCUCACGUAAGCGUACGUGUAAGGUCGGUCCGGGCCGCUUCAUCCUACAAUGCCGCCGAAACAAGAAACGACUAGUAGCGGCAAGAAGAAUUGGCAACAUCAACGCCCACAACUUCUUUGUGUUCUACUCGUGCAUAGUAACUACGCAUAGGCCUGGCUCAUGAUGCCACUGUUGGGAAUCGUAGCAUAAUUUAAAAUUUUCCUACGCUCACCAAGAUGCAUCUAUGGAGUCUACUAGCAAUGAGGGGAAAGGAGUGGAUCUACAUACCCUUGUAGAUCGCGAGCGGAAGCGUUCCAAUGAACGUGGAUGACGGAGUCGUACUCGCCGUGAUCCAAAUCACCGAUGACCGAGUGCCGAACGGACGGCACCUCCGCGUUCAACACACGUACGGUGCAGCGACGUCUCCUCCUUUCUUGAUCCAGCAAGGGGGGAGGAGAGGUUGAUGGAGAUCCAACAGCACGACGGCGUGGUGGUGGAUGUAGCGGCUCUCCGGCAGGGCUUCGCCGAGCUUCUGCGCGCGAGAGAGAGGUGUUGCAGGGGAGGAGGGAGGCGCCAAAGGCUGUAGUGUGCUGCCCUCCCUCCCCCCCUUUAUAUAGGCCCCCAAGGGGGGUGCGCAGCCCUUGGAGAUGGGAUCUCCAAGGGGGGGCGGCGGCCAAGGGGGAAGGGGUUGCCUUGCCCCCCAAGGCAAGGGGAAACUCCCCCCUAGGGUUCCCAACCCUAGGCGCAUGGGGGGGAGGCCCAAAGUGGCGCCCCAGCCCAUCAGGGGCUGGUUCCCCUCCACUUUCAGCCCACGGGGCCCUCCGAGACAGGUGGCCCCACCCGGUGGACCCCCGGGACCCUUCCGGUGGUCCCGGUACAAUACCGAUAACCCCCGAAACUUUCCCGGUGGCCAAAACUGGACUUCCUAUAUAUAAUUCUUCACCUCCGGACCAUUCCGGAACCUCUCGUGACGUCCGGGAUCUCAUCCGGGACUCCGAACAACUUUCGGGUUUCCGCAUACAUAUAUCUCUACAACCCUAGCGUCACCGGACCUUAAGUGUGUAGACCCUACGGGUUCGGGAGACAUGCAGACAUGACCGAGACGCCUCUCCGGUCAAUAACCAACAGCGGGAUCUGGAUACCCAUGUUGGCUCCCACAUGUUCCACGAUGAUAUCAUCGGGUGAACCACGGUGUCGAGGAUUCAAUCAAUCCGUAUGCAAUUCCCUUUGUCAAUCGGUAUGUUACUUGCCCGAGAUUCGAUCGUCGGUAUCCCAAUACCUUGUUCAACCUCGUUACCGGCAAGUCUCUUUACUCGUACCGCAAUGCAUGAUCCCGUGACUAACGCCUUAGUCACAUUGAGCUCAUUAUGAUGAUGCAUUACCGAGUGGGCCCAGAGAUACCUCUCCGUUUACACGGAGUGACAAAUCCCAGUCUCGAUCCGUGCCAACCCAACAGACACUUUCGGAGAUACCCGUAAUGCACCUUUAUAGUCACCCAGUUACGUUGUGACGUUUGGCACACCCAAAGCACUCCUACGGUAUCCGGGAGUUGCACGAUCUCAUGGUCCAAGGAAAAGAUACUUGACAUUGGAAAAGCUCUAGCAAACGAAACUACACGAUCUUUUAUGCUAUGCUUAGGAUUGGGUCUUGUCCAUCACAUCAUUCUCCUAAUGAUGUGAUCCCGUUAUCAAUGACAUCCUAUGUCCAUAGUCAGGAAACCAUGACUAUCUGUUGAUCAACGAGCUAGUCAACUAGAGGCUUACUAGGGACAGGUUGUGGUCUAUGUAUUCACACAUGUAUUACGAUUUCCGGACAAUACAAUUAUAGCAUGAAUAAAAGACUAUUAUCAUGAACACAGAAAUAUAAUAAUAACCAUUUAUUAUUGCCUCUAGGGCAUAUUUCCAACAUUUCGGUCCUCCGUGUUCCGAGGCCAUGUCUGUACAUGCUAGGCUCGUCAAGUCAACCUAAGUGUAUUGCGUGUGUUCCGAGGCCAUGUCUGUACAUGCUAGGCUCGUCAACACCCGUUGUAUUCGAACGUUAGAAUCUAUCACACCCGAUCAUCACGUGGUGCUUCGAAACAACGAACCUUCGCAACGGUGCACAGUUAGGGUGAACACUUUCUUGAAAUUAUUAUAAGGGAUCAUCUUACUUACUACCGUCGUUCUAAGCAAAUAAGAUGCAAAAACAUGAUAAACAUCACAUGCAAUCAAAUAGUGACAUGAUAUGGCCAAUAUCAUCAUGCUCCUUUGAUCUCCAUCUUCGGGGCACCAUGAUCAUCUUCGUCACCGGCAUGACACCAUGAUCUCCAUCAUCAUGAUCUCCAUCAUUGUGUCUUCAUGAAGUCGUCACGCCAACGAUUACUUCUACUUCUAUGGCUAACGCGUUUAGCAACAAAGUGAAGUAAAUUACAUGGCGUUAUUCAAUGACACGCAGGUCAUACAAAAUAAUAAAGACAACUCCUAUGGCUCCUGCCGGUUGUCAUACUCAUCGACAUGCAAGUCGUGAUUCCUAUUACAAGAAUAUGAUCAAUCUCAUACAUCACAUAUAUCAUUCAUCACAUCUUCUGGCCAUAUCACAUCACAUAGCACUUGCUGCAAAAACAAGUUAGACGUCCUCUAAUUGUUGUUGCAAGUUUUUACGUGGUUUGUAGGUUUCUAGCAAGAACGUUUCUUACCUACGUAUGACCACAACGUGAUUUGCCAAUUUCUAUUUACCCUUCAUAAGGACCCUUUUCAUCGAAUCCGUUCCGACUAAAGUAGGAGAGACAGACACCCGCUAGCCACCUUAUGCAACUAGUGCAUGUCAGUCGGUGGAACCUGUCUCACGUAAGCGUACGUGUAAGGUCGGUCCGGGCCGCUUCAUCCUACAAUACCGCCGAAACAAGAUACGACUAGUAGCGGCAAGAAGAAUUGGCAACAUCAACGCCCACAACUGCUUUGUGUUCUACUCGUGCAUAGUAACUACGCAUAGGCCUGGCUCUGAUGCCACUAUUGGUAAUCGUAGCAUAAUUUUAAAAUUUUCCUACGCUCACCAAGAUGCAUCUAUGGAGUAUACUAGCAACGAGGGGAAAGGAGUGCAUCUACAUACCCUUGUAGAUCGCGAGCGGAAGCGUUCCAAUGAACGUGGAUGACGGAGUCGUACUCGCCGUGAUUCAAAUCACCGAUGACCGAGUGCCGAACGGACGGCACCUCCGCGUUCAACACACGUACGGUGCAGCGACGUAUCCUCCUUCUUGAUCCAGCAAGGGGGAAGGAGAGGUUGAUGGAGAUCCAGCAGCACGACGGCGUGGUGGUGGAUGUAGCGGGAUGCCGGCAGGGCUUCGCCGAGCUUCUACGAGAGAGAGAGGUGUAGCAGGGGAGGAGGGGAGGAGGGAGGCGCCCAAGGCUGUGAUGUUGCUGCCCUCCCUCCCCCCCCCUUUAUAUAGGCCCCCUGGGAGGGGGGGCGCCGGCCAAACCCCAUCUAGAUGGGGGGGCGGCGGCCAAGGGGGGUGCCUUGCCCCCCCAAGGCAAGUGGGAAGCCCCCCCCCCACCCUAGGGUUUCCAACCCUAGGCGCAGGGGGGAGGCCCAUGGGGGGGCGCCCAGCCCACUAGGGGCUGGUUCCCUUCCCACUUCAGCCCACGGGGCCCUCCGAGAUAGGUGGCCCCACCCGGUGGACCCCCGGGACCCUUCGGAAGUCCCGGUACAAUACCGGUAACCCCCGAAACUUUCCCGGUGGCCGAAACUUGACUUCCUAUAUAUAAUUCUUCACCUCCGGACCAUUCCGGAACUCCUCGUGACGUCCGGGAUCUCAUCCGGGACUCCGAACAACUUUCGGGUUUUCGCAUACACAUAUCUCUACAACCCUAGCGUCACCGAACCUUAAGUGUGUAGACCCUACGGGUUCGGGAGACAUGCAUACAUGACUGAGACGCCUCUCCGGUCAAUAACCAACAGCGGGAUCUGGAUACCCAUGUUGGUUCCCACAUGUUCCACGAUGAUCUCAUCGGAUGAACCAUGAUGUCGAGGAUUCAAUCAAUCCCGUAUACAAUUCCCUUUGUCAAUCGGUAUGUUACUUGCCCGAGAUUCGAUCGUCGGUAUCCCAAUACCUUGUUCAAUCUCGUUACCGUCAAGUCUCUUUACUCGUACUGCAAUGCAUGAUCCCGUGACUAACGCCUUAGUCACAUUGAGCUCAUUAUGAUGAUGCAUUACCGAGUGGGCCCAGAGAUACCUCUCUGUCAUACGGAGUGACAAAUCCCAGUCUCGAUACGUGCCAACCCAACAGACACUUUCGGAGAUACCCGUAGUGCACCUUUAUAGUCACCCAGUUACGUUGUGACGUUUGGUGCACCCAAAGCACUCCUACGGUAUCCGGGAGUUGCACGAUCUCAUGGUCUAAGGAAAAGAUACUUGACAUUGGAAAAGCUCUAGCAAACGAAACUACACGAUCUUUUAUGCUAUGCUUAGGAUUGGGUCUUUGUCCAUCACAUCAUUCUCCUAAUGAUGUGAUCCCGUUAUCAACGACAUCCAAUGUCCAUAGUCAGGAAACCAUGACUAUCUGUUGAUCAACGAGCUAGUCAACUAGAGGCUUACUAGGGACACGUUGUGGUCUAUGUAUUCACACAUGUAUUACGAUUUCCGGACAAUACAAUUAUAGCAUGAACAAUAGACAAUUACCAUGAACAAAGAAAUAUAAUAAUAACCAUUUAUUAUUGCCUCUAGGGCAUAUUUCCAACACCCUGGUGCUCCCGGCACGGCCUGGUCAACGUGGUCAACGACCGACAUGCAUCUGAAGUGGACUGUUCGUGGAGAGGCCGACAGCUGGGUCCACGGCCGCACGCAAGGAAAUGCCUCCUUAUUACGCGCAAAAUAAUGAUUCCUCCACCUAACAUCAGGGACCCACCGAAAGGGCCUCUGUAUUUCGUGAAAAAAAAAGUUACCGCCGCUGACAGCUCGGACCCACCAGCUAUAUCUUCACACGCAAGGAAGUGCCUCCUUAUUACGCACAAAAAAAUGAAUACUCCCCAUGCUAGCUGGGACCCACCAUGGUGGGAGGCUGACUUGUGGGCCUACUAAGUUGACUGGGAUGGGGGCCUUUGUCAACUUUAGUCAAUAUGAACGAUUUUAGCUCCAGUGACCGUACGAUGUCCAUCCAACGGCCGUAGUGCUCCUUCAACCUCUGGUCUUCUUGCUCCAGGCGCCCAAAGCAGCGCCGGUUGUGCCGCAUGCUCCUGCCUCCCGUGGCCGGCUGUGCUGCCGCGGAGGCCUCACCGCCCCCUACUAUUCCCACCGCUGGCCAGGCCCUGUGGCGACGGCAGCCUCACACCGCAGCCGAACCAGUGAACCCUCGUACUCCUCUCCGCGCAGGCUUCCACUGCCGCGUCUUCCCCGGCUCCGCGUCGUCCCCUUCCUAGGCCUCGCCGUCGUCCACUGCCCUGGUGCUCUCGGUGCGGCGUGGUCAACGUGGUCAAGGAACGAUUUCCAUCGGACGUGGACUGUACGUGGAGAGGCUGACAGCUGGGUGCAUGGCCACAACCCAGUUUUUUUGUGCUUUGCCAAGUAAGUCGCUUUGUCAGGCCUGUUGGGCUGCAAAUCUUUCAAGACGAGAAAAGCUUUCAUUCGGCUGGCCAAGAAAAUGGCCCAUCAGUAAUGAGAAAUAGGCUGUACAUUUUUAAAACACAUCAAACCGGCAUUUAGUUUCAAAUAUCUUUUUUUUCAUUUUGAGAUUUUAAAUUACAUUAAUUUUUAUGCAUGGAGAAUUUGUUUGAUUUUAUAUUGAUAUACAUUUAUUUUUAAAAUCAGUUUGAAUGUGAGUCGAAAUUUCGGGAUUAAAAACAGUUCGGACCGCACCGAAAUAUGCAAAAUUUCGUAUAAUUUUUUAACCGUGGCCACAAUAUGGGCUGUAAUGUUAACAAAAGAAUAUGGGCUCCAAAAAAAUCCUUAAUAAUUAGCAAAUGGGCUGUAAAUUAUUAGAAAUAAUGGCAGAUGGGCUGUAUGCUAUUUUCCACAGAUUUGAGACUUUCCUAAAAAAAGGUUGACACACAAGCAGUGACUGUUGGAUGGCCAUCCAACGGCCGUCGUGCUUCUUCAAUCUCUGCUCUUACUGCUCCAGCCGCUCAAACAAGCGCCGGCGGGACUGCCUGCACCCUCCUCCCCGCGGCCGGCUCUGCUGCCGCGCAGGCCUCACCGCCCCACCGUACUCCCAUCGCUGGCCUAGCCAUCCCUCUUCUCACCCACACCUGCUGUUAUUCUCUGGCGACGGCAGACGAACCAGUAAACCCUCGUACAGUCGUACUCCCCUCCGCGUGGGAAACAACUGUCGAGUCUUCCCUGCCUCCGUGUCGUUCCCUUCCUAGGCCUCGCCGUCGUCCAGCGCCCUGGUGCUCUCGGCGCGGCCUGGUCAACGACCGACAUGCAUCUGAAGUGGACUGUACGUGGAGAGACCGACAGCUGGGUCCACGGCCGCACGCAAGGAAAUGCCUCCUUAUUACGCGCAAAAUAAUGAUUCCUCCACCUGACAUCAGGGACCCACCGAAAGGGCCUCUGUAUUUCGCGAAAAAAACGUUACCGCCGCUGACAGCUCGGACACACCAGCUAUAUCUUCGCACGCAAGGAAGUGCCUCCUUAUUACGCACAAAAAAAUGAAUACUCCCCCUGCUAGCUGGGACCCACCAUGGUGGGAGGCUGACUUGUGGGCCUACUAAGUUGACUGGGACAGGGCCUUUGUCAACUUUAGUCAAUAUGAACGAUUCUAGCUCCAGUGACCGUACGAUGUCCAUCCAACGGCCGUAGUGCUUCUUCAACCUCUGGUCUUCUUGCUCCAGCCGCCCAAAGCAGCGCCGGUCGUGCCGCAUGCUCCUGCCUCCCGUGGCCGGCUGUGCUGCCGCGGAGGCCUCAUCGCCCCUACUAUUCCCACCGCUGGCCAGGCCCUGCGGCGACGGCAGCCUCAGACCGCAGCCGAACCAGUGAACCCUCGUACUCCUCUCCGCGCGGGCUUCCACUGCCGCGUCUUCCCCGGCUCCCCGUCAUCCCCUUCCUAGGCCUCGCCGUCGUCCACCGCCCUGGUGCUCUCGGUGCGGCGUGGUCAACGUGGUCAAGGAACGACUUCCAUCGGACGUGGAGUGUACGUGGAGAGGCUGACAGCUGGGUCCACGGCCGCAGCAAGGAAGUGCCUCCUUAUUACGCGGAAAAUAAUGAUUCCUCCACUUGACAGCUGGGACCCACCGGACAGGCCACUGUAUUUCGCGAAAAAAACAUUUCCCCCUGACUGCUAGGACCCACCAGCUACAUCUUCGCACGCAAGGAAGUGCGUCCGGGCAAAAAAAAUGAUUCGCCCCCCUGACUGCUGGGACCCACCAGCUACAUCUUCGCAGGCAAGGAAGUGCCUGACAGUCGGGACCCACCUGAUCGAAGCGUACGUAGCAUUGUCAUUCUGGUCGCGAACGUGUACGUACAUACUGGUCGAUGUGGAGGUGCGCACGUAUCGUAGUAGAGGCGCACACGUAGCAUGUACACGAUCGAUCGCUCGAUCGGGUUCAGGUAACAGCCAUCGAUCGAUCGCUCGGAUUCAGUAACGCGUAGCCUGCAGUGCAAUCACUCGGGUUCAGUUAGAGCCCAACGCCUCGCUCGGGUUCAGUUAGAGCCAACGCCUCGCGCACACACACGCGUACGUGUACGAGAGAAACGCGCAUCGCUCUGCCCCCGACCUCCCACCGUAACCGGAAACUCCCCGAAAUUUUCCUCGCCCUCGCUUCUACCACGGUUUUUUCCGUCAUGGAUGGCCCAAAGAAUGUCAUGCAGCUGCGUCUCCGGCCCGCCCAGACGAAAAGUUCAUUUUCUGUCAUGAUUUUUUGUCAUAGAAGUAGGAGCCCACCACAUCUAUGAUGAUACCGGGUUUUGUCAUAAUUAUCGUCAUAGAAGUGUCAUAUGUAUGACAGAAAAAAAAUUGUUCGGCCCAAAAUGUCACGGAUGUGUCUUUUUUUUUGUACUGAUAGGCAAAUGAUACAACAUGUAUUAUUAUAUCUCAAGCAGGCAGCAAGAUGGCAUUCAUCAUGAUAUCUUUUAUUGUAGCAACGAAAGAAAAUAGACACAAGCACAUGAACAAACUAACACACUGGUUUGGAUACUCUCAAUGGGAUCCAGUUUUAUUGAACACGAAGGCGAGACAUAACUUUGGCCUGUGAAAUUUCAGACCAUGCAUAUGCAUUAUUAGUCAUCAAGAUCAAGGGAUGCCAGUAGAGCAUCCCCCUUACAUAAACUAUCACAAGCAUCACCGCAGAGUUUCACAUAGAGUUUCAUCUCUUCACUGUUGGUAGCUGGUGCCAAAAAAACAUAGUGCUCGCCAAUUACUAACUUUUCAAUUAGUUUGCAUGUACAAAUGAAAUAUAAAUAUAUUCAGAUGGAUUUUAUUUACCUAUGUUGACCAUGACCAUGUUGUCACACACGGAAGACCUACAUUCUAAGCUGCAAUACUCAAUGGUGUUUAGUUCAUCUGCAAAACGAAAUAGAUCUGUAUUAGGUAUUUUCACAACUACUUUUUGGGUUCAUGGAAACAUUAUUCAUGGCAAAUAUGAUCAUACGAAUAUCAUCUAAACAAAUUAAUGAUAGUUUAUAUUAUGUUAGUGGGUAAACUUGUGAAAAAUAUAAUUUCACCGUACUCUUUUAGGAUCAUGUCUACUUCAAAAAAGAGAUAGUAUAUACUUCCUUCGUCCCAAUGGGACAGAGAGAGUAGUAUAUACCCCGUCGCAUAUCAAUUGUCGCUCAAACAUAUGUAUUUAUACGUAUUUUGGUGCUAGAUAGAUCCGAUUGAGCGGUAAUUAGUAUAUGAGACGGAGGGAGUAUAAAUAAAAAGUAGUAGUGAGUUGUGUGUCUUUACCGGAGCUGCGUACAAAGGCCAAGUCAGCGGGGAGGUGACAGCCACAGAAGUCUGUGCACUGAAACACUGUACUAGGACCCAGAAGGCAAGAAUGGUAGCAGGCCACUUAGAAGAUGCUCCCGCCGCAAUCCACGCCCUCUACAUGUUGCACCUGCUUCAGGACCAGCCCCUGCACGAGUAAACACACGAUCGCACUCCCCAGACCCCUCUUGCUUCCUCCCAUGGCUAUGGCUGCCGGGCUCUCUUGUACAAGGCACAGGUAAUGAUGGGGGAUUUGGUUCAAGGAGUGCUGAGGCUAGAUUUGGAUGGCUAUUAGUAUCGAUCUUUAUACUAGGAGAUGAUUGUCGUGGGAGUGUGGACAUGAGUACUGGUUGUUGCACGUGAAACCAAAGCAGAUCGGGGCCAUAGUUUCUUCUCCCACACGGGAUAAAAAAUUUGGAUCGACGGCGCGCACGGACAAAGUUGUGACCUGGGCGCACCUAUCCAGUAGGGAUGUUACGUGCACGCCGGCGCGUUUUUUUUUUUACUACAUUCUAGUAUUUCCUUCAUUUCUAAAUACAAGUCUUUUUAGAGAUUUUAAGAUAAAAUACAUACAAAGCAAAAUAAGUGAAUCUAUAUUUAAAAUACGUCCAUAUACAUUCAUAUAUAUUCCAUAUUGAAAUCUCUAAAAAGAUCGGGCUGCAUUUGGCAGCUCGGUAUUUUUGAAGUUUUCAAAGGAUAACAUGGUUUUGAAAAAAAAACUUUGGUUUUAAAUAUGUUGGAUUAUAGAUGGGCUUAUGCCCAUAUAAGACAAUAAUCCUUGGUUAGUCUCUAAGGCCCAUUUAGAUGCAUGGCAAAUGGUGGGAAGUUUAGUAUAGUAUCAUACUGCUAGUAGAGUGACUGUGAGACCAUUUUAUAAGAGAUGCUCUACUACAUGCCAUCGGGAGCACUCACUGAUUGGGAGCUUGGGAAGAGGAGUUGUACACGCGCGCUCCUCCCCCUCCGCAAGCCUCGCCUCGUCACAACAUGUGCGCGCCACGAGUUGCGGGAACGAGCCGAAGCUUAUUUUUGCUAGUCAGAAAUGGUUAAUUAAUCUCGGAUUAAUUGACGAGUCGCUAAGUAGUGCCACUGUCCAAGACGUCGGACCGUGGGCUGCUCGCGGACUCGGUCGUGGGCCAGGAACAAACAGAAAAAAAUUGACUCAAAUAAAAGAAGCAUUGUGACUUAGUAGAAUCAAUGAAAAGAAGGAUUCGGAACGUGAAAAUGCUUCGGCUGAAAAAGCCGAAUUAAGUAGUAUAUAUUCUAAAUCCAUCAAAUCCAAAGAGGCAAGCAUUAUUGAGAAAGGGCAUGGAAAACAUAACAAAACAGUCAUGCUUGUUUUUUUUCUGAAGUUAAUGAAACCUACUUCCUGCCCUAUAAGUUCCGUGCCAUAGAAGUUGACGAGCUUCAAUGACAACAACAAGUAGCCGAACAAAGUUUGGUUGACAAAGAUCUUCAAAGUAAUUAUGCAAACAAUCAAGAAAAAAGAUGAAGACAAGGCGUUGGGGGGUCAUCCAAAAGUGGAGCAAGAUAGUUUUCAAGUCAUGCAAUCAUUAUGCUCUCCCAACCUAUUUGAAGAGAUGUCUAGCAAGUAAUGACCUAUAUUAAGAUGUGGUCAUAACUUUGUUGGUGAUGCAUCUAUUAGAAAAAAAAAUCUUAUAAACAAUCUUGAGAGACCAAUGAAGAAGGGUAAUUUAUUUGUUAGCAGUAAGAUUGUUACAAAGCAUAUCGGUCAACAUGUUGUGCCAUUUAGAGUGACCGAUAGUGACUUAUUAUUGCAAUCAAAGUCGUCCCGAUUGGUUUAUUUAAAAUAUAUAUAUAAAUGAAAUGAAUGGAUUUGCUUGUUUCAUACUUAGCUUACAUUUGGUCUCAAAUGAGACAUGUAUGUUCUAACUAUUUUGGUUUCAAAAACAUAAAGCCAAGUUAGAAUUAUGUUGAGAAACCCGAUGCUAGUAUAAUUUCUUAUUCAAAACAUGUAUAGAAAAAUGUUUCUAAUGUAUAGGUAAAAUAUACAACAUUUAUGAAAAAAAAUAAACAUCAAAACAUAUAUAUGAAAAAAUGGUAAACGUGUAUAUUUUUUAUGAUGUAUAUAAAAAAUAUAGAUGGUGUAUGAAAACUGUAGACAUCAAAAUAUAUUUUUUGAAAAAAAUUGUGCAGUGUUAAAAAAUGUUUGUGCAACUUUUAAAAAAUGGUGAUAGCAUUUGAAAAAAAUGUUCAACACGUAAUUGAAAAACUGUUUAAUACAUAUGCGAACAACAAUGUUCAAAAACACGUGUUUGAAAAAAUGUUAAUCAUGUAUUUGAGAAAUGUUAAACAUAUAUAAAAUAAAUGUUUAUUCUCUUGAUGUAUACAAAAAAUAUAGAUAUCAACACUUGUACAUUUAAAAUAAUGUUAAUCAUGUAUUUAAAAAAUUGUUAAACUAAUAGAACAUCUUUUUUCCCCAACAAUUCUAAUUUAUACAAGCUUUUGGAUAAAUAUAUAUCAAAAGUGUCCGCCCGUUUAAGCGCAAGCGACUAGUUAUCAGCUAAUGGUAGACGGAGACAUGGUGAAAAUACGGAGGACUGCUAGACACAUGCAUCUGACUUGGGACUAGGGCAGUUACUUCUAUGCGUCGAACAUGUCCUUGAAUAUUGCAGAAAAUGGGCGGUUUCAUCUGAAGUAGUAGCCUGGACUUGUUUGAUCGAUGCCAUAAAUAUCAACUAAAUAUUCGAAAAGGAGGUAACCCUCUGCACAUCAACAGAAUACUGCAGAGAAGUGUUCACUGAAAAUGCGGAAAACAAGAUCCAUUUCACGGUUUACAUCACAGACAUCAAACAACUUGAGGUCAAGCCUAAAAUAAAUAAAUCAAAGACCAAAGAAUAUCUCUUGAGGCAUAUGCUCAUAGAGUUUAUAUCCAUAGGAAAAGGAUACAACAUAUAUUAUUAUAUCUCAGUCAUGGCAGUACAUCAAGCAGGCAUCAAUAUGACAUCCACCAUGAUAUCUUUUAUUGGAGCAACGAAAGAAAAUACACACAAGCACAUAAACAAACUGACACACUGGUUUGGAUACUCUCAAUGGGAUCCUGUUUUAUUGAACACGAUGGUGAGACAUAACUUUGACCUGUGAAAUCUAAGACCAAGCAUAUGCAUUAUUAGUCAUCAAGGGAUGCCAAGAGAGUAUCCCCCUUACAGAAACUGUCACAAGCAACACCGCAGCGUUUCACAUAGAGUUUCAUCUCUUCAGUACUGUUGUCAGCUGGUGCCAAAAUAGGAUAGUAUGCGUCAAGAACUAACUUUUCAAUUAGUUUGCAUGUACAAAUGAAAUAUAAAUAUACUCAGAUGGAUUUUAUUUACCUGUGUUGAUCAUGUUGUCACACACGGAAGACCUACAUCCCAAGCUGCAAUACUCAAUGGCGUUUGGUUCAUCUGCCAAAACGAAGUAGAUCUGAGAUAAACAAUUCCUCCGUUACAAUAUGUCGAUGUUUUGUGUAUGGGAUGGCCUCUAUCAUUCAUUCUUUAUUAGCUGUUUUCACAACAAUUUUUGGUAGAUUUUUUCUAGUAUAAUGAAAAAUCCUUCAUGUCAAAUCUUAUCAUACAAAUAUGAACUAACAAAUUCAGAAUAGUUUAUUGUAUUAAUAGCUAAACUUGGAAUUUUUUUUAGUUUGACAUUACACUUUUUUAGGAUCACAUCUACUUUGAAAAGGAGAUAGUAUAUAAAUUAGAAGUAGCGAGUUGUCUGUCUUUACCGGAGCUGCGUACAGAGGCCAGGCCCGCGGGGAGUCGACAAGCACAGAAGUCUGCGCACUGGAACACUGUACUAGGACCGAGAAGGCAAGAGUUGAAGCAGGCCACUUUGAAGGGGUUUGCGCCGCAGUCCACGCCCUCUACUUGCACCUGCUCCAGGACCAGCCCCAGCACCAGUAGGCACACGAUCGCACUCUCCAGACCCUUUUGGCCUCCUCCCAUGGCUAUGGUUGCCGGGCUCUCUUGCAGAAGGCACAAGUAUUAAUGGGGGCUUCUGGUUGAAGGACAGAUGAGACUAGAGUGAGUUCCAUGGCUCCUGGUAGGGAUUUUUAUACUAGGAGAUGAUGGUCGUGGGAGUGCCUAGAUGAGUACUGGUUGUUGCACGUGAAACCAAAGCACACCGGGGCCAUAGUGUCUUUUCUUCUCCCACACGGGGCAAAAAGUUGGAUCGAUGGCGCGCGGACAAAGUUGGCCGGAGCCGAAGACGGUGACAAUGCUGUGACCUGCGCGAAGCUAUCCAGUAGGAUGUUACGUGCAAGCCGGCGCUUUUUUUUAACUGCAUUUCUAUAAAAAAAUAUACGAUGAAAUACAUUUUUGACGUGAGGUACACAAACAAAAUAAAGUACAGUUUUGCUAAAGCACAUCUAGAUAUGCUCUAAGUAUUGCACAUCUAAAUCCUAUAUCAUUGAUAUUAUUCUAAGAUUCGUGCAAGCAUUUUUUUUCAAUAUUUUUUCUUUUUCUUUCUAGUUUGAUUGAGUCACUUAGAUGUGCAAUAACUACGGAAUGUAGAGUAUUUUAUGGCAUAAGAACAUUUUGUUUAGAUUUUUUUUUUGAAACUUUAAAAUCCGAUUUCGCUCUAGCAGGUCCUAUUUUGUCCCAGCAUGCAACUAUAUAUGGGGCGGGGUUUGGACAAAAUACAUUUUUUUUUGUCAAAAUGACUUGUGUGCCUGGGAAUAGAGGGGAAGUGCCGUAUUAUAUGCCGCCGAAAUACCUUUUUUUUUGUUGGGAACGAUACGUGCAUGCCAGAAAAACAUCUCUCUGCUGUACACAUGUGCAUGCCUUUGAGGUUUGAGCUGGCGAUGUAUAUCAAACAACGUGUGCCCAAUGUCACGUUGGUUUUUCGUGUGCAAGAUUUGUAGAUUGCUGAUCACGCUUGGCGCGGGAAGUUUUUCGUGUGCAGAUACAUGGCUUUAUAUGACAGGUAAACUAGAGCCUUGUCUUUCCCCCUAUACUACUCCUAUCUUUAACUUUAUAAGAGAAAAAUAUAUUUUUCGUCUUUUAACUCUUGGCAAAAUCUAGAUUUAGUCCUUUAACUUUAAAACCAAACAAGUUGCAUUCUAAACUUUUAAAACCGGUAAUACUAUCUUUUACGAAGAACAAUCCUACCUUGUUUACACGUCCACUAAAUGCACCAUUGUAAAUUACUUUGACCGGUUUAAAUGAAAAACAAGGCUGAAAACCAACAUGAGCCAACACCGACACCAACACAAACAUGCCAACACCAUCUAACAUGACCACAAUCCAGAGCGAUAGUAAGCAAGAUCUUCGAAGAUGACUUCAAGAAGAAAAAACAAUGCCUAAAGACGCCGCUGUCACCGGCAUCGACCCCCGUCAAUCAAUAAGCUUUCGCAUAGACCCACACAUGACCGCCCCACCAAACAUUGGGAUAGAUCAAUCCUAGCCAUUAGCCUCCGAUGCCAGUCCUCGCCGACCAGCCACAGAUCAGUGUGAAAAAGUACUCUUCGACAAUAUCUCCAAGAGGAGGAGGACGCCCAUGGGCGCCAACAUCACCGGCAACGACCCCCGACUGAGAACAAGGCUUUCGCCCAGAGUCUUAUGCCUCGCCCCCUCUGAUCCAAGGUGUUGGAAAUAUUGGCAAUUUACCAUAUGAUUUUAUUAACGGAAAUACUAGAUAAAGCAUGACUAAAGUAACAGAGAUAAAGCAAGUCAUGCGAUCUGACAAAGAGAAGGUAGAUAACAUCUGCAAAUAUAAACUAGAACCGAACAUCUCUAGAGUAGACAGUAGACCAAGUAGCAUAUAUGAAGUAGAACCUAUCAUGUGUAGGGCAAGGACUGGAACAAGGAACUGUGGCAGAACCUCUAACAGGAAAAACAAGAACACGUACGGGACAGCAGCUGCAACAGUAGCACUGGACUUGGGGUCGGUGUCCUCGGUAGCCAUGUCGUGGAGGAGGUUGUCAACGUCGGGGAAGUAGUCGUCGUCGGGGACGUAGUCGUCGGAGUCUGGGGUGUCCGUGACGAAGAAGUCAGUAGUCGCGCAGAGCGCUCCCCAAAAACCUUAUCACCCUUCUCCCGUACAGGACUCAAAGAGGUGCGGUUUCGGAGGCCUACUGUCCCGACCUGCGGUGCACGCCGCAAGCGGGAUGAGGAAGAUCGUAGCAGCAGCGCAGUGUUCAGGAACCGGUGGCGAGAGGAAGAAUGAGUUUUGGUACAUCUCUCUGAGAGGAGCGACCUUCCUUUUAUAGGCGCAAGAGAAGGAGGCGAGAGGCUGCGUUGGGAGCUGAAGGGAACGAGGGAGAUGAAACGAACAGAUAGCAGCCGAAGGGUGCAGCAUUCGUAUUCAAUAUCCACUACAGCAAAAACUUUCCAGCUCCCGAGUGACCUUUCGUAUACCCGUAGUGCGUGGAAAAAAUUUAGACAUCGGCUAAUUCCCGCAACCCGCGGCGUGACGAGGCGUGGCGGGGCGGGCGGCGGAGGAGGAGCGCGCGUGGAUGUCCCUCUUGUUCUCAUGCUCAUACAAAUGGGGAAAGAACCUCCCUUAUAAAGAGGUCCAACUCCCUCUAAACUGGCAAUGUGGGACUAAACUUUAGUAGUGUCCCUUGCCUUGCACGAAUGGGCUAAGUGGGCCUCUAGGAUUUAUUAGGAAUUUCUGAAAUUGUUAUUGGGCUAGGCCCAUAAAUAGAUAAAAUUCCAGCAAUCCCCCAAGAUCCUAGAGCCACAUAGAAUUUGCCUUUAGUUCCAAAACACUGUUUUAUAUACCGGUACUGCAGUGGAGACUGUUAAGUUGAACUUCCACCUAGAACUCUAUGCUACACUAGUAAGCAACUUGAACAGUGGACUGGGCCUUGAACUACAAGUUUUCUGCGAAUCUAGCUUCACAUAAAGCCUUGACCGAUACGUGGCUACCGUGGGUCUUCCCGCGGGUGGAGCUUAUGCGUCAUACUCCGAGACCUUUCAUGAGUUUACUAGAGAGAACCCUACUCUCAUAGAUUGCGACGUUUAACAAUCAGACUCAUAUAGGUGUGUUCUUCAAAAGAUGUUCUGCAGGACAACAUCUCUGCUUAAAUGAGCCACUUAGAACACAUUAAGAUAUACAUCAACCUGCCAUACAGUUUUAGGAGAGUAUUGCAUCUUCAUGGAGUGGUAUUGUUAAUAGUAAGGAUACUCUCCUCUCAGUUGAUCAACAGCUUGUCUUCCACAUCUAAUUCACGGGAUCUCCGAUCACAAAGAAUAGGUUACCACUGUGAACAACUCAUAUUGUGGGCUCAUACCCAUCUCCCUCGAUGCAUUAUCUAUCACAUUACGUGAUAGACCCUUAGUAAAAGGAUCUGCCAGAUUUUUAGACUUUUGGAUAUAAUCCAAUGCAAUAACUCCGGAGUUUCUCAUUUUCCUGACAGACUUUAACCUUCUCUGAACGUGUCUUGAUGACUUCAUGUUAUCCUUUGAGCUGCUCACUUUUGUGAUCACAGUUUGAUUGUCGCAGUUCAUAAGGAUACCCGGUACAGGUUUCUCAACAGCCGGCAAGUCAUUCAAGAGCCGGCGAAGCCAAUCUGCUUCGACCGUAGUUGUUUCUAGUGUUGUGAGUUCUGCUUCCAUUGUUGACCUCGUUAAGAUGGUCUGCUUGCAAGACUUCCAAGAAACAGCGCCACCUCCAUGAGUGAAUACAUAACCGCUCGUGGCCUUUAUCUCAUCAGCAUCUGAGAUCCAGUUUGAGUCACUAUACCCUUCAAGCACCUUUGGGUGCCCAGUGUAGUGAAUUCCAUAAUUCGCAGUGCCUUUCAAAUAAUGCAAAACUCUCUCUAGAGCUUUCCAAUGCACAUCUCCUGGUUUUGAGACAAACCGACUCAGUUUGCUAACAGCAAAAGAGAUGUCAGGUCUUGUAGCACUGGCUAAGUACAUAAGCGAGCCAAUAAUCUGAGAAUAUUUCAAUUGAUCUCUAGCAAUUCUUCGAUUCUUUCGAAGUAACACACUCGCAUCAUAUGGUGUUGGAGAGGGCUUGCAGUCACUAUAGCCAAAGCGACUCAAGAUAUUUUCCACAUAGUGAGACUGAAGCAAUGUAAUCCCACCAUCAUCGUCUCUCAACAACUUGAUGUUCAAAAUGACAUCAGCCACUCCUAAAUCCUUCAGCUCAAAACAACGAGAUAGGAAAUCCUUGACCUCCUUAAUAACAUUUAGAUUUGUUCCAAAAAUCAGUAUGUCAUCAACAUACAAGCAAAGAAUAACUCCUUCGCCCCCACCAUGGCGAUAAUACACACAUUUAUCAGCUUCGUUUACAACGAAGCCUGCAGCGGUUAAAGUUCUUUCAAACUUCUCAUGCCACUGUUUGGGUGCUUGCUUGAGUCCAUACAAAGACUUCAGCAACUUGCAAACUUUUCCUUCCUGACCAUCUAGUACAAACCCAUCUGGUUGUUCCAUAUAAAUUUCCUCAUCCAACUCUCCAUUUAGGAAAGCAGUCUUAACAUCCAUUUGAUGAACGAGAAGACCAUGUGAGGCAGCUAGUGAAAGUAGAACUCGAAUAGUGGUCAGUCAAGCCACAGGUGAGUAAGUAUCAAAGAAGUCUUCACCUUCCUUUUGGUUAUAACCCUUAGCCACGAGCCGAGCCUUGUACUUUUCAAUAGUACCAUCAGGCCUAAGCUUCUUCUUGAAUACCCAUUUGCAUCCUAUAGGUUUGCACCCAUAAGGACGAUCAGUUAUCUCCCAAGUUUCAUUCGCCAAGAUGGAAUCCAUCUCGCUACGAACCGCUUCCUUCCAGUAGUCAGCAUCUUCAGAUGCAUAGGCCUCUGAAAUAGAACUGGGAGUGUCAUCUAUGAGAUACACAAGAAAAUCAUCACCAAAGGACUUUGCAAUCCUCUGUCUCUUGCUCCUAGUAGGAACUUCAUUGUUCUCCUCCACAGAGUUUUCAAAGUGUUCCAUCGAAAUGGCAGGUUCGGUAAUUGUAACUAGUUCCUGAUUCGAUGAACUAGGCAUCUCCUGAUUAGACGAGGUAGACAUAUCCUUCAUGGGAAAGAUAUCUUCAAAGAAAGUCGCAUCAUUCGACUCCAUGAUCGUACCGACAUGCAUGUCAGGUACCUCAGAUUUUACAACCAAGAAUCUAUAGCCAAUGCUAUGAAAAGCAUAUCCCAGGAAAACACAAUCCACAGUCUUUGGUCCAAGCUUCCGCUUCUUUGGAAUUGGAACAUUGACUUUCGCCAAACAACCCCAUGUUCGCAGAUAAGAGAGUUUUAACCUUUUCUUCUCCCAUUCCUCGAAUGGAGUUAUCUCUUUGUUUAGGACAAUGACAUGCCGUCAAUAUCGCCUCCCCCCACCAUGCCUUGGAGAGACCCGAUGUGUCUAACAUGGCGUUAACCAAAUCAGUUAGAGUACGGUUCUUUCUUUCGGCCACCCCAUUUGACUGAGGUGAGUAGGGAGGCGUCCUCUCAUGGAUUAUACCAUGUUCCGCACAAAAAGCAUCAAAUUCAUUGGAAAAAUACUCUCCACCACGGUCGGACCUAAGCCUCUUGAUUUUUUGAUCAAGUUGGUUUUCCACUUCAGCUUUAUAGAUCUUGAAAAAGUUCAAAGCCUCAUCCUUAGAUUUCAGAAGAUACACACGGCAAUAUCUAGUGGAGUCGUCAAUUAAUGUCAUGAAAUAUUUCUUUCCACCUUUUGUCAAAACACCAUUCAUUUCACAUAGAUCUGAAUGUAUGAGCUCGAGUGGUGCAAGAUUUCUCGUUUCCGCAGUCGUGUGAGACUUACGAGGUUGCUUAGCUUGCACACACACUUGACACUUAGAUCCCUUGACAGUGGUGAAACUAGGGAUUAAGUUCAACUUCGCUAGUCGCGACAUGCAACCAAAGUUAACACGACAAAGACGUGAAUGCCACACAUUUGAUUCACUAUUGUUGCAAAUAUUUAACAACUUUAUUGCAAACGUCUGAUAAGGCUAAACGAAACAGGCCUCCUGACUCAUAGCCUUUACCAACGAAGGUUCCAUACUUGGAUAUUACAAAUUUAUUCGACUCAAAGACAAGCUUGUAGCCAUCUCUACACAGAAAAGAUCCGCUAACAAAAUUUUUAUUGACGGAGGGGACAUAAUGCACGUUCUUCAGCCGCACGAUCUUCCCCGAAGUAAACUUCAGAUCGACCGUGCCAACACCACGAACAGAAGCACUUGAACCGUUGCCCAUCAACACGGUUGAAGUCCCUGCGGUCUGAUAAGACGAAAACAUGGAAAUAUCACCGCAUACAUGCACAUUAGCACCCGUGUCAAUCAACCAAUCAGGAGAAUGACAUACUGAAAGAAUAGUGGGAAAUAUACCAUACCCAGCAUCCUUUAUGUCAGUGUCUCCAAUGACAACAUUAGCGGUCUUGCCGCCUUUCCCAGGAUGACGCUUGUCAUAGCGAUUAGGGCAACUAGGAGCCCAAUGAUCAGGAUCCCCACACACAUGACAAGCACCUUUCUUCUUGUCAUUCUUCUUCUUGAAGUUCGUGUGUUGCAUAGCCUUGUUCUUCCCAUCAAACUUUGCUUUACCAUCAAACUUGCCCUUGUUCUUGAACUUGUGGGGCUGGAAGUUCUUCUUCUGUACCAGAUUGGCACUAGAUCCUCCCUCAAUACCUCGAGCACGUGUGUCCUUUGCUCUCGCCUUUUCUUCCACAUCAAGAGUGCCAAUGAGAUCCGGAACGGAAAACCCCUGCCUCUUAUGCUUCAGUAAGGUAGCAAAGUUCCUCCAUGAAGGAGGAAGCUUAUUGAUGAUACCUCCGGCAACAAACUUGUCCGGUAGCAUACAACUGAAGUGCUCAAGUUCUCUAGCAAAUGACUGUAUCUCAUGAGCUUGCUCAACCACGGAGCGCUCUUCAGUCAUCCUGUAACCAUAGAAUUGCUCCAUGAUGUACAGCUCAGUGCCAGCAUCCGAGACCCCAAACUUGGCCUCAAGUGCAUCCCACAUAUCUUUUCCAUUAUCAAUUGACGCAUAAGCAUCAAUUAUGUUCUCACCAAGAACACUCAAGAAAGCAGCCUUAAACAGAGUAUCCAUUUUCUAAAAAGCUUGUGCCUGUUGAGCAUCAAGAUCUCCUUCAGGUUUGCCAAGAAUGGUUUGAAACCAUAAGACUGCUCUCACGCGCCACCUCUUAUAGUGGAUACCCUCAAACAUAGGAGGUCUCAUGGAAGCAGCAAAACCACUUGGUGUAAAUUGCCUAUAAUAAGGUUUUUGGAUUGUUGGAAAUAUUGGCAAUUUACCAUAUGAUUUUAUUAACGGAAAUACUAGAUAAAGCAUGACUAAAGUAACAGAGAUAAAGCAAGUCAUGCGAUCUGACAAAGAGAAGGUAGAUAACAUCUGCAAAUAUAAACUAGAACCGAACAUCUCUAGAGUAGACAGUAGACCAAGUAGCAUAUAUGAAGUAGAACCUAUCAUGUGUAGGGCAAGGACUAGAACAAGGAACUGUGGCAGAACCUCUAACAGGAAAAACAAGAACACGUACGGGACGGCAGCUGCAACAGUAGCACUAGACUUGGGGUCGGUGUCCUCGGUAGCCAUGUCGUGGAGGAGGUUGUCGACGUCGGGGAAGUAGUCGUCGGAGUCCGGGGUGUCCGUGACGAAGAAGUCAGUAGUCGCGCAGAGCGCUCCCCAAAAACCUUAUCAUCCUUCUCCCGUACAGGACUCAAAGAGGUGCGGUUUGGGAGGCCUACUGUCCCGACCUGCGGUGCAUGCCGCAAGCCGGGAUUAGGAAGAUCAUAGCAGCAGCACAGUGUUCAGGAACCGGUGGCGAGAGGAAGAAUGAGUUUGGUACAUCUCUCUGAGAGGAGCGACCUCCCUUUUAUAGGCGCAAGAGAAGGAGGCGAGAGGCUGCGUCGGGAGCUGAAGGGGACGAGGGAGAUGAAACGAACAGAUAGCAGCCGAAGGGUGCAGCAUUCGUAUUCAAUAUCCACUACAGCAAAAACUUUUCAGCUCCCGAGUGACCUUUCGUAUACCCUAGUGCGUGGCAAAAAUUUAGACAUUGGCUCAUUCCCGCAACCCGUGGCGAGGCGUGGCGGGCGACGGAGGAGGAGCGCGCGUGGAUGUCCCUCUUGUUCUCAUACUCAUACAAAUGGGGAAAGAACCUCCCUCAUAAAGAGGUCCAACUCCCUCUAAACUGGCAAUGUGGGGCUAAACUUUAGUAGUGUCCCUUGCCUUGCACGAAUGGGCUAAAUGGGCCUUUAGGAUUUAUUAGGAAUUUCUGAAAUUAUUACUGGGCUAGGCCCAUAAAUAGAUAAAAUUCCAGCAAGGUAGGGGCCAGGCCCCUGCAAACAUCAACAUCGACGAACCAAACCAGAAGGAAAAAAGAAACGCCCCGGCCUCCACAACACCAUGAAGGGCUGCCUGCAUAGGUGUUGACACCACCACCACCACUACUACGAGGACUCUUGAAGCCACAAUGCAGCAACCGCCUCGCAUCCGCGCUGUCGACGGAGGCCAACCUCGCCGCCAACUAACGCUCUAGUCUGCUGCCCGUGCAACCGCGACCAAAGCACGCCAACGACGCCUACCAACACCACCACUGUGCUACCAUUCGCCACGCGCCGCACUGCCACACCCAUCGCCGUCCCGUAGAGGGAAAAGUGCAGCUGUGCCGUCACCGACCCCAAGAGGUCACCUCCAAAGACGGAGCAGCAGAUCGGGCGCCGCCCCGAUCUGAGCCCUUCGAGCCGGCGCACGAGCAACCACCGCCGCGCAGCACUGGCGCCUCCCAGACGGAGUUCAUAUCCACAGGCAAAUGAUACAACAUAUACCAUUAUAUCUCAGUCAUGGUAGUACAUCAGGGCAGCAACAUGGCAUCCAUCAUGAUGGCUUUUAUUUCGAACAAGGAAUGGAAAUACACACACAUAAAACAGAGUGACACACUGGUUUGGAUACUCUCGAUGGGAUCCAAUUUUAUUGAACGCAAAGGUGAGACACGACCUUGCCCUGUGAAAUCUCAGACCAUGGAUACGCAUCAUUACGCAUCAAGGGAAGUGAGGCCAGCAUCACCGUUACAGAAAUUGACACAAGCAUCGCCACAAUUUUCCACAUAGAGUUUCAUCUCUUCAUCGUCAGCAGCUGGUGCCCAAAUAACAUAUUAUGUGUCAAGAACUAGCCUUUUUCAUCAAUUAGUUUACAGGAAUACAAAUACAAGAUGAAAUUUCUUUACCUGCGUUGACCAUGUAGUCACACACGGAAGACCUACAUCCCAAGUUGCAAUACUCAAUGGUGUCUGGUUCAUCUGUCAAAUUAAAAUAUCUAGCGUGUAAAUAAAAUCCUUUCUGAAACAAAUAAUUCCCCAGUUACAAUAUGCUUGAUGUUUUGGAUAUUCACAUGGUCUCUAUCAUUCAUUCUUUGUUAGUUAUUUUUCACAAUUACUUGUUGGUAGAAAAUUAUGAAGAAAAAAACUUGUGGAAAAUUAUUCAUGGCAAAUCUGAUCAUCUAACGCCAUCUAACAUAUUUGAAAUACUUUAUCAUAUUAGUAACAAAACUAGGAAAAUUUUAACUUGACUAUAUGCUUAUCGAAUGACAUCUAUUCUAUUUUUUUAAAAAAAAGAGGGAGUAUAUAAAAUAGAAGGAGUUCAUUCUCUUUACCUGAGUUGGACUCAAGGGCCAAUUUAGGGAAACCUUUGGGGCAGCUUAGGCCACUUGUGAGUUUACACCUACAGACGGUUGAGCAUAACUUCUGAGCACCACGGGAGCGGCAAAGGUUGUAGCAGUUUCUUCCCAGGGUGGUCCUGCAGCAACUCUUGCCUUCUACUUGCACCUGUUCCAGAACCAACCCCAGUAUGAGUAAACACACCAUCACACCCUUGAGGCCCUUGCUUCCCAUGGCUGGCAGGCUAUCUUGCAGAACAAAGAAGUAUAAUGGCUUUGGUUGAUGGAUUACUGAGACUAGGCUUGGAUGGCUCCUAGUUAUAGGAGAUGGUGGUUGCGGCAUGUGGGAUGUUCACGUGAUGGUUGUUGUAUGUAAAUGUUGCGUGUUCAUGCCAGCCAUGUAUUUAUUUUUUUGCAAAAUCGUGCCAGCCAUGUAAACCGGAUGAAAACAAAAGCUCCUAACUGUGAGUGUGUUUGGAGGGCUACUCUUCUUCCAAACUCCACUGGCAAUGUUUAACCACACGCAACAGCGACAAAUCAAUUUCUAGUUGCAUAUCACUCCUUAAACAUGAGUUUUUUAAGAGCUUAUGGACAAAUAUUGGACCUUGUCUUUCUUGCCUUGCCAAGGAGCCGACUCCGGCAAUGACAACAAAAGUGUCUUUAAUCACGCGCGGCACGGCAAAAGGCAACCUUAUGGUUGUCAUCCAUCCCAAGAGAAAUUUGGUUGAAAUCGUGCAUGGAUGAUAAAGAUGAUGGUUGUGGAAUACGUGCAAGCAAACAUGUUUGUAUCAAUCCAUCCGCGCCCACAGUUCACAUGGUAUGUCGCUUAGGGGUUGGUAAUGCAAGCGCAUCCCUCAAAACAAAAACUUUUGGCAGUUAGCUAGUUCUUGUCCUCAUGUUCUUUAGGCUUUUCUCAGCGCUCCAUGAUGCUAAGAAUGUCACAUAGGCAAAAAAGUUAACGUAGCAAAGAAAUUAAGAAAAAGAGAGAGCAUCGAGACCCGAUGAAGAAACGAUGUCAAGUGAGCAAAUCUAUGCAAAACACAUAUGCAUGAGGGAUUUUUGUUGCUAAACAAUUAAUUGAAGGAAGCUUAGGUACAAAAGGCUAAGCACCUAUGCAUGCAUUGGGGAAUUUAGUUUAUAAGUUAUUUGAUGCACUUAGCACCUUAUCUAAGCACCUGUGGUGGAUCCAGAACCCUCUCGAAGGCCAAGCAAAGCACAAACUAAGGUAUCUAAGAUGCCAUUUUUAAUAAAUAAAAUCAUCAUAUAAAAAAUGUCUAACAUAAGGUGUCACAUCAAUGGUAGAUUCACUCAUGAGUGAGCACCAUUAGUUUGUUCUAGAACACAACUGGUCUCUACCUGGGAUCGGGAAAGUUUGUAUGAUGAGAUAAUACAAUUUUGCCGAAAAAAAUUAACAAUGAAUCUUUCACAAAACUGGCGGCGUGCGUGCUUGGGAAGAGAUGGGAGUGACAUGUGUCCGAGCAGAAAAGCAAAUAAGAGAUCGAUACAAGGGAUAGACCUAGGGAUUGACGGGUGGGCCACAGUCCACCAUAAGUUUUCCAAAUAUCAUAGCGAGCAAAUGAUGAAUCUUGCUUACUGCGAGACGAGCGGUCGCCUACGUCGAUCAUUCAAGUGGGCCAGCCCAACAACGGUUUUGAGAAGCUUCAAUGUGCCAUUCUGAGAAGCUUCUAUGUACAGUAGGGACUGGUUUUGGGAACCUUCCGUGCGGUUUUCGGAAGCUUUCAUCCCUUUUUUUCCUUUCCAAUUUUUUCUCUACAGAUUUUUAUACUUUUUUCUUUCUUCGUUCCUGUUAUUUUUUAUCUUUUUUUAUUUUCAUGUUCUUUGUAAAAUAAAAGACUGAACAUUUUUAUAUGACAUGAACUUUUUGAAAAAAUAAAUAUGCAGACAAUUUUUCACAUCUUCAUGAAUUUUUUUGUAUAUGUUGCGAACAUGCUGUCAUAUGCCAUGAAAAUUCUCCAAAAUUUACACUAAGUAUUUUUUACAUUUUCAUGAACAUUUUUACAAAUGCUGAAAUCAUUUUUCAAUGGUAACAAACACUUUUUAUAAGUCACAAACAUGUUUUAAAAAUUGAGUUAGCAAAUUUUUAUAUUUCAUGAACAAAUUUUAAAUGAGUUUUUGUCAGAUGGUACACCAUUUUUUAAAUGUCAUGAAUAUUUUUUAUAAAUUAAUAAAAAUUGUUGGUAAGUGUCAUGAAAUUUUUAAUAAAAAUGUGCGGACACUUUUUUGAGCUGCUUGAAUGGUUUUCCUUUUUUUAGCACAAUCCUCUAGGUUAAUCAUAGGAACACAAAGAGUGCUAUGGGGCAGACCAAGCCAUGUGUGUCUCCCCUGAUCUAAAGUAGAUGCAAACCUAGCUAAAUUGUGGGCUUCGUAAUUUGAGCCUCUUUUUUCAUGAACAAAAUUACAUAGGGCGAAAGAAGAUCUAGAAGCAUUAAUAUCCUUGAAAACCACCUCAUAUUUACCACCUUGUAAAGUGGCGAUGUCAUUGACCACGUUUAGGCAAUCUGUCGCAAUAUGCACCCUCUCGAGAUUCAAGUCAAUAGCCAACGCAAUGCCUUCGCGACAAGCAAUAACUUCUAGGUCUGCAGGAUCAAUAACUCUCGGUAAGACGAGAGCUAAAGCUCCCAAAUAUAAUCACCAAUCAUCCUCCCUACAUCUGUACCAUAUAAGCCUGGCCUGGAGAUGCCACCAUCCACAUUUAUUUUGGCGGAUCCAUUCUUCCUAUACAAAAAUAAGAGCCAUUCUUGGUAGCUGGGCGUGGCCCAUUUCAAGUAAUGUUGAAGCCAAGGUGGUCAUCGUUCUAGCUAAAAGCAAGGAAAAUCCCUAUUUGACGCAUUUGGUGUCAAACAAUCGGUCAAUUGCACAUACAAAGCGACCGAGCAAGCGAAUGGGCAUGCCCAUCUGUAGUACAGGUACAUCUGUCAUGUUCCACCUUUGGAAAUCUUCUAGAGGGUUUCCAGUGGUUUUAUCGGUUUUGGUAACCUUCUAGAAGGUUUCGGAAUUAUCUUUUUAUUCUUUCCUUUUCUUUUAUUGUUUUUGUUUCUACUUCUUUUUCUCUUUUUAUUUUCCUUUUUGGUUUUUUCAUGUUUUUGUUUUUGUUUUUCUGAUUCUUUUUCUGGUUUGUUUUAUUCAAAAAUUCCAUAAAUAUAAUCCAAUUUUCCAAAUUUCUUCACAAUUCCAAAAAUUAGUUUGUUUCAAAAUUUGUUUAAGAAUUUCAAAAAUAUUCUCAUUUUUAAAAACAAAUCAUGUUUCAUGAAAUGAUAUUGAAUUUCAAAAUAUGUUCUUGCUUUGAAAAAUUGUUCACAAUUUCCAAAUAAUAUCGUCCUUCAAUAAAUGUUCAGUAAUUUCAAAAAAGUUCUUGUCUUCAAAAUUUGUUCACAAUUAAAAAAAUCAUGUUAAAAUAAAUUUUCAGGAUUUCAAAAAACUCUCUCGUUUUCAGAAUUUAUUCACAAUUUCGGAAAAAUCUUCGUGCUUAAAAAAUGUUUAGGAAUUUCAAAAUAUGUUAGCGGUUUACAAAAAAUAUGUUAUGAUCAAGUUCUUAAAUACAUGUGAGAACAGUUUUUCAAUGAUAAAAUCAUCUUUAUAAAUGAUGGAAUCUAGUUUUUACAUUGUACAAACAUCUUUUUGGCAAAAUGACCCGACAUAAUUUCAAAAUAUGUUAGCGGUUUACAAAAAAUAUGUUAUGAUCAAGUUCUUAAAUACAUGUGAGAACAGUUUUUCAAUGAUAAAAUCAUCUUUAUAAAUGAUGGAAUCUAGUUUUUACAUUGUACAAACAUCUUUUUGGCAAAAUGACCCGACAUAAUUUUAAAAUUUGUGAUCAUUAGUUUCGAUGUAUCAUGCCUUUUAUUGAUGUCCGAUUCACUUUUUAAAUUACUCAUUGCUUUAUUAAAAAAAACUAUAUUAUAAAAAACUCAUUAUUUUUUGAAUACAUGGUCAAUAUUUUUCAUACACAAUUAAUAUUUGUCAAAUGCUUGAUCAUUUGUACAAAUACUUGUUCAACAUUUUUCUGCAAAAGCUUGAUUAACAUUUUUAUAUACAUGAUCCAAAAUUUCAUAAUUUUUUAAGUACAUGGUCAACAUUUUUUAUAUAAUAUUUUUAAAUGCUUGAUCAACAACUAUCAAAUAAUUGUUCAACAUUAAACUAUAUUUAGAAUAUUUUAAAGUAUAAACAAAAUUUGAAAAUAAAACAAAAACCAAAAAAAUCAGGCUGUGGCCUCCCAUGCUCCUGGGACAACCCAUCUCGGUCUCCCCUUCUGCGAGGGUUCCUACACUCUUGCUGAAGGCGAGAUAUAGGGGAGCCAUUGAUUAAGAGGUCUCCUCGUUCCCCUAAAGAAAAUAGGUCUCCUUGUUUAGCGUGUGGCGUGACGCGAGCCCGAGAGUAGCUAACUCGUGUUAUUUCUUGCGUGGGACCUUAGGGGCAUCUUUCUGUGCCACGCGAGCACGUCAAGGUGUGUCCAGCCAUCGCCACAUGUAACAUGCUAGGUGCUCUAUCUAGAUUUUAUUUUUUAAAUCUUUUUACGUGUUUUUGGGUUUUUGGCUUUUCGGUUUGCGCCUGGUUUUCCCUACGUUUUGGAGAAAAAAAUCAUGGAUUCUUUUGGCACAAAUAAUAGUUGUGCUUCCAUGAGAAACAAAUUUCCUUUCGUUUGUUCUUUUUGGAAAAGGAAACAUCAGUGCUUCCAGGAGAAGCACAUGUUUGCUUCUUCAAAAGACAAAAAAUAUAUUCUUCACAGGAAGCACGUAGAUUUGCUUCUUGUGGAGGCAUUGAUUUGCUUUCGCGAGAAGCACAAAAAAGGAAAAAAAAAAUACUCUCAGGACAAGCACACAGUUGCUUCCGCAAGAACCGCAUCGAAAAAAAUUGUGCUUCCACCAAAAACACAUAAUUUCUUUUCAUUGAGACACAGAUUUGCUUCCGCGAGAAGCACAGAUUAUCGAAAAGAGGGAAAAAUUAAACACGUGCUUCCAGUUCUAUGUUCUUUCUUCAAAAAUAUUCGUCUUUCUUUUUCCCGUUGCCUUUUUAUUUUUGUUUUUUUAUCAUUUUUUGUUACUGGUUUUUUGUGAAAAAAAGUUCGUUGAAACCUAAUAACAUGAGGUUUAGUUUCAAAGAUGUCGAGGUGAGAAAUCCAAUAGCAAAAACAGUUUUGGAUUUAAAUGCACAGUCCACGAGAUAAAACGCUUUGAAUAACCGAAUCUAAGGAAAAAAACUCUCGGGUAGGCCACUUGUCAGCGCCUGAGAACGUGGGAGUGAUCUUUCCAAGGGGCAACCCAUAACUAGUGAUUUCACACGAGUUCCACAAACACGCACCCCUAUAUGGAUGCACUUUUGGGCUGGCCCAUGCUAAAGGCGGGCUUCCUUUUUUAUCUUUCUUUUUCCUUUUUGUUUUCUUUUAUUUUUAUUUUCUGUUUUAGUUUUUUGUUUUUUUGAAAAAAGGGGAUUUCAAUAAACCUUACUUAUUUCAAAAUAUGUUCAAAUUAAUAAAUAUUCCAAAUUUCAAAAGAUGUCCGUAAAUUUGAAUAAUGUUCUUGGAUUUCAAAAAUUCUUAGUAAAUUUUAGGAAAAUGUUCACAGAUUUGAUAAAACGUUCCAAAAUUCAGAAAAUGGAAAUAAAUUUGCAAAUUAUUAAUAAAUUCCAAAAAAUGUUUAUAAAUUCCCGGAAAAAGGGAUGAAGAAAAGUCCGUGUCGUUCCACUGGUUUGCUGCCGAGGCCGUUGUCGCCGGGCAGGGGAGGAUGGUGUCCUGAUCGGGCUUCAUGUCCCUUCAUGUGUGACGUGCGCUAGCCCCGGGACAAGGAAAAGGGUGAAAAAUGGUAGUCCGACAAAUAUUCACUGAUUCAAAAAAUGUUCAUGAAAUUUUAAAAUUGUUUCAAAAAUUCAAAAAAAAUCCGUUCAACAUAUAUUCAUGCAACCCCAUUUUGUCCCUCCCUCUCCGGUCCGUCCCCACCCUUGGCAAUAUUAUGUGCAUAUGUCGUACCUCUCCACCUCUAUAUUGUUCCCGGCUAUUGUUGGGGAACGUAGUAAUUUCAAAAUUUUCCUACGCACACGCAAGAUCAUGGUGAUGCAUAGCAACAAGAGGGGAGAGUGUAAUCUACGUACCCUCGUAGACCGUAAGCGGAAGCGUUUAUCAACGUGGUUGAUGUAGUCGUACACCUUCACGAUCCGUCCCGAUCAAGUACCGAACGUACGGCACCUCCGCGUUCAGCACACGUUCAGCUCGAUGACGUCCUCGCCUUCUUGAUCCAGCAAGAGGGGCAAAGUAGUAGAUGAGUUCCGGCAGCACGACGGCGUGGUGACGGUGAUGGUGAAGAACAAUCUCCGCAGGGCUUCGCCUAAGCACUACGAAAACUAUGACGAAGGAUAAACUAGAGGGGGCGGGGUAGCCGGCACACGGCUUGGUGUUUCUUGAUGUGUCUUUGGUGCUAGCCCUGCCCCUCUAUUUAUAUGUUGAGCCCUGGGGUCGAAACUUGGAGCAAAAGCCUCCUCAAAGUCGGUUUUGCCCGAAAGGCAAGAGUCCCACUCGGACUCCGGGACCAAACGCCACAAUCUUUGGCGUCUGGCCCAGACGCCAUGGGCCUCAGCGUCUGGCCCAGGGCCAGACGCCAGGGUCUCCGUGUUGGGGAACGUAGUAAUUUCAAAAAAAUUCCUACGCACACACAGAAUCAUGGUGAUGCAUAGCAACGAGAGGGGAGAGUGUUGUCCACGUACCCUCGUAGACCGAAAACGGAAGCAUUAGCACAACACGGUUGAUUUAGUCGUACGUCUUCACGAUCCGACCGAUCAAGUACCGAAUGUACGGCACCUCCGAGUUCAGCACACGUUCAGCUCGAUGACGUCCCUCGAACUCCAAUCCAGCCGAGCUUUGAGGGAGAGUUCCGUCAGCACGACGGCGUGGUGACGACGAUGGUGUUCUACCGAUGCAGGGCUUCGCCUAAGCACAACUACGAUAUUAUCGAGGUGGACUAUGGUGGAGGGGGGCACCGCACAUGGCUAAGAGAUCCAAGGGAUCAAUUGUUGUGUCUAGAGGUGCCCCCUGCCCCCGUAUAUAAAGGAGCAAGGGGGGGAGAGGCGGCCGACCAGGAGGAGGCACGCCAGGGAGGAGUCCUACUCCCACCGGGAGUAGGACUCCCUCCAUUCCUAGUUGGAGUAGGAGAAGGGGGAAGGAGGAGGGAGAGAGGAAGGAAAGGGGGCGCCCCCCCCUCCUUGUCCAAUUCGGACUAGAGGGGGAGGGGGCGCGCGGCCUGCCCUGGCCGCCCCUCCUCUUCUCCACUAAGGCCCAUCUUGGCCCAUUAAACCCCCGGGGGGUUCCGGUAACCCCCGGUACUCCGGUAAAAUCCCGAUUUCACCUGGAACACUUCCGAUAUCGAAAUAUAGGCUUCCAAUAUAUCAAUCUUUAUGUCUCGACCAUUUCGAGACUCCUCGUCAUGUCCGUGAUCACAUCCGGGACUCCGAACUAUCUUCGGUACAUCAAAACACAUAAACUCAUAAUAUAACCGUCAUCGAACUUUAAGCGUGCGGACCCUACGGGUUCGAGAACAAUGUAGACAUGACCGAGACACGUCUCCGGUCAAUAACCAAUAGCGGAACCUGGAUGCUCAUAUUGGCUCCUACAUAUUCUACGAAGAUUUCGGUCAAACCGCAUAACAACAUACGUUGUUCCCUUUGUCAUCGGUAUGUUACUUGCCCGAGAUUCGAUCGUCGGUAUCUCAAUACCUAGUUCAAUCUCGUUACCGGCAAGUCUCUUUACUCGUUCCGCAAUACAUCAUCCCGCAACUAACUCAUUAGUUGCAAUGCUUGCAACGCUUAUAGUGAUGUGCAUUAUCGAGUGGGCCCAGAGAUACCUCUCCGACAAUCGGAGUGAAAAAUCCUAAUCUCGAAAUACGCCAACCCAACAAGUACCUUCGGAGACACCUGUAGAGCACCUUUAUAAUCACCCAGUUACGUUCUGACAUUUGGUAGCACACAAAGUGUUCCUCCGGUAAACGGGAGUUGCAUAAUCUCAUAGUCAUAGGAACAUGUAUAAGUCGUGAAGAAAGCAAUAGCAGAAUACUAAACGAUUGAGUGCUAAGCUAACGGAAUGGGUCAAGUCAAUCACAUCAUUCUCCUAAUGAUGUGAUCCCGUUAAUCAAAUGACAACUCAUGUCAAUGGCUAGGAAACAUAACCAUCUUUGAUUAACGAGCUAGUCAAGUAGAGGCAUACUAGUGACACUCUGUUUGUCUAUGUAUUCACACAAGUAUUAUGUUUUCGGUUAAUACAAUUCUAGCAUGAAUAAUAAACAUUUAUCAUGAUAUAAGGAAAUAAAUUAUAACUUUAUUAUUGCCUCUAGGGCAUAUUUCCUUCAGUCUCCCACUUGCACUAGAGUCAAUAAUCUAGAUUACACACUAAUGAUUCUAACACCCAUGGAGCCUUGGUGCUGAUCAUGUUUUGCUCGUGGAAGAGGCUUAGUCAACGGGUCUGCAACAUUCAGAUCCGUAUGUAUCUUGCAAAUUUCUAUGUCUCCCACCUGGACAUGAUCCCGGAUGGAGUUGAAGUGUCUCUUGAUGUGCUUGGUUCUCUUGUGAAAUCUGGAUUCCUUUGCCAAGUCAAUUGCACCAGUAUUGUCACAAAAUAUUUUCAUUGGACCCGAUGCACUAGGUAUGACACCUAGAUCGGAUAUGAACUCCUUCAUCCAGACUCCUUCAUUUGCUGCUUCUGAAGCAGCUAUGUACUCCGCUUCACACGUAGAUCCUGCCACAACGCUUUGUUUAGAACUGCACCAACUGACAGCUCCACCGUUCAAUGUAAACACGUAUCCGGUUUGCGAUUUAGAAUCGUCCGGAUCAGUGUCAAAGCUUGCAUCGACGUAACCAUUUACGACUAGCUCUUUGUCACCUCCAUAAAUGAGAAACAUAUCCUUAGUCCUUUUCAGGUAUUUCAGGAUGUUCUUGACCGCUGUCCAGUGAUCCACUCCUGGAUUACUUUGGUACCUCCCUGCUAAACUUAUAGCAAGGCACACAUCAGGUCUGGUACACAGCAUUACAUACAUGAUAGAGCCUAUGGCUGAAGCAUAGGGAACAUCUUUCAUCUUCUCUCUAUCUUCUGCAGUGGUCGGGCAUUGAGUCUUACUCAACUUCACACCUUGUAACACAGGCAAGAACCCUUUCUUUGCUUGAUCCAUUUUGAACUUCUUCAAAACUUUAUCAAGGUAUGUGCUUUGUGAAAGUCCAAUUAAGCGUCGUGAUCUAUCUCUAUAGAUCUUGAUGCCCAAUAUAUAAGCAGCUUCACCGAGGUCCUUCAUUGAAAAAAUCUUAUUCAAGUAUCCCUUUAUGCUAUCCAGAAAUUCUAUAUCAUUUUCAAUUAGCAAUAUGUCAUCCACAUAUAAUAUUAGAAAUGCUACAGAGCUCCCACUCACUUUCUUGUAACAGGCUUCUCCAAAAGUCUGUAUAAAACCAUAUGCUUUGAUCACACUAUCAAAGUGUUUAUUCCAACUCCGAGAUGCUUGCACCAGUCCAUAAAUGGAUCGCUGGAGCUUGCAUACUUUGUUAGCUCCCUUUGGAUUGACAAAACCUUCCGGUUGCAUCAUAUACAACUCUUCUUCCAGAAAUCCAUUUAGGAAUACAGUUUUGACAUCCAUUUGCCAAAUUUCAUAAUCAUAAAAUGCGGCAAUUGCUAACAUGAUUCGGACAGACUUAAGCAUCGCUAUGGGUGAGAAAGUCUCAUCGUAGUCAAUCCCUUGAACUUGUCGAAAACCUUUUGCAACAAGUCGAGCUUUAUAAACAGUAACAUUACCGUCAGCGUCAGUCUUCUUCUUGAAGAUCCAUUUAUUCUCAAUGGCUUGCCGAUCAUCGGGCAAGUUAACCAAAGUCCACACUUUGUUCUCAUACAUAGAUCCCAUCUCAGAUUUCAUGGCCUCAAGCCAUUUUGCGGAAUCUGGGCUCACCAUCGCUUCUUCAUAGUUUGUAGGUUCGUCAUGGUCUAGUAACAUAACCUCGAGAACAGGAUUACCGUACCACUCUGGUGCGGAUCUUACUCUGGUUAACCUACGAGGUUCAGUAACAACUUGAUCUGAAGUUUCAUGAUCAUCAUCAUUAACUUCCUCACUAAUUGGUGUAGGUGUCAGAGGAACCGGUUUCUGUGAUGAACUACUUUCCAAUAAAGGAGCAGGUACAGUUACCUCAUCAAGUUCUACUUUCCUCCCACUCACUUCUUUCGAGAGAAACUCCUUCUCUAGAAAGGAUCCAAAUUUAGCAACAAAAAUCUUGCCUUCAGAUCUGUGAUAGAAGGUGUACCCAACAGUUUCCUUUGGGUAUCCUAUGAAGACACAUUUCUCCGAUUUGGGUUCGAGCUUAUCAGGUUGAAGCUUUUUCACAUAAGCAUCGCAGCCCCAAACUUUAAGAAACGACAACUUUGGUUUCUUGCCAAACCACAGUUCAUAAGGUGUCGUCUCAACGGAUUUCGAUGGUGCCCUAUUUAACGUGAAUGCAGUCGUCUCUAAAGCAUAACCCCAAAAUGAUAGCGGUAAAUCAGUAAGAGACAUCAUAGAUCGCACCAUAUCUAUUAAAGUACGAUUAUGAUGUUCGGACACACCAUUACGCUGUGGUGUUCCGGGUGGCGUGAGUUGCGAAACUAUUCCGCAUUUUUUCAAAUGAAGACCAAACUCGUAACUCAAAUAUUCUCCUCCACGAUCAGAUCAUAGAAACUUUAUUUUCUUGUUACCGUGAUUUUCAACUUCACUCUGAAAUUCUUUGAACUUUUCAAAUGUUUCAGACUUAUGUUUCAUUAAGUAGAUAUACCCAUAUCUGCUUAAAUCAUCUGUGAAGGUGAGAAAAUAACGAUACCCGCCGCGAGCCUCAACAUUCAUCGGACCACAUACAUAUGUAUGUAUGAUUUCCAACAAAUCUGUUGCUCGCUCCAUAGUUCCGAGAACGGCGUUUUAGUCAUCUUGCCCAUGAGGCACGGUUCGCAAGUACCAAGUGAUUCAUAAUCAAGUGGUUCUAAAAGUCUAUCAGUAUGGAGUUUCUUCAUGCGCUUUACACCAAUAUGACCUAAACGGCAGUGCCACAAAUAAGUUGCACUAUCAUUAUCAACUCUGCAUCUUUUGGCUUCAAUAUUAUGAAUAUGUGUAUCACUACUAUCGAGAUUCAAUAAAAAUAGACCACUCUUCAAGGGUGCAUGACCAUAAAAGAUAUUACUCAUAUAAAUAGAACAACCAUUAUUCUCUGAUUUAAAUGAAUAACCGUCUCGCAUCAAACAAGAUCCAGAUAUAAUGUUCAUGCUCAACGCUGGCACCAAAUAACAAUUAUUCAGGUCUAAAACUAAUCCCGAAGGUAGGUGUAGAGGUAGUGUGCCGACCGCGAUCACAUCGACUUUGGAACCAUUUCCCACGCGCAUCGUCACCUCGUCCUUAGCCAAUCUUCGCUUAAUUUGUAGUCCCUGUUUCGAGUUGCAAAUAUUAGCAACAGAACCAGUAUCAAAUACCCAGGUGCUACUGCGAGCAUUACUAAGGUACACAUCAAUAACAUGUAUAUCACAUAUACCUUUGUUCACCUUGCCAUCCUUCUUAUCCGCCAAAUACUUGGGGCAGUUCCGCUUCCAGUGACCAGUCUGUUUGCAGUAAAAGCACUCAAUCUCAGGCUUAGGUCCAGACUUGGGUUUCUUCUCCUGAGCAGCAACUUCUUUGCUGUUCUUCUUGAAGUUUCCCUUCUUCUUCCCUUUGCCCUUUUUCUUGAAACUGGUGGUCUUGUUGACCAUCAACACUGUCCUUCUUGAUUUCUACCUCCGCAGCCUUUAGCAUUGCGAAGAGCUUGGGAAUUGUCUUAUCCAUCCCUUGCAUGUUAUAGUUCAUCACGAACCUCUUGUAGCUUGGUGGCAGUGAUUGAAGAAUUCUGUCAAUGACGCUAUCAUCCGGAAGAUUAACUCCCAGUUGAAUCAAGUGAUUGUUAUACCCAGACAUUUUGAGUAUAUGCUCACUGACAGAACUAUUCUCCUCCAUCUUACAGCUGUAGAACUUAUUGGAGACUUCAUAUCUCUCAAUCCGGGCAUUUGCUUGAAAUAUUAACUUCAACUCCUGAAACAUCUCAUAUGCUCCAUGACGUUCAAAACGUCGUUCAAGUCCCGGUUCUCAGCCGUAAAGCAUGGCACACCGAACUAUCGAGUAGUCAUCAGUUUUGCUCUGCCAGACGUUCAUAACAUCUGGUGUUGCUCCUGCAGCAGGUCUGGCACCUAGCGGUGCUUCCAGGACGUAAUUCUUCUGUGCAGCAAUGAGGAUAAUCCUCAAGUUAUGGACCCAGUCCGUGUAAUUGCUACCAUCAUCUUUCAACUUUGCUUUCUCAAGGAACGCAUUAAAAUUCAACAGAACAACAGCACGGGCCAUCUAUCUACAAUCAACACAGACAAGCAAAAUACUAUCAGGUACUAAGUUCAUGAUAAAUUUAAGUUCAAUUAAUCAUAUUACUUAAGAACUCUCACUUAGAUAGACAUCCCUCUAAUCCUCUAAGUGAUCACGUGAUCCAAAUCAACAAACCAUGUCCGAUCAUCACGUGAGAUGGAGUAGUUUCAAUGAUGAACAUCACUAUGGUGAUCAUAUCUACUAUAUGAUUCACGCUCGACCUUUCGGUCUCAGUGUUCCGAGGCCAUAUCUGCAUAUGCUAGGCUCGUCAAGUUUAACCUGAGUAUUCCGUGUGUGCAACUGUUUUGCACCCGUUGUAUUUGAACAUAGAGCCUAUCACACCCGAUCAUCACGUGGUGUCUCAGCACGAAGAACUUUCGCAACGGUGCAUACUCAGGGAGAACACUUAUGCCUUGAUAAUUUAGUGAGAGAUCAUCUUAUAAUGCUACCGUCAAUCAAAGCAAGAUAAGAUGCAUAAAAGAUAAACAUCACAUGCAAUCAAUAUAAGUGAUAUGAUAUGGCCAUCAUCAUCUUGUGCUUGUGAUCUCCAUCUCCGAAGCACCGUCAUGAUCACCAUCGUCACCGGCGCGACACCUUCAUCUCCAUCGUAGCAUCGUUAUCAUCUCGCCAACUUAUGCUUCUACGAUAUCGCUACCGCUUAGUGAUGUCGUUAUCAUCUCGCCAACUUAUGCUUCUACGAUAUCGCUACCGCUUAGUGAUAAAGUAAAGCAUUACAGCGCGUUUGCAUUGCAUACAAUAAAGCGGCAACCAUAUGGCUCCUGCCAGUUGCCGAUAACUCGGUUACAAAACAUGAUCAUCUCAUACAAUAAAAUAUAGCAUCAUGCCUUGACCAUAUCACAUCACAACAUGCCCUGCAAAAACAAGUAAGACAUCCUCCACUUUGUUGUUGCAAGUUUUACGUGGCUGCUACGGGCUGAUAUCGAGUAGUCAUACCCCCACAACUUUAUUAUUGCCUCUAGGGCAUAUUUCCUUCAGUUAUAUCCUACGUUGCAUACUUCCCAGCCAUGUCCCAUUGCUGGCUAUAACCUACACCAUGUAAUCACACCACACCCCUACCCUUUCUAGAGCUCUCGAUGUUGCAUACUAAAGAUAUAAAGUGCCUAGCAUUUGGAUAUAUUUUUUAUUUUUUUUACUAUCCCUGGGAUUUACUGCUGAAGGCCAGCAAAAUAUAAUGAGUUGGAGCCCAUUACAUAGCGCCAGUCGCUAUCUCUUCUUUGUUCUUCUAGUCAACAAGAGAAAAGAGAGAAGAAGGGGAGCAGUUGUUGCCCAUGUAAGUGGUCAUCAGCUUUGCUCUGCCAGACGUUCUUAACAUCGUCAGUUGCAUCUGCAGCAGGCCUGGCACCCAGCGGUGCUUCCAGGACGUAAUUCUUCUGUGCAGCAAUGAGGAUAAUCCUCAAGUUAUGGACCCAGUCCGUGUAAUUGCCACUAUCAUCUUUCAACUUUGCUUUCUCAAGGAACACAUUAAAAUUCAACGGCACAACAGCACGGGCCAUCUAUCUACAACAACAUAAACAUGCAAAAUACUAUUAGGUACUAAGUUUGUGCUAAAUUAAAGUUCAAUUAAUCAAAUUACUUAAGAACUCCCACUUAGAUAGACAUCCCUCUAAUCAUCUAAGUGAUCACGCGAUCCAUAUCAACUAAACCAUGUCCGAUCAUCACGUGAGAUGGAGUAGUUUUCAAUGGUGACAUCACUAUGUUGAUCAUAUCUACUAUAUGAUUCACGCUCGACCUUUCGGUCUCAGUGUUCCGAGGCCAUAUCUGCAUAUGCUAGGCUCGUCAAGUUUAACCUGAGUAUUAUGCGUGUGCAAAACUGGCUUGCACCUGUUGUAUGUGAACGUAGAGCUUAUCACACCCGAUUAGUCCUGGCCAUCUCAGGCCCGGCCCUGUCGGCCAACCCAGGCCCGGCCCUAAAAUCCAGGGCCUAGGCCCGAUGGGCUUGCCCAUAGGCCGGGCUUGGGCCUGAGUUUUGAGCCCACCAGCAGGGCCUGGACGGGCUUGGGCUUGGCAUAUUGGCAUUUUAAGGAAGAGGCCCAGCCCACGGCCCUAAGCCCUAAGGGCUU